UUCAUUCACUAUUGAACUUUCUUUUCUUUCCUUCCCUUGUUUGUUGUAUAAAGAGGUUAUUGACAGAGCGGGGAUAGUGAAAGUCAGUAAGAGAAUACGCAGUGCCGGUUAAGUCUGCAAGUAUAUAAUGUGCCUCUGCUUCUGCGCUCUCAAGUGAAAUUAUGUCUUCUUAAUCUUAUUAAACCCCCCAGCAAGUAAGGAUUAUAGACAAGAGAUAUAGUCCCAAGCUAGCAAGCAAAGAUCCGGAUCCGCUUUUUAAAGAAAGAGAGUUUGUAGGGGCUAGAGUUGUUAGUUGCAUUCCAGUAUAGUAGGGCUGUUUGCCAGUAGGGAUAUUCUAGUUUCAAGAAGUCAAAGCCUUGUUCGGAUACUUAAUCGGAUUCAAAAGACUAAUAGGGAUGCUAGCACUUAUAGGGAAUUCCACAAUAGGGCAUACAAGAAUUCCACUAUUAAUAAAAAGAGUUCAACUCAUUAUUACAGGAAAAAGUCCAUAGUUGACCAGACCUGCGCUCUAAACUAGUAACUAAAGAACCCAAGUUGUAGUAGUCCUGUAGUCGUAAACCCAGCCUUGAUUUACUUUAUCUAAAGCAAACUACCUGCCCUGACUUUAAUGCUUAUCGGCCGAUUAGCCAUUUUAUGAGUUACAGGCGUUAUAAUUCCUUUUGAUCUUAUAUCUUAUAGGAAAGGAUUCCUCAGCAAUAAAAUCUUUUAGUUAUGAAGAUCGGAUUCCAGGAUCAGGAUUCGAAAAAGGGUAUGAAGCAAAGGAUAGAUCAUAAGCAAAAGAAGCUGAAUCAACUCCAACAAACAAUCGAAUGCUGAGAGCAAGUUUCUUUUUUCGAAGCGUCAAUGCCAUGUAUCAGAGCUAGGGGUCUUAAAUGACGCGUAAGCCAUAAUAUGAAUGAACUCUGCCUUAAACGACUCGACUUGCCAUCAGCUCUUGUCCAGCUGCCGAUCCGUGUACUUCAGUUAGAGCUCAAAGUACUUAUGACUCAUAUCUUGGGGUGCAAGUGUUGCGGAAUACACAGUUCGAGAAUCUUAUCGAGUAUUGACGACGAGAAUGAAUUGACCCCCUAAAUCGAGCUCCGUUGGGGGAGGCGCUUGACCUUUGCGCCCAUUGCUUAAAGAAUAUAGCGUUCAAGAUAUAGUAUAGAAUCCAUUCAAAAAAGAGAGAACAUUGCUUCAAAACUAACAUUAGAGCAUCCCAAAACAAUAACUCACGUCAAAAGCGCCCCGAGCCCCGAGAGUAAGCUAAUGCACAAGGGCGAAGCAAUAAGCGUAAGAUUUGAUGUUGUAGCGUAAGGUGGCAGGGGAUUAACAAUAAGACUAAACUCCUAAUGUGUGAAAAACAAGAAAGACGGUGUUGUGAGUUGAGAAAUAAGUGCCAGGAUGCAUCAAGGCGCUAAGGAUGUAAUUGUGGUCUUAGAUAAAGAAAAGAGUGCUAUGCUACAUUCUAUAAUGUAAUAAAGUACAAACAUUUAUAUCCAGAAUUGCAAUAAUUCUCAGAUAAGUCACACAUAAGAUAAGUAAAGUCAAUAUAACUAAGUAACUUAACCGUUAGCACUGAAUCUUGCAAGAGGAGAGCUCGCAUUAAGUGAAAUGAGUUCUUAGCUUUUGUAGGUGUAUUACAUGAUCUAUUUCCCAUCAACACCAAAUAGGUUGUUAUAUAUUCACAUUUGUACCAAUAUCAUAUAGGUAAAGCCAUAAUCAAAUGGGUAAUCCCAAGAGCGAAAGAAGGGCUACGGAAUGCCGGAUGCAAGGAUGAAUCCGGAAAUAAGAAAUAUCUGAAUUGCCGACAGGAGUGGAAGUUGAGUUCGAAAGUAACCCGGGAGGCAUUGGUAUUGUAGCUCUACUCCCGGUAUAUUGUAUUCCAUGUUUCAGUCGUUAGGGGCACUGUUUGUUUAGUUCUAAUAGUAUAGGCGUAAACCAUAUAUUAUACAAAUCAAGUAACACAUAGAUUAUACUAAUCAAAUGGCCCCGUACGGCACACAACACACCCGCGUAUCGGAUUCCAAUAUUCUAUGAGAAAACCUAUCGAACAGGAGUGGUUAGGCAGAGAGUUGGGCGAAACUUGCUACUAAGAAGGUUCAGUUCCAGGAAAGUAUCCAUGAAAAAGGGUAGUUCCAAGGUUCAGUCGUAGUUGCUUGGUGCCUGAUACAGUGUACAAUCAGAAUGAAACUAAGAGUUGAGCCAGUAGGUGAGGUGAGCUAGCCCUUAUUAGUAAGCCAGCCUACCAAUCCGUAGUUCAAGAACGCAACUGGUACCAUAGCUACCGGGGCGGGGAAGAAAUAGAAGAGUUAUUGUUUUCAGAGCAAGAGUAGAGAGAGGCAAGAUCAGAGGAGAGAUUAUCUAUUUGCUAUGAAAAAACACGGGCCAAGUAACUACUACAAAACCAUAGCAAUGAAUAAAUGUAUUAUAACUCGUUAUUCCGGAGUCCUAAUCUAGAGCGGCAGGAGUUCCCGCAAAAAGAUCAUUUCCAUGGAGCCCCUUAGGAGGGAAAAUGACUUGGCUAUGAGCCAAGGAACUUUAGUUACGCGGCAGCGCUGUUUCCCGGGUUUCUUAAACUUUUCAUGAAAAUGGAUCGGUCUAUUAGCGGAAAUGCCAGUGCUACCCGCCAAGGAACAGAAUGUUACGCGGCAGUGUUGUUUCACGGUAAAACGUGAAAAUACAAUUUCUCUUGACCCAGCUAAGAAGGGAAAUGACGAAGCUAUCAGGCAAGUAACUACUAAUGUUACGCGCCAGCGCUGUUUCACGGGUUUCGUCAACUUGACUAGACUAUCCUUUUGCCCCAACCAGUAGUGUAGUGGUCCUGUUUGUUGCAUCUGUAUUAGUAGCAAGAGUGGAGGGAUAGGUCUUAUUUGAGGGUUUCUUUCUUAUAGUGAUUAGUCCUUUUUAGCUCCUGUUCUGGUGAUUGUUUAAUCCCGAGUGGAAUGUAGUACUGCUCAAGUUCUUGUGGAAUCUAUAAGAUCAGCGAUUCCUUCCUUAUAUGAUAUUAUUUCUGCAUUUUGUAUAGGCCAAGUAGAGAUAAGAGACAGAGGCUCAAUUUGUACUCGUUGCCAGCCUAGAAGAAAUACUUGUAGUUGAGUAGUUUAAUAAGUAGUUGUAGCAAGAGGAGUUAAUGACUAGGGAGAAGUAGCCAGAGGAGAAGAAGCUAAGCUAUAAGUACUGAAGUGCAGAAUCAAACCAGUCAGUAUAAGAAUGCAAGCUAGUCCAGAGUAGAGGUCUGCAAGGGAAGAAAAGCUGGUAUAGGGAAGAAAAGCUGGUCAUGUUGCAGUGUCAAAAGGGAAGAAAAGCUGGUAUAAAUAAGGGAACAAGCUCAUUGUUGCGCUAACAACUUAAGCUAGAAGAUGUCCUGGAGAGAGUGAGUUGUAGUUCUUCAAAGUGAUCGGAGUCGCGCAAGAAGCAGUUAGGAUAGAUAGUUCCGCGAGGAUAGAGAAGAGAGUUAGUCUAGAGAAGAGAGUUAAGUGAGUCUGCAGCUAAGUUACUAUACUUAUCGAAUUCGAAAGAAUGUGUGAGUUAGAUGAUUUUCGAAAGCCCUUAACGCAUUAGCUAGUUUUCUGUUAGCCCCGUUAGCUUAUUCUCGGGGUGCAUUAGAACUCACUUUACGGGUUUAGGGAUGCCUAGCUGACUUUCCGGGCUUUGGAGUGUGAUCCAAUAUUCCAGUAAAGGAGUGAGUCAAGUAAGCAGUCAGGACAGGAGUGAGUUUGCAAGUCAGGUCUCGGUCGGCAAGAGAAUAAGUGUCGUCUCUUUCAAAGGGUUUGGGUGCUGGAGAAAGACCAUAAUAUCGGUUCAGAAUAAUAAGUAAGGUCAGAGCAAUGACAUGAUGUUCUACUUUAAUCGUAUAGAAAGAUCAGACAGAAUGAGAAACUGCUGAGGGAAAGGCUUAAGUUAGGCUUAGGGGCAGAGAUAUCCGUUUUUAAGAAAGUAGUGCAAGGCUAUGGAUUUCAUAAUUAAUAUAUGCCAAUUGAACUAGAAAGUCAGAAUGAAACUAAUUAAGUAAGCAAAAGGGAAGCAGUUCAGUCAUCCGCUGAAGCCUAGCCGAGAUCAGAAUCCUUUCUGGUUUCAUCCCAGUAGUAGUAGUCCAGUUGGUAAGUCAACUCUCUAAAUUAGAAUGCCUUUGAAGCGAGGUAUCUUGCUUGCUCUACUGAUCUUACUGUUUCCGACCUAUCCUUUUCAGUGAAGAAAUGCUUGCUGCCCAACCCACACUUAUAAAUACCAGUACUUUCUUCUUUACCAGAACUAGACUUGAGAACAGGCUAUAAGAGUUGCAGUAAUUAAGGGCACAGGAUUCCCUAGUCGUAGUUGCUUGUCGGUUAGUUAGUUAACCUGGUUCUAUCUUACCUAGGCGGGGGGAACAAUAAAUAUUCCGUUAGUUGCUUGUUGGCGGCGCGAGUUAGCACUUUCAUUCGAUUCCAAAGAUGGAUCUUCUGUAGGUCAUUUUAUUCCAAAGAUAUAGGUUUAGGAAGUAGAGUUCAAGUUCGUUCUUAUCUUAGCUAUGUCGAACAGAGGUCUUACUAAGAGCAAUCUCCCUACUGCAUAGAUUCAAUUGGGGGCUAGUGCGUAAUAUAAGUAAGGCAACUCUCCCUACUAGCUUUGUUGUUAAUGCUUGACUCACUAAACAUAUGAGCAGCGCAAAAGACUAUAGCACUAGGAGUGCGCAGUGUUGUUACAAGUUUAUAGCUAUGGAUUCAAUUCUGACUUUAGUUUAGAGUGGUUAAGGGGUGCGCCUAUGAUAGAUAUGAGUUUUGGAAGCUAUGAGUUUUGGAAGCAGGAAGCAGGUAGAGUGGAAAGUCAGGUUUUAUAACCCCAGGCAACUCGCUAACUUGUUCGUUUCGCAUACGUAGGCACUUAGGCUAUCGAUCUACUCGCAGCAGAGCAGCUUGAUUAAGAUGGUGCACCACUGCUUUUCAGGUAAAGUCUCAGGGCUAUCUAUCUUUCUUUCUUGGGUUUUCAGAGACGAGCAACAGGGCAGGGCUAUCUUUCUUUUUAGAGCCAGAGUCGAGGCCCUUAUUGUAAGUUACCCCGAGUUUAAUCAGUUCUCUUUCUUAUAUGUUCUCUUUCUCAUAUGAUAUAGAAUGAAAUAGGUAGUUAAUAGAAUGAAAUAAGUAGUUAACGCCAAGUUAUAGAAUGUAAUAAUCUGGUAUCGGUGAACAAUCCCUAUUUCUCAAGUAAUCUGCUAUUCAAGGCUAUUAAAGUAUAGGUCGUCAAAGGAAGCUAUGAAAGGAAACUACUAGAGGGGCUUCCACACCUGAUUUAGAGUUAGCAGAGAGGAGCCUAGAGAUUCAAUCAAUUCUUAAGCGUCAAGUCAUGCCAGGUAGUCUGUCUGAUUGGUAGUCAAGUUAUUGUUCGAUAAGACCCCUCAGUUUCAUUCUCCGUUUUCAUAGCACUUAGGUUGGUUCAUCGAUUCUGCAUAAGAAGUUCCGGGUGCUCAAACAAAAGCUGUAGUCUCGGGAGUAGAAAAAAGAAUAUGGAGUUAGAGCCGGGGGUUCAGUUGAGUUCGAGGCAGAAUCAGACAAGCAGACGAAUGUGAAUAAGUGAAAGCAACUACUAAUGUUUAGGCUAGACAAGUGUCACGGAUGAAACAGAUUGUCUUGCAGUUUGAGUUGCAGCCUACUAAGUUGUUCACUAUUAUCCUAUAAGAAUAAGAUGAGACAACCUCCACUUUCAGUUAUGAAUUCAUUUGCUCUUUGUCUCCGAAUGGCGAAGGAGUGUCUUCUUACCUGAGUUGGGUUCGCGGUAGUUCAAUUAUAUACUGGGAGAGUACUUACUCAUUAACCUAGGGACUUGGCGGUAAGUGGAGCACUAGGGUCGUAACUGAGAUCUAUCAUACACAUACGGAGCUCCAUCUUAUUAUUAGAUUUCCUACUUGAAGUGAAAUUCGAACUUUCUUACUUGAGGGCACUGUUAGUUACCAAUAGCUCUAUAAUACCUAGGCGUGGCACAAGACUUAUGAAGUUGCUGACUCACCCGAUCUUGACUCUAUACUUGAAGUGGAAGAAUAUCUUGCUGCUUAUGGAACUCUACUCUUUGGACCACACCUCGCUGCAAAGCCAACUCUAUCACUUAUUACUGCCCAGUAAACAAAGAAAGUAGACCCCUUUGCGCUGUUCAUGGCGGUAGGGCUGCUCUCACACUCCAAUAAUGAAUGGGAAAACGAACCUUCAUCUCCACUAAUCAACUGUCCCUAGAAUUCAUUUGAGCCUCACAUCCAUCUGGUUCCUUCCCUUGUGCCAACACUAGAACGGGCACUUUGACCUUUCUACUGUGGAGAUAGAUUCCUUUAGCCCGAGAUACUUACCGCGAACUGUUUCUUCUGUCUUCGUCCUCUAGGUCGAGCCGAGACCCUUCGUUCCCAGAGAUCUUGUACGAUGAGUUACGGAGAAAGUGGCUUACCUAGCUACCCACCUUUUAUUCUUUCUAUUUGGUUUUUCCCGUCCGGGACCAUUCACCCCUUUCCAAACCAAGCAUAGGUGGGAACCCCUAUUUCCCAUACACAACGACUGUUAAGCAGGAUAAGUAGUUUCUUUUAUAGUCGACUCAAUAUCGACGAGAUCCCCCAUACCUAUUAUAGAAGAAGUGGAAUAAUGCACCCUUCAUCGAAAGAGUUGGGCAGCCAUUCCUUUUCCUCAGCGUCAGCGGCUUCGGGAGUGUACCUGAGAAAAUCUUACCACAUUAUCCAUUUCUUUCUAUCUAACUAUCUAAUCUAAGGAUUCUCUAUUUCUCUCUAUCUAAAGAAAGGCCAUCUGCUGCUGCUCAUGAAAGAGUUUAGGCCUAAGACCCUCGUUCAGCUACUCUAUUCUGUUGCGGGGAAGAAUAGAAGGUUAUUCUUAUUCUAAGUUGGAGCCACCGAGUGCUCGUCCUACAGAAAGAAAGUGCGUUCUCCCGCCGAAUAAAGAGGAGCAGGAAUAACUGGUUGUCCUCUGAAAAGGAGGAGAAUACAUCUAAAAAGGUCUAAAACGACUUAACCAGACGCCUGUGUCAGAUGCUCCAGCCGAGUAAGCCACGUCCCGAUAAAUAGCACUUCGCAUCGGAUGAACCGGAUUGGAAAGGAAAAGCUCUAAUUUGGUUGUUGGUCGUGAAAAAGCCUGUAUCAGGGCAUCUCAGAGUCUUUGGUUGUGUUGGAGGACCGAUAUUGUAUCGAGUUUGUUUCGUCUUAGACCUUGACUGCUGGCCUUUAUUUACGUGCUUUGGAGAGUCCCCUAGCGCCGCCUUCCUUUGUUGGUUAUAAAAGAUAUAUAGGGUUUCGUUUCAAGAUAUAUAGGGUGGAGUUCGGUUGCAAAUACACUGUUCUGCUUGAAAGACAGAGCGGGAAGUCCAGAAGUUUUGUAUUGAUAAUAUAGGCUCUUCCAAUAAUAGUUCCUUCCGUAUUGAUAAUAUAGGCUCUUCCAAUAAUAGUUCCUUCCGUAUUGAUAAUAUAUUAAUAGUGAAAAGUCUGGAAUUAAUGGUUCAGUAUUGAGAAUAUAUAGUAUAGUAUUUCUAAUAUAGGGUGCGUGCCUCUUCCGAUGGUUAAGGGUUAAGGGAAUCUUGAGUAUACUUAGGUGCCCAUAUGCGAUGAAAGGCAAAGAGGGGAUCCUGACUUAGUAUACUUUGUCCGGUGCCUAUAUGCGAUGAAAGGGAAAGGGUUCUUCAAGCUAUCGAAAAUAAUGCAUUGGAUAGAGAUGCCCGGGAUGGCAGGAUGAGAUAAAGCAGUUUCAAGACUAUAGCUAACAAGCGAGAACUCAACUAAGGGGUGUCGGGUCAACACUCGCACACAGGAAUUUCCGGCUGGAGUCUAAGCAGGGGACAAACAAAAGUAAGGCUCGGACAUGUAUGAGAUAGAUAGGUCUCGGGCAACUCUGGGCUUAGGUCUGCAGCUACUAAUCAGUUCCAUUCAGAUGCUUACCGCAAUUAGUCCACUAUUAGAUGUGCUCGCCUCUUACAAUAUCCUCCAAUUGCCUAGUCGUAUAGUUUGUCAUCACAGACUUGUAGGCAUGAGUGUCGGGAUGAGAUAAAGCAGUGGCACAGUCACAGAAAGGAAGGAGAUACUCUAGCUAUGAAGUCAGGCUUGGGCUACAGGCGAGUCCGGUUGUCAGCUAACAAGUAGGGCUUUCAGUCUUGGUUGUUAGUAGUAUAAUUCCAAUAUAGUAUGGGAACAGUCUAAUCUAAUGGGGGGCCAAGCUACUAUGUGUUUGUGAGCCAGAAGUCUUAUAUAAGAGAUGAGAAAGAGUUGCGGUUCCUAAGUAGUAGGAAUCUCUUGUGGGUGCUCUUACUCUUCGGGUCGGGUGUCUAGCAUUCCCAUUGUAGUGGUUAGUUUCAAGAGCAAGAAAGAAGAUCACUUGAUUAGUUGAAAGAGCCAGAGGAUAGUUCUAGUAGCAAUAGUUUUGGGAGUUAGGAGUUUCGAGUUCAAGAGUUUGUCGUUGCUUGGCACGCCGUUGCUUGGCCCUACUGAUAACAAGGCUGAAACAGAUGCUUCUAAUACUUGAACUCAAUAUAUCGAGAAUGUCCGAGGGCGAACCUGGAGAAUGGAACUGCUGCUAACAGGCUUACCCUGGACACCGAAUCUAUCUCUCUUUGCUCCAAUUCUCACUACUAUAAAUAAGUCGGAAUUAAUACAAGCAAUUUCAGAAUUCAUAUAUCAGAAUAAUAAUAAGGCAUUGUUUCGCUAAUAAAUCACUAAGAAAUUGUACUAUACGAAAACGGAUCGAUAGCUGUUCAACCGACCUAUGAAUUCAUUAGCGAGGUACUACGUUGCCAGGAUACCCUCGUUUCAUGGUCGAGGUACGUACCUUCUAUUUCUAUGAAUGAGAGCUAUGUAGCCCGGGAAACGAAGAACGAAUGGUUCUAUCCGGGAGAACAUUUCUUAUACGACCACGAGACCAGUUGCCUGGCCUCAAUCAAUUAGUUAUUUGACUUAAAGAAUGUGCUUAGCUACUUUCAGAAUGAAUGGUUCUACGCUCCGAACGAGUCACUAUAAAUGAUUGAAGACCGAGUGAACUACCCUUGUCGACCCCUAGUCCAGUUGCCCUCCUAAUAAUAGAUAUAAUAAUGACCUUUGUUCUGAAACUCCCCGCGGGAAGUCCUACUCCACUAGAGCCGAGGCUGCCACACUGCCCUGAUAUGCUGAAACAGGAAACAAGGGAUUCCACUACUCAAUGUAAGAAUCAAAUCGAUACUAGAGGGAAUGGUAGCACUACAAAGAAGGAUCCAGCUAAUGGCCUCAACCCUGACUUAUUCGUUUCUAAGCCUAGCUAUCCUGUCCCUAACUCUGACGCCCUCCCAGUGAAGUUCUGAAACUAAUGCCUAUGCUAUGUGUCUUGCUUUACUGCUUAUGAGACCUUAGCCCAACGUCCCUUAUUGACCUCUUAUUUACUAUUGGAAAAACCUAGGCCUUCAAGCCAGUAUUCACCCCUAAAACGAACUCCUCUUGCUUUCAUUCCGUAUUGAACCUAUGUGUAUUUCACCUUUGAGCUUGUCAUUCCUUCCUAUCAGCCUUACGGCCCCAGCCCUAGAGUAGCUCAAUAUACAUCGACCCUUGCUUUCGUUCUGUAGUUACUGGUCCGGGUCUUUGCCUACGAGAUUGAGUCUACCGUCCCUUGGGUUUAGUAUGACUUUCCGGGCAAACAGGCUUAACUAUCCUUUCUUUUAGUCCCCUUUCUUUCAUUCUAGUUCUAUGGGCUUAUUGUUAGAUGCACUAGCGGAGUACCCGGAGUGAAAGGUGGGGCAAAGAAUGCAGUUGGUGCUUUAGAUAGAUCGUUUUUUUCUAUUGGGUUGGGGAUGUCUUCUAAGCAUUAGUUUUAUGAACUUGGGGUCUCUGCGUUCUUAUUAGCGGUGGCUCUCUUCUCUUCUUGUUUUGUUAUUGGGAGCGGAGCUCAGUUCCUGGGUUCGAUUCUUGUUAUUAGCGGUUGGAUUUCUCUUUCUUAUUGUAAUUCCUAGUUGGUAGCUGUUCUCUCAUCAGAUCAGUAGUAACUUGAUUCUAUAGGGUCUAAUAUUAGUAUUUGAUAGCCAGGGAAGCAAGCCUCUCAUCUCAGGUAGUAGUGUCAGUCAGUUUCAAAGCAAAGAGAGGCAGUUUUGACUACUGCGCUAGUAAGCUCAGCUAGAGCAUAGGAAUUUAGGGCGGAGUUCCCGAAUGAUAGAUGGGAUAUUCAAACUAAUCAAAGUCGGGAGAGGAAAACUCUAACUCGCGCGCAAUUCUACUAGAUCAAAGCGCGGAUAGUGAAAUUGAUAGUGUUGAGCUACAGAGUGCAAGUAAUCAAUUGAAGAAUAAGAGAAGGUCAAGUCAGAUCCGAGGUCGGCAGCAGUAUUCCCCGUUCCUAGGUGAGUUCUUGUAUAGUAUCGGUGUGUAGUCCAAUCCCUUAGGUUUAGGUGCAGUUCCAUCAGUAGUAUUUCUUUUAUUGGCAGAGUCGACUUAGCUAGGUAAGCGAGAGAGCGAAAGCAGAGACCUUUUGAACCCGCUAAUAAACAACUAAUCUGAUAUCAGUUAAUUCAUUAUUGUAUUAUGGAGAAUGAACAAACAAGCAAAGCAAGAAAGCAGAAUUAAGGGCAUAGUUCAGUAAGAAGAGCUGGGAGCAGUGUCGGAGUGAAAGGCAUUAGUUGAAGUUCGAAGCUAAGCGCGGAUUCACAAGCAAGAAUGCCAGGAACGAGUCUAAUAACGGGUAGAGGUGGACUAAAACAAUUACUGGUAGUAAUGGCAAGCACGGAUCUAAUUAAGGAAAUCAAGUUAGGAGUAGGUCUUUGCUACCGGCAAAGGGUAUGUUAUCUUAAAGAGUCAGACUUGGGUUACUUAUUGCAAUUCUGACCUGAUUCUUAUUAGCAAUAGAUCAACUCUUUCCGAUACUAAUAUAAGUUUGCGAGGUUUGAGUUGGUUAGGUUAGACAGGAAAGACAGCCUGAGUUACUAGAUUCAUGCUUAGGUUCGAUUCUUUUCUCUGACCUUUGAUCAGUGGUUCUCAUUAGCUGUUAUUUCAGGCGUUAGGAUAGUAACGUAAAAUACUGUGUGGAAUUACGAAAAAGUCAACGGAACAAGUCUGGGUUUAGAACAUAAGUAUUGUUGGCGCUGGUCCAAUCCUUGGUUUCUCUCUUAUGAAUUGAGGAAAUAGAAAAAGAAGUGAUAGUUUGAAAUCGAGGAAAGUAAUACGGAGGGUAAGCCGGAGUUCUGAGUUGAGGUAUUGUUGUUGGCCGGCACUAGCCCAAUCCUUAUUAUUGGUAGUAUAGGUGAUUCCCCGAGGUAUAUAUAGUCAAGGUAUCAAUUCACUGAUUCUAGUACUAAGCAUCCAGUAGUAGACUCAUAAUUGAACUAGUCAGUAGCGGUCUAUUCCAUUAGUCAGUAACAGAGGGCAACUCCAUAGUGAAAGUCAGAAUGGAACUAAGUAGUCAAAGGAUGAAGCCUCCCCAGUAGUUGUUUGAUUCUGUAUUAGUGGGUGGCCUGGCUGACCUGAAGUUAAUGGUUAGAGUUUACAAAAACAGGACAACUCCCAGGACUUGUUUCGAGUUAUCAUAUGGAUAGUCAGCGUUAUUAGUUUCAAACAAGUAAUGCAAGGUUGGAUAUCAGUUGAGUUUGGUGGACCCGGAUCAGCCGUGAGAGAAUGAACUGAGUCAAAGUGGGGCUUUAGGGCGGGGGUGUUGGUUUGGAAGCAAGUGAGGUAAGCCAAUAAGUCAUAAUUUGGUUGAUAUUUCUCAGUUUCAGAGAUAAGAAAGGCAGGCUAGCAAUAAAGAGGGUAAGCUCAUAGGCACCAGUGGAAUUCCCUUCUUCUUUCUAAAGUCCUGUCAUAACUAUUUCUAUUCUUGGAGGCAGUAGCGUAUUCUUACUUUUUAGGUUGUUUCUUGGAAGUAGCAGUGUGAGUUCCAUUUCUUUCUACGCGUGCGGGAAGGGGAUACUCCAACAAGCGAGCAGGGAUCCGAUGCUGUGGCUAAAGCCUUGUAAGCACCAGUUCUAUUCUAAUUGUGAGUAGUUCAUUUCUUUCAGUUGGUCUUAACGGCCUUGUGGUGGCGACCUGUAUUCUCAUAAUAGGAAAUAUGCUAUGCAGAGUAAGUAGCCAAUUCUUUAUUGUAAGUUCAAGUCUCGGUAGCACUAUUAGUAGUUUGAUAGCAAAGAGCAGAAGACUCCAAGGUAGAAUACAUAAUUGAAGUAGGGAGCCUAAGCCCUAUGGUUGAGCUACGGAAUGCAAGUAAGCUGUUUUUGGAGUGAAAGCAAGGUGAGGUAAAUCAAAGAAAGGAAAGUGAGACUUAAGGGUAGUAAAGCAAGAGUGAGUUCCCCGGUAGCGAAGCCCUAGUUCCGAGCUAUAGUGUAGUUGGGCAGUGUUCGAUUCCAGUGUCUCUUGGUUCAGUACUGCCUGUAUAGUACCCAUUCUUAUCAAGUAGUGUUUCAAUCUGAUAGUAAGUAGUCCAUUUCUUAUUGGUAGUAGCUACAGUCUGAUACCCUUAUUUCCAUUCCGAUACUAUUACUCUUUCUUGAUAGUGUGCUUAUUACCGGUAUUGGUGAAAGAUCCGAAGAAAGGCCCCAGCGAUGAGAGAAUUUCAGACAGGUAGGACAGGCUCACAUACAGCAAGCAAGUUCAAGAGUCCAAGUCAGUAUAGUAACGAGUUUCGGCAAGUAGGAUCGCAGACUCUCACUCAUAGGCUUUACCCGCAUUCUUAUCCGCAGUUGUUGGGUUCCCGCUUUCAAGUUAAAGUCCUGCUUGCUGGGGUUAUAUUCUCGUAUGCCCUGAAAAGGGUCUUGAUUAUGGAAAUGAAAAACCUUGUUAGCACUAGUGGAAUUCCAAGUUUCUAGUUAAAGUAUGGAUAGGCCGGGUUCGACUCUUGUUGGUAUUGGUUUGAUUCCAAUAGAGAGUAGAUUAGAUCUCUGUCUUGAGUUAGAGUAUUGUUAGCGCCAAGCAACCACUAAGGAUAUAAAGCAAAGUCAAGAAGCUAGUUCCAAAUGCGGGUAGCAAUACUUUAUAUAGGGCUUGGUAGGGCUUGAGGGUAGCAAUACUUUAUAUAGGGCUUGGUAGGCAUUGAGGUCAGUAUUGCUAUUCGGGGGGAUAUGUAAUACUAAAGCUUAGAGGCAAGGCUAAGGGAGGCUAAAGCUUAGAGGCAAGGCUAAGGGAGGGGAGGAGUUUAGUCAGAGUGAAAGCGGGGAAAGCAAUCUUUAUAUAUAGGAGUAGGAGCCUUAGAGGUGAGUAAAAGAAUCAAAAGUAAGGGCCAAGCAAGGGCAGCUAGCGUCACAGAAUGAAACUGAGGAGUCAAAGAACCAAGCCAGUGCCACUCAUAGCCAAACACCUGACUCACAGGACAAGCAACUAAGUAAGACGGCCCUUCCUUUGGAUUUGCCCUUCCUUUAUAGACAAAGAGUCCCUACUCUGCGUGUUGUCUCUUCACACAAGCGGAUACUUGCGUCUUCGGCAGAUAGAAAGGAGAAGUUACUUACGGUCGGUGAAAUAGCCCAUCGCCGAACUCUACGCUCUUCUUGCUUAACGUUCAAACUCUCCUUGGAUAUGAAGAAAGAAAUCCUUUCGACUAUCAUUGCUACCUGUGCUGCUUUGUGAAAAAGAUAUGAUGGAUCUCGGCAGUAUAGUGGAAAAGGCUACUUGAAUCUCCGCAACUAUUGGGUAUGAACCCGGCUCAGUGAUGGCGUGGAACUCAAACUGGUUUUGGUUUCCCCCUCAUUGAUUGAUGGAGCCCAAGACUGCUUGACCACUUUCGGUGUGGGAUCAGCUUGAGCCGAGGUCGUCUCGUAACAGGAACAUAAAGAAUAGCAAAGAAGGCACAGAAGCCAGAAUAGCAAUGAAUAUUGGCUGUAACUAUAUCCUAUGGUUAGCAAUCAACGGAGGAGCCUCGCAAGCCAGCAAGUAAACCUCUUGAAGAUCUUCGGCCCAGUUUAUGAACAAAACUCACUUACUUAUUCAGGCUUAUAUAUGAACUGCAAAGAAGGCCCUCAUCUUUAGCAAAAACGCCCUCAUCUUUCGCGUGGAUAUGGUUGGUAUAAGCAAAUGCAUGAUACUGUGGAAUCAGGAAGGCUUUUUCGUAACUUAUACUUAUAUGCUACUCUCACCUCCUUGAAUUCUAAGGUUUGAGCCUGGCGUUCUAUCCACUUACAUUAGAAGUUCAUGAUAGAAUGGCGCAGUAGGAACCGGUCGGAUUCGAACCGACGAAUAGAAGUUUUGCAGACUUCUGCCUUAACCACUUGGCUACGGUUCCCUAGAAAUUCUAUGUCUUUACCCCUUGCCUUACUAGAAUUCAUGCUUUGCUUCAGAGGGUUAUACCAGUAGUAUAUCAGACGGAAUGCCUUGGUUAGGACGCGCAAACGUAAGCGGAAAAGAAAUAUAGCGAUGCCCGCUUCAUCCUUUGAUUAUGAACCAGCAACAUACUCGUCCUAAGCCAAUGGCAGGGUGUUUUGCUUAACUGGGGCCGGGCAUUGAUGCUUGUCUGACUUCUGGCUAGGAGUGGAGCAGUCUGAAAGUGCAACAAGGAAGUCGGAAGAACUCAAUCAAGGGGGGGAAAGUCAUUUUCUCUAAGAUUCAAAGGGUGGAAAUCUAUCAAAGCCAUCUAAGGCAGAUACCGGUGUUUGCUCUGUGCCUUUGAAAAGUAUUGUUUCCGAGAUAUGAUCUGUUGAGUCUGCUGAGGCAAGAGACCAGACCUGCUAAGCUAGGCCUUCCAAAGCUAUAUCUCUGGAUUAUUACUCGAUUAUUACUUAUGAUCUAACUGACUCGAACUCCGUAUUUGGAAAUACACUCUCUAUAUCUAUUUGGAAAUACACUCUCUCUCUCUGUUGCUUGCCCGCUUCAUCUCUAAAUCUCGCUCGGUAUAAGGAAGAUAUAAGAAGUAUUUGGGAUCAUAAACUACAACGUUCUUGACUGAAAACGCUUAUUGGGCUGUAUUAAUCACUCGCGACCUAGGUAACAUACAUAGAGGAUUCCGUACAAAGGGGAAGUUUCGACUCAAUCGACCGGGGGAUCAUGCUAUGUCAAGGGGGAAGAUGAAUGUACUUACCUGCUCAUUCGAUAAGAGAGGGAUUGGAAGAAUUAAGGCAAAAGGGAUUUAUGAAGAUAUACCUCUGUAGUACCAAAAGUGGUCUGAAUUCGAAAUAUACCAGCUAAGCUCGAACAAAGGGAAAAGUUUGGAUUCUAUUAUGAAAUACCGAGACAAGCAAGCAAUAAAGUCAGCGAAGACAGAGAAAGAGGGAAGACCAUGUCAGGGAUGGUUCGACAGAUGAAGGAAGGCAUGGAGUUAUUAAUACUUAAAGAGGUAUUUCGUUCGCGUAUAUCGUUAGCUUUCUCUCGUCUGAGCGUUUUCAGAAAUAUGCUGAGUCUCUGUUGUUUCCAAGUAAAGACCUGUUCUUAGCGAGUAAGGAAGGAGAUCUUAAGGCGAGGACUCAAUCUCGGUCGUCGGGGGAUUAGAUCAUAAGUCAUAAGAGAGUCAGAAUAAAGAGAUAUAGCUCUGGUAUACGGUAUUGUACUAAAAUGAAAGGAAGGAAUGAAUGGACUGAUUUAUUUACCCAGCGAAAAACGAAAAGCAAGGGAAUCGUAGCUUAUCAGAAAACGGCAAGGGAAUCGUAGUGGAUCUUAACGUUGAAGCGAAAAACGAAAGGCGAGGGAAGGGAAUCGUAGCUUAUCAGAAAACGGCAAGGGAAUAGCCAAGUAACUACAACAAACACAUAGCAAGCAAUAAAUGACACAGGACUAGUAUAUUCAGAGAAAGAUCUUGGGCGUUCAGUGGAUUACCAUAAUACAUAAUAGAAUAGAAUAUAAGCUGGAAUUACCCUUAAAUAUAAUCGAAUAGACUGGAAUGACCCUAUAAUAUAAUAUAAUGGAAUAGAAUAUAAGCUUUAAUGAUAAUGGAAUAGAAUAUAAGCUGGAAUUACCCUUUGGAGCUCAGUUAGCUCAUCGCUCUAGUACGGUAAGUCAGUCAAUUGGUUAAAACCCAGUAAAUGACAUCUCUUUCCUCUCCUGCGCUUGGGAAUCUCUACCUUGCUUGGGAAGACAAUGGUUCUCUCUAUUUGCCCUUGGGAAGACAAGACGAUGCUUCUAUCUCCAUUUUCUAUCUGUAGUAACAAUGCCAGUUCAAGCUAUCUUCGUAGGUCCCAUUCAUUCUCGAUAAUAAGUGAGCAAUCCAUUUCCUAGAGUAGUUCAUUCUUACCAUAGAGUUCCUAGAGUAGUUCAUUCUUACCAUAGAGAGUAGUGAGCGUUCUUCCCGGCCUCUUUUUCUUUAUGAGCCGAAAUCACUGGUUUCAUGGGUCUUAUAGGUCAUCCUCUAAAAAGAAAGAAAUAUAGCUUGAUUUUCGGGAAAGAACUAUCGGGCUCUUCCUUCCCUUGUUUGCUUUGCGCUCUUCUGUUGUGCGUGCUUGUCUUUGAGGUUGCUUAUUGCUUCUGGAACUUUACUGAAGGAAUAUGCUGUGCGCUGCGGAAUGGAAUAUAAGUAACAUAUGCAUUAGUUAUGAAUAUUAAGUAACAGACUCCAUAAUUGAUGAAAUCAUCUCUCGAGCGCCCUUGGCAAUACGGAAUGGAAUCUAGCAGUCCUUAUUCCGUUACUAGUUCGAUGCGCCCUUUGCAAUAAGGAAUCUAAUCUAGCGGAGACUCAUAUAGAAUAGAGUAAACAAACACUAGAAUGAAAAUCACCUUCAUAAGAGAAACAUUAAUGAAAAUAGUAGUGCACAUAGAAUCAAAUAGAAUAAGAUUACUCAACACUUAAUGAACUCUACUUACUUGUUUUGUUUGAAUAUGAUUUAGUGCCCACAUAGAAUCAAAUAGAAUAAGAUUACUCAACACUUAAUGAACUCUACAACUCCGUAAGCGCUUGUUUCUUCAUAUUAUACCAUUCUGUAACAUCACUCCUAUGACUUAAUAACAUAUCGGCAUCCUCAUUCAUUGGUCCAGAAACUGCAUUCACCUGAAUAGCCAGACCAAGUAAGACUCUUGAUAAGCCAGAGCCCUAUACCCUACUUCCUUCUUUAGGCUCUGCACUCUAUCUCGGCACAUCUUUUAAAGUACCAUCGGCUCUUUUUUACUGUGUCAACAAGACCUUCCCAAAACUCUCUUUUUCCGGAGACUGAUCAAGAUUUCCACUAUCGAAUUUCUACUAGGUAGGCUUUUAUAGCAGUGAUGGUACUGGAUGGCUUUAGACACAGGGUUCGUUUUCUCACCGUCGUGGAAUAUCGAUGGUUUUCUUCGCUACGACAGGCUCCAGAGCUUAUCCAAAAGAAAGAUCACAGGGCCGCGCAUAUGUUAGAACAACGCCUGAGCGCAGAGUUGUAUGCCGAAAGAAGUCACACUUUUUGAUGGAGGGGGAAUGUAUGAAGUCUAUCUCCUCCGAUGCAGCAAGAUUCUUUGGACUUCGGCUAGCAAAGGAAAGGUGAAAUCCACUGAUUAGGAUAGACUAAGACACCCACCACUUACGUAACUAAGGGUACUGACUUAUGCGGUAGGAAAGCGGAAUGAAUCCCUGUACACUCAAUGCAUGCUGUGAAAGUAAGUCUAUUAAUUCUACCUAAUGAACUGAUUCAACCUCAUUCCCACAGAUUAUUUCGGACCGGGUUGAAGUGCUUUCCGAUGAAGAAGUUGUCUUGUAUAAGGUUGGUGAUGAACGGCCUUAGGGUCCCUACACUACUGGACUCGAAACUAAUCCUAUGCCUUGUGAAAACUCAUCCUAUGCCUUGUUAAUUAGUCUAUACUAUCUAUAAGCUAUAAGGUAAGCCAGAUCUAUAAGGUAAGCCAGUGGCAUGUCCCUGAGUGGUUAACUGAACUCCCUUUCUCUUUUCCUCUGUAUUUGAUUUCUGAGCUCUAGCUUCUGGCAUUCUUAUGUCUUAACGGAAUGGCUGCUCAACUUCUUACCUGUCCUCUUCAAUACAAGGCGAAAGGUGGAAAAGACCUAUUUAGGAAUGAGAUCUUUCUUUCCCCAAUACCAAAGUCAGGGCACUUCCUUCUUUGAGCAUUUAAGAUGGAGAUAAUCGCUCUUUUCUGUGAUUUGAUCUUGCCGUUAAGAAGGACGCUAAAGAAGAGUCAAACUAUCCCUCUUCGGGACCAGAAGGAAACCGCAGCUCGUUGCGCAUUAGCUUCAAACAUGGAAUCUCAGGCACGGCAUAAUUCUCCAUGACUGCGUCUAUACACUCACUGCUUAGCGUAAGUAGGGUAGCUUACUUUAUACUUUAGGUCCAUAAGAGAUUGAGAUUCAGUCCCAUACGUCUCUUAUGGUGCCCGAUCCGAUACAGCAAGUUCUAGUGAAAGAGCUCCUCCGUCCACGAGUAGAUCCUUUCUCCUAUGAAAUAAGCACAGUACAGCGAAAUAAGCACAGUACAACCACUAUUUUCGCCCGGGGACUCGACCGAUAUACUCUAAUCUUUGCUUCGCAACCUUAUUAUUUUGUAUAUAAUUUGAUCUUCCUUAUUAUUUUGUAUCUUUUGCUUCGCAACCUUAUUAUUUUGUAUAUCUUUGGGUGCUCAGUGUUCAAGAGGUUUCGGAUAAAAGACGAAGGUUGUCUCUCUCUUUGGAUUCGAAUCUUCAUUCUUUUCAUUUUCUGACGGAAGGGAUUUCCACUUAUACUGGAACGAGAAGAGAAAACACACUUUUGAGAACGAAACGACGACUUUGAAGAAUUGCCCACUGCCCCGCCACACCUAAGCUGUCUUUCCCGGCUUCUAACUCUUCCACGACUCACUCUAAAACCAACACUACUGCCCGGCAUUCCUUUAAUGGAGUUUUGGUCUCCUCCACCCUCCUACUGUCUGUGUCAUUACCUUUAAGUCUCCGAACUCUGCUUUUCACUCUUCAAUUGCUUGUUGCGAGUCCACCUCCCCUUGUAGAAAAUCCUUAUUGAACCUAUCAGCCCUUAUUUGUUAUUGAAAUAAAUAUGCCGAGAGUUCGAGUCCACUAAUUGCUUCUUUCCCCUUGAGCCCUCUACGUGCUUCUUUCACUUUGGCAACCCUAACUGUAUACUUUACCUCAGCAGUUGAUUCUACAGUUACUAGAUACUUCACUCGCAUAGCAUCUUUUCCCUCGUUGAGAAAACUGGAACUUAACCUUUAGCAAUAGAAUUCGCCCUAAAUCCCACUCCUACCUUUUAGUAUUACUUGCGAAACCCCCGCUCCUGUCUUAGCUUUCUUUGACUCUGAAACUAGUAUAUAGAAGACUGGACCACUGCCUAGGCCAACAGGAAUAUCACACGACAACUAGGGCAGGGCACUGAACUACGCCUUUGAUUCACCAAGCUACUACUAUUCUCAGAAAAGAAGCGAACUUCCUUUCCUCUUAUAAACAAGUCCUGUCUUCGUAGAUGUUUUCACCGGGAAAGUUUUGGGUUAGAGGAGGGUUCGCAGAAUAGCUAUCAACGGCUGAGGAAGCAGUCUUCGGUUUUUCCCCAAAAGGCUAGGCGAGUGAAUAGAGAAAUCCAAGAAAGACUCAACUAACUACCGAAAUGGCUUCUUUACUAGAAAGAAUUACUGCCGCCUUAAUGAGCCUUAGUAAGGCCGACAAAAGAAUCACUCUCCAGAAAAAGAGAAUUCAGGCUCUUUUGAAAAAGGCAGAAGAGGAAGAAGAUGAUCACAUAAAUAAUGGAUAGUCAGUAGCUUGCUCAUGGGUUAAUGGAUAGUCAGUAGCUUGCUCAUGAGUCACUCCCUCCCUCUUAGUUUUAGCAUAAAGGUGGAAAGAAAGAGAGUACUCUCCAUCCCAUCUCAGUUGGAAAGUGGAAUACCUUUGCUACGAAAGUUGGCUAUGAUUCCCACAGAGAAAGAAACAAUCUGCAGCCUUACAUAGCUUUUGGCGAACCACAACUCGUGCUUUAAGCUUAUCCCUUCCCCCUUCUAUCUCUACCCGAGCGAGGGAGAGUCCCCGUUUCUGGUCUUGCUUGUGCCUGUUGCAGCUCUUGGUCUUCCCAUUUACUUCCGCCGAAUACGAGAGGUAAAAAGCAAGUUAAUCCAUUAGCCACCUCCCUUCCUUCGGCUCCUCUUUAGAUCGUGGACUAGGGCUUAUUAAGGGAAGCACUUCGUUCCACUCGUUCCGGGCUUAUUAAGGGAAGCACUUCGUUCCACUCGUUCUAGACAUACUCUAAACUCCUAACAAGAGAAAGAAGGAAAACAGGGAGUAAACAAGAGCUACAACAACUAUAGUGUCAAGGCCAGAAGGAAGGAGACAAGGGGAGUUUCUUUUUCGAAAAUCCCUAAACUUAUCCGCUUAUCGGCAAGAGCAGGGACCUACAGAAAGAGACAGGACAGCAAACUAAUUGGCACGAGUCAUAUCUAUUCUUUGCUCAUUAAGUCUACGAAGCGAGCUGGGGAGAGAGCGACCUCUUCAACUCAACAACUAGAAACUCUAUCUGUCAAAAAGUACAAGUCAGAAAGAAAAUCCACUAUUAAUACAAUAAGGGAGUCAGACUCAAGUAUACGCUAUUUCUUGCGUUGUUAGGCGCGGGUAAGAGACAGUGAGUGUGAUCAAGACUGUUCAAUAAAGUGCUUUGCUCAUAGGAUAUAUCAAACAGUGCGUGCCCUUUUUUUCUCUGUGCCCUGUAAUGAAAUAGGAAGAGCGAGAUGUUUCCUAUCCAUGACCUCAGGAAUAAGGGUCCUGUCCCAUGGUAGCGAAGGAGAACACCCAUCUUAGUAAAGCUAGGAGCGGUUACUAUGAGGCUAAAGCUUCGAAGCGAGCCUAUCAAAGAAACUUCUUGCAUCCCGUAUUCUAGGUAGAGGUACCAUCGGAAUCGGGACAACAUUCCAAUCGGCAAUUGGCCACGUAAUGAAUUAGAAUAGGUCAAAUUGCUUAUAGAAAGGGAUUAAUCCACUUGUACUCUAGCUGGUAUGACGAAGUGAAGGGACUUUUCUUGUACUCUAGCUGGUAUGACGAAGUGAAGGGACUUAUCCUAAGAGAGGCUCGAACGUAGCCCAUGAAGUUGGUGAUUAAUGAACCUUGCUUUUGUUGUUUAGUUCAAAGAUCGGGGGUUGGGUUGCUAUCAAGGAAACGAAUCUGGACUUCUGACUUCCUAGUUCCACUCCAGUAAGCACGAUGUAGCGAAGGGACGAAACAAGAAAUAGGGCUCUUAUCUCUAGCUCUUUCCUUGGGUUGUAUAAAAGGGGAAAGCAAGACGGCUAUGCAGUUCAAAUAGGACUUCUUUCCCUACCGGCGAUGAUGGAUAUUUUCUUUCACAGUUCCACUCCGGGACUGCUUUCCUUUCCUGCAUUACCGGAUUGAUUGCUUUUCUUCCCAUUCCUCCAGCUGCAACAUAAGAGGGAACAGCCUAUUCUUUAAGUCGAUCUGGUCUAGAAAAAGCCUUUCGAUCCAAUUCUCCCCUCUCUGUCGAAGUCAAGCGAGAAACCUAUCCUACUGCCCAUGGGGAAUAUCAAUAUUAGGCUAGGCGACUACUAAUACUGGUUUUGUUGAGUGAAACGACUGCUUGGUCGAGCGUCUGCAAUCCUAUCCUUUCCUAAGAGUUCCUUCGUUGAUAUCCUUUCCUAAGAGUUCCUUCGUUGAUAUCCUUUCCGUCGCUUCAUUCCUAUGGCUUACUCGCUCGAUAUCUUCGUUCCUAUAGCUAACGCUAUCGUCGCUCUAACUAAUGGAUUUUUGAGUGAAUAGGGCCUUCGUACUCUUACUUCGAAACUAUUGAUGAUAAAUCCUUGUCCCUUAGGUUAUUCGAUGGGAGUUUACGGCGUGAUAGAUCGUCAUCAUCCGCUCCACCAAAGGCUACUAGUUGAUUACGCAGAGCUUUUUGACUGCCCUGACCGUCCAUAAGUAAGAUAAGAAAUCCAACCAUAGUAAUGCCCAUAAAUGAUAGACCAAAAGGAAUGAGAAAAUGACUUGUAAGGAGUGACUUGAGAAUUGGUAAUUCGACUUGAUAAUGGAGUAGUUAGUUCGGGAGAUGAUACCUUUGAUAUUGUUGGACCCUCCUAAGAGCUUAAGGAAAUAAAGCCUAUAGGAGUAGUUCAAAACGAAAGGAUAAGUUAUUUUGGUUGUUGACUACAUGGGAAAUGGUUCUUUUUCAUUAAAAGACAGCGCGCACUUUGAGAAGCACAAGACCAUGGAGUCCCCGAAACGGCUAUUGCCUUUAUUUAUUACGCCUUGGUCAAGCAAGUAUGAGGCGAGAAAGAUCAAGAGUGGAGAUGUGAGAAAAGCAUAACUUCUAAAUGCAACCUUCUCAUUCGAACACAAGACUCGUUUAUCACUCUUCCCUUGAGAAAUUGACCUCAAUCGUAGGCAAGGGGAUACCCACACCUUUACCUUUCCUUCCAGCAUCUAGGAAUAAGUCCCUUACUUUUCCCCUCAAACAAAGCCUAUUCUCGAGAAAAUAUGUAUUAUAAAUCCAAUAUGUCUUUAUUAGAAAUCCAAUAUUUCUUUGAAUCGUGAGAAGGAUUUUAUGCUUAGCGUUGACUAGCUUUGACCGGGGCUUACUAAUGGUAAAUAAAGUGAAACUCCUGCUUGCUUUACUCGGAAGAAAUGCCCUAACCUUACUCAAUCAUGCUACUUGAAUGAAAGACGGGAAAAUAGCCGGCUUCCGAUAUGCCCAAAUACAAUCCAAAGAGAAAGGCUAAUAGCCCGUGAAACAUCUGAUUCUAUAAGAAUGCUAUUUAUGUCAGCGGCGUAGACAGGAGUUGUUACUUUCUCUUCCACUAUAGCUAACUGGGGAUUCAAGGCAUAGUCAAAGAAUGGAGCUAGUGAUAAACAGGCUAACUACCCUUGGACUUUCAAGCUCAAACUCAUGCUUUAGAGGCUUCCCUUCUUUAUUGAUUCUUUCACUACUGCCAGCAGCUGACGCUGACCUUGCUUUACCGCCCUUAACCUUUGCUUGUUUUUGUUCUUCCACCGUACCCCCCCGAUUGAAAGAGUUAAACCCAUGCUAAUAAGACUUACCUACUAUGAAAAUAACUAUCAAAAAAGAGCUUAAGCCAAGCAACUGCUAAACAAGCAACUCGGGAUUACACUCGGGUAGUAUUACCUCAGCAACAUGAGCAACAAGGCAUAUAAGGCUACUCAGUACCCUAAACCCUAAACUUCCCGUAGCCAAACUCAGUAGCCAGAGGUUGAGUCGGGGUUAACACUAGGUCAGAUGGCAAGGAAGGGUAUAGCUAAGCAUAUUCCUCAAUAAGAGCAAGAGGUGCGGGGGUACAUGCAAGGGAAAAGCGCGCAAAAGGCGGUACAUGGCUUUAGCUUCAGAUUCCAGGAUUCCUUACAUGGCUUUAGCUUCUUCUUACUGGAUUCCUAAUCAAUUCGAGUUCAUGGACACGCCUCCCAAAGCGAACGAUUGGAUUAUACCUAGUUCCAUUACCUAUUGUAUAUUAUACCUAGUUCCAUUACCUAUUGUAGUAUUAGUAAGAACAUUCCCUGAGCUCGUAUAGGCACAUGCUCCCGCUAACCCAUUAAGGAAAAAGAACACUUUCUAAAGCAUUGGGACUUACUCGCUUCUCCCCAUGAAUGAACACUGAUGGAAUCCAUCGAGAGGUCGGGUUCAACAACUUCGGAUGAUAUCUCAGCCAUAUCAAAGUAAAGAAACCUUUGAGAGUAUAGUAGUUGAAUGUGAGAAAGAGAGCCAUUUUGCGCUGAUCACGGCUGGUUCUACUAUAUGGAGGGCUCAGAUAAAGUGGAAGUGCUUUGCUUUGCUUUCCUUCACGCUGAGUGUGAACUGGAGAUUGAAGGCUGCUCGGAAGAUUGUUGAUGACAUCAAUCUGCUAGGCCCGUCUGUCGAAUCGUUUUUCAAUGCAUGCGAUCUUUCGAGUAGGAGUCGCUGGCACUGGCUUUCGAUUCCGUCCUGUCUUUUCUUUUCCGUUAAGUAUGAUCAGUCGUAGGGCUCCUUUUGCAGGAGUUUAGUUUCACGUCUGUCUCGUAGGAAAGAUCUUCUUCUAGUUUUUAGGUUAGUCAAAUCCGUUAAGCAUGGCAGUACAAGGCACUGAGUCCUUUUUCUAGCAGUCAUUGCGUAAUCGUAAGCAGCCCUUCCAGACAGCAAGUGAGAGUUUCCCGAGUGUAAGUAGGCAAAUAGUAAAGGUUCAGCUGCAGUGCCAGGCAUAACUCCCAAUACACAAUAAAACGAGUGCUUUUCUUUUGUAAGACUUAUGCUCGGUAGUUACAGAAUUUGACCCCCUGUAUCCGAGCCUGUAGUAGUAGAGAGGGGAGCUAGCACCAGUAAGUAGUCAAUAUAAGAAUCCAACCAGUCAAUCAAAGAAUCAGACUUAUUACGAGCUGAGAAGGAAUUUGAUGACCCAGGGGAUCUAUUAUGUUCGGUGGGAAGGUAAGCUUUGAAGGGAAUUGAUACGAAAAAGGGGUGCGAGAAUCAAUAGAAAGAAUGUCAAUACCAGAGGAUGUUGCCAAUCCGUGCGUGAUCGGAGAAGGUAGAAUUCGAAUAGAAUAGUGAAAGACUUAUUAAGUCUAUAAGAAGCAAAAGAAACAAACAGGGUGAGGGUGAAGAUUCGAUUCUCGGGCAAGGGUUGGGGAGCAGCAGGCAACCAGAAGAAACUGCUGGUAUGAAGAAACUGCUGGUAUAAAGGUGCAGAUUAAUAAUGAGCAGUUAGUCUUAUUAAAUGAGUUGAGUUGUUUCCUUACAUCAAAUGAAAAAGUUUUGGAUAUAUAUUAAUACAUACAGACUAAUAGUUUGGUUGUAGGAAGGAAGGACUCUUUCCUUAUUGAGGGAUAUUCUAAACAAAGGCAAGACAAGACCUCUUUAAAAGAAAUUGGCAAGUAGAGAUGAGUACAGCUACAGCCGCCCUAUUUUCGAAAGGUUGACUUUUAUUAACGAAUGGAUCUAUGUUUCAGUCUUUCCCUAAGGUAAUUACCGUCGUUGGGAGUUGUAGUUGGAGAGUAGGUAAGACGUUCAUCUCUAUUCCUUUUUCGUAUGCCUUUCUAAUGCCUUGGAUUCUGUCUGUCAUUCCUUUUGUAGGUAGGCCUUCAGACGUCCAUACGCUCGAAUGCAGUUCCUGUCAGUGAGAAAAAGGGGGCUUUGAAAGCGGAGUUGUUGUAGGUAUUCGAUUGGCGGUUUAUUCCUCCCUUAUCCUUGCUAGCCAGCCAGUCACAUUCCUUCUACAACAAAAGGGAGAAAGUGAGUUUUCGUAUCGGCAUUAGAAGGAAUGCAAGUAUAGUUUUGGGGAUAAGAAUCCGUAUCAAGGUAAUAAACAGAAGAAUUCGCCGGGUAUUUAUAGAAUCAUUAGCCAGGUAUUUAUGAUAGAUUUCUUAUAUUAUAUAAAGAAGUAACCAACCAGCGCGCCUCUUUUCUUCCAUUCCAUUAGUAUUGUUUGAAAUUCCAUUCUCUAUUUCCAGGGGCCAUUGGGUAAUAAAUAGUGGUACAAAGAUCGGGAGGAGGGUCUUCAUCGUCAUCAAGUAUAGUUCUAUAUUCCAGUCUCAUUCUAGAAUAAGGAUUGGAAGCCGAGGGUUAGGGUGAGGAAUCCGGAUCUUCUCCUGCACUGGUUGUAGUGCUUUAGCCGCCCGGUUACGCUCCUAGUAUAGUAGUAUUAGUUCGGAACUGCAAGUUGUGUUUGAGUUGAAUCUAUGAUUGAAUCAGAGGCGAAAGUUCGAGUUCAGGUUGCGUGCUUCGCUUUUUCCCUUGAUUUUAUUGUCGCACAAGAAAGAGAGAAUCCGCCGUGAAGCAGAAGUAGAGUUCACCUCGAGAAUUGUGGAAUUGUGACGUAACUUAGUUAGUAUAUCAAUCUGUCACUGGAGAGUACAGUACACACUCCUUUCCUUCGCUUUCAAGGGCGAGUAGAACUCCAUUCUUUGGACCACUAUCUGUAAUUCCUAACGCUGAAAACUAUACUACAGAUACAGAUAGAGCUGGGUAAGAGGAUGGAAAGUCUAGUUCUGGUAAAUAAUAUAGUACUUGCUCUGUAUUUGUUGAGUUCGCAAGUAAUGCAAGUAAUAGUCAUAUUAAUAUCUGGUAUUAUAGUGGUUAAGCGUAAGAUAUCUGGUAUUAUAGUGGUUAAGCGUAAGCAGAAGAGUUUAAAGGUAAGGGCCCUACUUAUGAUUAAUGCUCAUUGAGUAUAGAAAUGAAUUGGUAAUCAGAGUCAGUCCGUCUUGUUUCGGGAGUGAAAAGAGACUGUUCACCUUGGUUCAUUAUAAGUCUUAAUUGCGGAAUUGAUGUUUGAAUGCGAAGUUGAAGCCGAAGAGAAUCUAGCUCGAAUUGAAUGGCCACCUAGCGCUUUAGCAGUGCUUGUUAAGUCUACAACAGAAGAAUCCGUUCUUGUUAAGUCUACUUCUCGACUUGAUGAAUCGAUUACAGCUUGAAGUUCAGAAUGGGAAUAUUUCCUCUUAUCUUGCACUUAUUGCACAAGGUAGAGAAAUCUUAGUAAAGGCUAACAAAGUACUCUUCAUUCUCUAGGGCGAACAGCAGACUUUCCUUUCCGGACUUAACUAGCACAAAAAAAGAUAUUAUACACAAGGAGCUACAGCCUACUUCACUUCUCAGAUCCAGAUCUUUAUCAGAAACAGAAGAAUUCGCCGGAGGUCAUAUAGAGAAAAGUCACCAACCUAGUGGGCUUGUUUCUUCCCUUUAAGAAUGGAAUUACAGAAUGAAGAUACUUACGGCAACACCGCAUUUAGAGUGAAAGAAGAGAGUGAAAGAAGAGAGUGCCGCUCCAUAGACUAAAUCCUUUGUUGAAAAGGCGCACUAUAAUCAACGGAGCUACUUCCAUUCCUAUCUUAUACGUAGGCAAAAGAGAAAGAUUCCAUAAAAGGUGGUGGUUGACAAUAUAACUCACUGCCCCUAGUGUUCAUCUCCUCUUGCUACAGCCAAACAACAACUAAUGAACUCUCCUUAUUCUUACCUUAGAGUGAAUUUAAGACUUUCAAUUAAGAGCGCUAGGUUGGGUGCCAGCUUCCAUCUUCCCUGGAUAUUAAUGACUUAUCGGAGUAGUAGAAUGAGCUAGGUAUGAUAGUUCUAUUACUAUAUGAAGAGUCGCGGUAACUAUUAAUGACUCGGAAAGGUGAAAGUAUUGUUCCAGUCAUCAAGUCUAAAUUCGGGUGCCAGGUAGCUGGGUGUUAGAGAUGCAAAAGUCAGUAAUAGGCUCAUAAAGAAACAGGGAAAGUCGUUUAUACGAGAUCAUAAGCCAGAGCAGUAUCCAAUCAGUCAACUACAAUCGGUUCAACAAGUCCAGAGGAAUCAGUUAAAGUGCAGCUCCCGACCCGACCAGAGAGAGAAGAAAAGAAGCUUUUGCACUUGUAUAACACUUUGUAACUAGAGAGUACACUCCUUCUUCGCCCUACUAGUAAAGAAGAGAAUUGCCUGUUUAUUGUAUUUCUGCAGGAGUCGAAUAAAGAUCAUAAGCCUUAAGCCGAAGAUCAUGCCCACUACAAGGUUCAAAAGUAAGCGGGAAAGAAAUCAGUAGAUUUGGGGUCUGGUGCUUAUAUUCUUUACAAAGAGAGUCAGCACUAUAUUCUUCACAAAGAGAGUCAGCAAGGGAACUAAGUGCAUUAGCCUGCCUGGCGCACACACAAGGUGCUUCAAGCCUAUCUAGCGCACACUUGUUCGAAAUCAUUGAAUUGAAACACCUAUUACAGAUUCAUUUCAUUUAAGAAAAUCAUUGAACUUACAGACAUAUAGAAUUGAGUAAAGACACUGCUUCCCUUUCGCCAACACCAACACGAGACACUGAUUGAAUUCCGACAUUUGCAUUGAGAACAGAACUAGACUUGACAAGCACAGCUCAUUAUUGAGUAUAGUAGACUUUCCUUACACCCCCAGCAAGAGUAGAGUAUAGUAUACUUUCCUCUUUUGAUAUAGAAAACUUGACUCGUUACUAACAGCAACUCAGGUACUCAUAAUAUAUAAUAUACCUUGAACUAUUGAUGGCUGAACACAUAUAGCAAGUAGGCAAGCAACUCACUUGAAUAACGGACCUACUGGACACCCCUAAUAGAUUGAUUCGAUAGUGGAUUCGGCUUGUCUGCAAGUCUACUUUACGAGUGGAAUCCUUGUUGUCGAUUCCACAAUGUUUCUUGUCCAGAGCCCGAGUCAAUUAGUCAUUCUGAUCUUUUUGUCCCCUGACGCACAACCAACGUCUUCUCCUAUCAAGUGGAGCUAACUCCCUUAUUUGGAAGAUAUGGUUUCUCAUUAAAAGAAGAGGCCCUACGGGGUAGAGGCUAGGGAGGGAGGAAAAAGAAUCAAUAUCAAGAAGGAUUGAUUUUACAUAAAAUGAUGCUUUCGGAGGGGAGAGCGAUUUCUUAGGCAGGCGGUUAAAGAUUCACACCUACCUUUUUCACUCUACCCGACCCUCACUAACUCUCACUCUUUACUUUCAAACAGGACCUUAUAGUAAUUCGGCAGCAGACUUCAAUGGUAGUUUGCUUGGCGAAUCAAACACAAAAGUGAGAACUAAUCCACCAAUACACGAAUAUUUCUCCUAUGGAAUAAGGGCGGAGAGGCUACAUCAGAAUUUCCCUCUACAACCAGUAUAUUAGCAUAAGGCUAUGGACCAGUAUAUUAGCAUAAGGCUAUGGAUGAUAACUACGGAACCUCCAUGAAACUUUUACACCGAUGUGAAGCUGGCAACUGAAGCGCAUGGGAUAGAACCAAGGCCAGUGAAAGAAAGAAGAAGCUACUGCCCCGCCCCGACUAGUUAGAAGCAAAUACUAACUAACAAGACAGCCACAGCUGUUUUUGAAUAAGAAGAAACCCCAGCUUGAGCCCUAUUUUGAAUAAGAAGAAACCCCAGCUUUAGCCCUAAUUUCCCUAGAAAUAGAAUAAUGCCUUAUAAGAUGUAAAAUCAUAGGCGCAUCUAAUAAUAGGAAAAGAGUCAACCAAGCCUAACUCAACAGGGAGUCGAUCUUGAUACGCCCGCCCACCACUAUGCAAACUGACCUCACCAACUAUAACGAAAAUGAUACGUUUCCCCACCUUUGAGGUUUCCUCUCCUGGGACCUAAUCUGACUUUCCUAUAUAUCAUUCUCUACCUUAGAUUGCCGAGUUGCACCCUACCUACACCAACAAAGGACAAGCAGUACACGCCCUAUUCUAUGUCCCAGAGCAGACCAAGCCUCAUUGCCUCACCUUUCAAACUACCCAUCUUUGUUUUCGUCCUGUAACACUUCCUUUUUGAUCUAUCUACUCUUUUCACUAACCCAGUAUAUUAUACUGUAGCUACUAAUACCAUCAGGCUGUAGCUACUACUUUGAAUAAUGAAAGAAAACAGCCAACAGUACUAUGCCAACAAAACAGGAACUUCCAACUAGGGAUCCAAACUCUGGCACCAAGACUGCAGCUAACUACUAUUAGAGUCAAAUAAAGAAUAUAGAGGUAUGCUCCAGCGCCAUACAGGAAAGAAGCUCAAAUAAGUGCAAUCAGGAACCAACUCAGAACAAUAAGAGUAGAACUCUCGGUCUUGUAGCUCCUUGCUUUAAGUCUAGCGCUGCUUGCUAAACUCUAACUUCUCACUCUAGUCACGCAACUCCCUUAUCUAAGCCUGCCGCUACUGUAAUCAAUGCCUGGGAAGUCUAUUAAACUCUUUUAUAUCAUUCUAACUAUCCUAGUCCCAAGUCCUAUUCCCCUUGCUUUAACUCGCCAAAUCUGACUUUACUGCUUCUAGGACUCCCUACCAACAUGACUUUACUGCUUCUAGGACUGCAGUUCACCUAUUUCACUAUAACCUAUAUCCUGACUUUAGCUCUUCUGCUCCCCUCUUGGAAACUGUUCUUAUUCUUCUAGUUGUCCUGGCAUUCCUAUUAGUGUUGGCUUGGUUGGUUUACUUACAUUUCAUUAUUCUAAUCAAGAAGGUCGUGCAGCAAAGGUAGUGUCUCAUUCCCAUAGUCUUAGUUCGAAGUCUGAUCGGUGUUGUUGGCUCUAUUCCUAUGAUCGGUGUUUUUCUUCUUAUGGGAUCUACUGAUACUCUGCAUUCUAGCUGGUAUCUUUCGAAGAAACCUCAUUUAGCUAAUGAACUACCUAAGAAACUAGAAUCUAAUACCAUAUGAGAAAACAUAAGUAACCAGAAUAAUAGUCGCUGGUAGUGAAAAUAAUACCCCCAAAAGAGAGAAUGAAAGAAAGGACGGUAAGUCUAGAUCUCGAACCUAUAGGCAUUGAAGGCGGGAUCGGAAGGGGCUCAUACGAGAAUGAGAUAAAACAAGGGUAGACUAAGGGAAAGCAAGGGAAGCUAACAAAGCGCCCAGCAGAGGGAGACUCAAAGGCUGUAAAGACUGUUUAAGUGCGCCCCCAGGAUAAAGUCCUGUUUCUAUUGGGUUCAGCCCUCUUUGGUAGUAAUUUAGUACAUAAGUGGAAUAUAUCUAAUAAGGUAGUCAUCUUACUGCUCCACCUUAUUUGGAGGUUGAUUUAGGCUUUCACACCAACCAGAUUGGGAGUUUGAGACUUGAAUACCAGAUUGAGAAUUGACAAGCUACUACGCAACAAAUAACUGCUUGUGUAACGCAUUAAUGAAAUAAGUAAUAACCGCUGUAUAACGUGUUAAGGUUCAGAGCAAGUCCUUUAUUUUUCACCUAGGGAUAACACUACUUCUUCUCUAUCUUCUGAUCUAGUAUCUUCUUUUGAGUACUUUCAUCAAACUCCACCUCCCUUGAAACAAAUCAUUCUUCUUCUCAUUUAGGUAUCUUAGUAUUACGGAUUGAAUUCUGAAAUGCGCUAGACUAGAUCGUACCCUUGGCCUAUCUCCACUUUGAGUUCGGAAUGCCAUCAAGCUGCUUCUCUCGUCAAUGGAAUCCCUUGCUAUAUGGUAUAGAAUCAAGUAAAGCCGAACAGGAAUAAGCAACGAAUAAUAAGCUUAGUUGGGAGCUCAACUCAAGUAAGUAGUUCUGACUUCUCUCAUUAGAUAACAGCAUAAACGUGUUUUAUAACGUGUUAAGAACCAGUUGAUUACAAAGCAUUUCCACUCCUUGAGACUUGAUAUGGAUACCAAACAAACCUAGUGCUCCUUAUGUGGUCUACGCGGGCUAGUGUUCUAAGCGGUAUAAUACUCCUUCCUACAUUGGGUCCAAGCGGUCUAAAAGAAAAGUCAGGAUGCUAUAAGGACAUAAUCAGAAUAGACUAGGGCCUAACUCAGAAUUAAUGAAGUCAGGAUCCCCUGCCUAGGUGGGUAAGGCUAAUAAUCAGAAUAUAGCGAACGACUACUUUACUGCCUAUACCUAUAAGAACGAAACCCUAAAAGUGAGAAUCGGCUCUUAGACAGGGAAUUGAACCUCCGUGAACGAGACUUGAGUCGCUCCUAACAGGAAUGGAACUCGCCAUAGCAGGAAACCAACUACUCCACUUAUGGUAUUGGGUCCGGGAACUUGUUCUUUCACUAAUGACUUGCAUUUGAUUUACUUGUUUAUUGACUUUCGAACAGAGGAAUCAGACCUAGAUGGCCGUUUGCGAGCUACCUACAACUACAGUGAAAUAGUAUCCGCUUUAGAGCUAGGAAUAGAGGACCUAGGUUUAGGGUUUUACCUAAUAGGGAAUGCAAGAAAGCAGUUUAGCGCUACACAAACAAAACACUGUAUGUGCCAAACUCUGGAGCGGCCCUUUAGCGACCAAUUACUUAAGGGCACAUCCGAAGUAAUAACAAAUAAGAAAUCGUAUAUAUGUGGUUUCUUAUUGAAGUGGUCUUUUAGUGUCUUGGCCCAGUUGUGUUCUAGGCCUUGUCUUGUAGCUAUAGUAUGGUUGCGUAAGUCUUAGAACCAGUGUUUGAAAGCCUUAAAGGCACCAGUAUAAGCCUUAUCAGUAGUAGCACAGUUCAAUUCCUUCUUGUAAUAUAAAGAAAAAGUAUUUAAAUGCACAAUGCAGUGUUCUCUAGUUUGAAAGCGAAGAAGGGCGGGCUAACUGGUUCAAUAAGGAAUGGGUGUUCCAGGUGUAAGCCUAGAUCUCGAACUAGAGAAUCCAAUCAGUAGUUUAAGAUCCCGCAGUUACAUCCCUGAAAGCAGUAGGCUUGAAGCACCUAGUUGUGAGUUAAGAUCUUGUUUACAGUGUUUUACUUACUAGUUAGCUUAUUCGUUCUCAUCAGUAUAGGUCCAAUUCCUAUUAGCGCUAGUAGGGCUCCUAGUGGAUAUAUCAAUUAUUAUAUAGUUUUGAGGUAUUUCAAAUAAUAGAUAGGAAAGUCAGGCAUCAAGAUAGAAGUCAAAGAAUGGGAUAGAUGUAGCGCACCCAGGUAUAAGACUAUAGAGGGCAAUAGAGAAUUGACCAGUGCCUAAUAGGAUUGAAGUGGGGAGUCGUUCUGUAUGUAGUGCUACCGAUCCCGUAACUAAGUCCAUCUUUCCUAGUUAUCAAACGAAAACUCCCAUCUGUCGGCCUGUAACUCCUUCUGAAAUUACUGACCUAGUCUCUGUUGCUCCUUUAUCUUAGUCCGAGGCUCCUACCUUUCCCUUAAACGGAAAUCACUCAAAGGCAAGAUAGGUAGGUGGAAAGCAAGGUGCUGAGAGCCUACGAGAGACAGUAGAGCUAUACAAAUGGGUGGGAAGGGUAGGCUCAAACUAGAACAUAGUCGUGUCAGGUAGUAGUGACAGAGUGAGGGUCGAGCUAAAGAGUGAAAGUCAAAGGAAACAGGCUCACGGGUUAGCGCAAAGAAUCAAAGGUAUAAUAGGUAUGGGAACUUCGAGUAAAUAGCCUAUAACUAAAUGCAGGCGAGUAGGGGCAGACCGAUCGACAGGGUAGUGAAAAGAAAAAACACUAGUGAAAGACUUAAGUCAAGGCAGGACAGGGCUGCUUUGAAGUAAAGCUCCCGGCUUGGUUUUGGAUUCUGUAUUUUGAGUGUAGAGCGCAUGAGAGGUUGCCUUAUUCUAAUGAAUUCCAGAUAUCCAGUUGAAAGUAGUAGAACCAAACCAACAGAGUGACAUUAUUUCCACAUGGGAGCACAAUUCUUAUGGGUUUACCAUAUAUAAUGAAAUAGAGUUUUCAAGUGAGUGAAGUAAGACUAAUAUAUAUAGACAGGAGCUAAAGGUAGCUUUGAAGUCAGUAGUUAGUUUAGGUUCUGUUUGCCACUAGUUCCGUUAUGGGAAGAGCGACUAGGUGAAGUCUGCUACUACCAAGUUUGAUUCCGUUGAAAGCUAGUUUCGUAGCAGAUUGUUCUAUUUGCUAUUCCAAAUCCCGGGGUUUGUCAACCGGGUGGAAUUCCUACUUUUUCGUUUGAUCCCUGGGGUAAGGCAAGGCUACAUUCUUUGACUGCUGUCUUUCAUCCUUUCUAGUUCUACUGAUAUAACUAGGUUAGCUAGGCGAGAAACAAGAUAAGGCUUUGGCUGCUGUCCUUAAUUCUUUCUAUUAAAACAAAUAACUAGGUUUGUUAGGCGCUGCAGAGAACUAGUUGUGCGUCAGCUCCAAGCACUACUUACUUAACUCACUCUUAUACCUUACCUUGGCAUUCUGAUGUUGUAGCUUCCAUGCUAGCUGGAGUAUUCCCGGACUUACUUGAAAACAGCUAUUCCUUCUCGGGCAUACAGGAUAUGGUUAGUGAGUAUCGGCUUUGAACUAGUCAUAAUCAAAAUCACCCCCUAGGAAUAGAGAAUAUAGGUACUGUCCUGUCCUAUAAGACCUUAGCUACUUACUUCAAUACCGUAUCUUAUAAGAAUUCACUCAGCUACCAAAGGUCAAAACACAGCAAUAGAAGAAUCCAAGUAGAAACUGGCAAUCGAACACUGCCUAACAGACUAAAAGAAGAAGAGGAGGGGCCAAGCAACUGUUGCAUAUGACCAAUCUUCUGCAUAACUGGAUUAAUGCGGGGUUUGCUUUAAGUGAUAGAGUAUAGUUAGUCUGAAAUAAAUCAUAUAGAGAUAUAAAGAAAUAAAUCAUAUAGAGAUAUAAAAAACAAAAACGAUUGAAAAACGUAAGGCUGCUCGUCUGCCCAGACUUCCUCGGUAUGUAUUCUUUUGGGGCUCCCCGAGAAGUAAAGCACUGUAGAGCUCACAGCCCCCCCAUUAAUUUGGAAGAUAACAUCCUAACUGACUUUUUGUGAGACUCCCUCUGAGGAAUCACUGCUUGUGGUGGCGGUUACCCACUCUGAGGGCUGCCAUCUCUCACAUUCCUGCGUAUAUGAGACACUUAUGGAGUUAGACACUCCGAAACCACUAAUAUAGGCUUGAAGUGGCCAUGAAGCAUAAUAUGACACCUCCGCUUCCUGCAGAUUUCUCAUAUGAUUUACAGCUUGAUUCGUACCUAUAUGUUCCCAGUGAUGGGAGGUCUCGAAGUGCUUUUGCUGAAGCACUCCUAUAGUGAAGGGACGGUGCAGCUUAGCAAAGGUAUUGAACUGUUCCCAACGCACCUGUUGAUCCCUUAUACUUUCUAUGAGAUUUUUGGAUUGGGGCUUCAAGGGUAAAAAAACCAAAUGUAGGAAGAAGUAUUUCUCUUUCCAUUCAUCUAUGGUAUAUUCUGCAGGCUUUCAGCUCCUUGCUUUUAGGUAGUCGGAAAUUCUGUCUUGUAAGUGGCUUUCUCUGUCUUUUUGAAUACGCAUAUCCUCGAAUACAGACCGUACGGAGUUGUAGGAGGAUAGAAUGGUUUUUGAAACCCCGGGAUCCUCAUAUACCCGAUACCACUCAUCAAAGCUCUUCAGCUUACUUAUGAUUACUUGGCUUCUGCGGGGCAACCGCUUAUGGGACUCUUGUGCUUUUACAGUCUCCCGUAUUUUACUUAGAGUUUGGCUACCCCAAAUAUAUAGAUCCUUAUCCUCUUUGAGCAGGUAUUUACAAAUAGAGGUCCAUGCCUUGUAGAAGGAGAGGUUUCACUGGGCCCCUUCAAACAAAGGGAGGAUUUAUAUAAAGAGGCGGGGGGCACCUUUUCAAAUAGGCCUCUCUCAAGUAAAAGACCUAUAUGAAAGUGAUUACCCUCUUGUUGAUGCUGCUCCCUCGCUACAGCUAUGGUAAUACAAUCGUGGAUUUUUGCACUUCUGCGCUCUACAAUUUCUGCUUUAUCUAUGGAUGCUCUUAGCUCAUUAGCGUCUGCUCGGGCUAGAGUCAAUAAAAUCUAUUUCCUCAAGUUUCGAUUAUUGAUAAAGAAGGUAUUUUCUUUAUUCAUCGUACUUCAGCUACUCUUGUAUGCUGGUGAUACCACGGAUUUGACCCUCUAAAAAGAGAGUUCCUCGUUGCUUCGGACUAGUUGCUACUUAGUUUCAUUCUGACUUGACUACUUUCGAGGAUAGGUCUGCAAGGGAAUAAGUAGUUGCCAGAGGUGGAUUAGCGGUCAUAAACCGGUGAAGGGCUGAUUCAAGUUCCAUUACUGUAGUUGGCGCAAGUGAGGGAGCUGAUCUUACAGAGAGAGCUGAUCUUAUAGAUGAAACAAUAACUUCCUUUGAGACUUGAACUGAAACUCUAGCCACUGAGUCUGUGCCUGAACUGUCUUCUGGAACUGGAACUGGUGAAGAUCUUUCUGCCCUUGCCCGAGUUUCAUCUUUCUCGACUACUAAGGUAAAUCACCUCUCUUCUUUAUAGAAUGGAAAAGAGUUGGAGUUGAAUUCUUUGGCUACUUAGGCAUUUCUGACUUUGCCUACUCAGCGCAAUUCUAAUUCAGAUAUCGGAUGCGUAGGAUUUGGUCAUAUAAGUAAUUAAGUAAAGGGAAUAAACUGGAGCUUAUGGAACUCCGGCACAGGAACUGAAAGAGAAAGGUGCAAUUCAAACGGAAACUCUCGGGUGUUUGACUGAAAAGGUUAGACAACUUAUUUCGGUUCAUAAAGUGGAGACUCUGUAUCAGGAGUUUUCUCUUUAUCUGAAGCUUAUUAAUUGCCUGUUCGAGUGUUGUGUCUACUUGCAGUGCUAUCAUUUACUCAAUCAGAAGCGGGAGAGUUAGUGACCUAUUCUAUCUCAAGGGUAAGUGACCUAUUCUAUCUGCGGUAAGAGAGUGAAUUUGUAAAGAGGAAAUUCGAAACUAGAUGCUUAGGAGUAAAAGAGUCAUGUAUUUGUACUAGUAGAUGUAGUGGAGUGGUAGGUUGAAAGCCCAGAGCUAAGUAGUGAAGUGGAAUUUGUUUCAUCCCGGUAGUGGUAGUGACUUCUAGUAGUAGUAGUACAGCUCCAGUUCCGGUAUUUUAGUUACAUGCCUAUAAGGGAAGCAGUGUUGAGUAUAGACCCACCAGGUAAUAGUGGGUUCCAUACGAUCUCGGUGUUGCGGGUAAUAAAGUGUAGAGUCUAGAGUGAGUGGUUCAUAAAGUGUAGUUCUAGCAUUGUCUGCGGGAGAGAAAGAAUCAACGAGUAAAGGCUAGGCUUUGAGGCCAGAUCUACUUCAUAUGAGUAUCUUUGCUUUGUGUUCGAGGUGAAGAGUAGAGAUCUUAUCCUUCUGAAAGAAUGCCCACUACAUACUUAAGCUGUGCGAGGAGAGGUCGACAAGAGAAUCAUAAGGAUCAGAAGACACAUAAGGAUCAGUGCCAAAGUAAGCUGCUGUGAGAGUUUCAUCCUAUAGAUAAUCAGAGGUUAUAACACUUAGCGAGUUUCAACCUGCAGUUUCAAGUAGAGUCCGUUCGGUAAAAGAACCUGAUCGGGAAGAUUAUAGUCAAAAUGCACCAUCAGAGCGGGGAGGGUACCUUAAUGUACAAAUUGCCAUAAUCAAAGUUUCCAGAGGUUCAAACUUAGCAAAAAAGGCGUAUACUUAAGUCUCUGUAAGGGAGUUAUCGGAUAGCCCACGUAACCAUAUCUUCUAGCUUCUUAUUCUUAUGAUUCUGCGCCAAGAUCCUCCGUUUCUGCCUUCCAAUCUUUUCUUUUCCUGGUGGACUCUAAGCUCUCAAUGUGGCCUGGAAUGCUGGGUUAAGGUCAGAAUAUAUUCCUUCUUCCGCUUCAGUAUCAGGUAAAGAAGAAACCUUAUCUUGUAGCUUCUCUAGCUUCCUCCCCUGCUCUAAGGAAUUCAGAAUGCAAGGGAGUUGACCCUAGCCUAGACGAAACUACCGCUAUCGCUAUAAUUACUAGCUCUCGCUGCCAAUGACAUGAUAACCUCUCCGCUAAUAACCUCUUAUCUUGGAUACUUUCCCGAUUCUUUACCUGCAGAAGAUCUGUCCACUUAUGAUUCUGGAACAAUACUUUCAUCUGAUCAAUCCUAUUAUGAUGAUUACCUACCCGGGUUCUAUACACCACUGUUAACAAGGCUAUAGUUCGAAACCGGUAAUCCAACUACUACUACCGGCCUCAAAGCUGCCCUGCCUAGCUUUGAAACUAAAACCUAUACUUAUGGGGAUGGAAUCACUACUAACAGGACUUCCUUUAGUGUCAACAAUACUGUUACUACUAACUGGGAAUACAAAUACUACAAAAAAGGUCUGUGCCAUCGGCAGCUAAAGCAGCCCUUGCUUCCUGCCCUGUUACUACUCGAUCUCGGGCUAACUACCUUGACUUUUAGGCUGACUUCUUUACUUAAUUCCUCUCAUUAAUAGCUUCACUCUUUUCCUUGCUUUCCAACUUCAAAUACCCAUGAGCAAUUGCUAACCUGUCCUGCCCUUCUUUCACUCUUACACUGCUUUAUCUAAUUCUGACUAACUAAUGCACAACGACGACUACUCUAACUUAUGUAAUAUGCACUAUAUUAUUCAUAAGCUGUGAUUUCUGACUAAAUGACUUCUAUCAUAUAUGCACAUACGAGCUACAAUACUAAUAUGAAAAGGGGAAUGGAACACCCCACACCUAGAUUGAACUAGCGCUUUUGAUUCUGCAACCACUAUAUGGCAUCCCUACUAUCUUAUCCAUUAGUCUGCCCUGGCUUACUUUCAUUAUUUCACUGAUGGCCUAGAACCCUGCCCCCUACCCUUAGCCUCACACGACUCGCUUUUAGUAGUCAACUCCCUUCUCUCACCCUUACUCCUAUUGUCUCCAUGCCUAUAUGAGAGUGCUAGUCCGCUACUCCUCUCUUAAGGAAUCCCAUUAAUUAGUAUAAGAAUGUGAAGCGUAACUCCACUCUAAAGAAGUCAACUAACUAGUAUGAUAUUGAUUUCUAGUUAUUAUCGAGUAAUGUACUUGGUGGUUAUUGGUAGUUAUUCCCGAGUUCUGUAUUUGACAAACACAACAGCCCUAUUCUCUGUAGUUCGAGAGAUGAUCUGGCUUAGACUCCACCAAGCUACUACCAUACCACUCCACAGCUAACUUUAAUCAGACUAAAACCUACGAGCGGCGAGCAGGACAAUCAGUAUAGCUUUUCGAAAGAGAAAGAGAGUAGCCAUGUAGAAUAUGAUCCAAUCCACUAAUAUAAUGGAAAUGAUCUAAUCCAAUCCACUAAUAUAAUGGAAAUGAUCUAAUAUAAUGGAAUAUGUAGUCAUCCACUAAACUCCCUUCUCUCAUGAUUAUUGAAUAGCAUUUAAUAGCGUGCCGACAUUCUUGUGGGUAGCUUGCUUCGGGGGUUAUAUAGUGACCGGGUACCUGUACUAACAAUCCAAAUUCGAUUCCUUAUUUCUGUGCCUCUCUCAACCGACCCCAAGCAUGAAAGGCGAUUCUGAAAGUGUAGUUAUCAAGGCAGCAGUUAUUGGAGUCAAAGAAGAAAGUAGUGAGUCAGCAGAACUAGCAUCGGUCAUAAUUCUUGUAGCGGAUCAGGUGCAGGCCAUUCUUCUGCUUUGAUUUACACCGCUCCUCACUUUCGAACAGAGCUUGCUGGUUCCCUUGCGAGUUAAGAAAGUCUUUGCUUGUUACACCCCUAACUCCUACGCUCUGAACUUGCAGACCCAAUUGCAGACCCAAUUGCAGCCCAACACGGCUCCGCUCCUGAGCAUGAUAAAAGAGAUGAGGCUGAAACGGAAAGUCAAACAGUCAAAUAAACACGGACUGGUUUCGCAACUCGAUCUCGAAAGUAAUAAAUUCACAGCUAGAUGAGACUCAAACUCCCGGCUUUCUACCUUAACUACAGGCUAUCAAACAUAGAGACUUCUAUAUGCAUUCCUUACAGGUUAAAGGGGCUCCUAAACUUUAGACGAGACCUUCGAGCACAACUACAGUCGGACCUGCGCUCAGUCAACUAAUACUCACUUUACGGACGUUGCUUCAUUUCCCUUACCGCUCUGCUCCGGGGCGUGGGCAUUCAACAGAGAUUCGACUUCGGCUUCUUUCGGGAGCUCAACUAAGUAUGUAUAUAGUAACAGUAUGAGUCUAAGAAUCGGAAUAGUAUAAGAAUAAUAGAAUCGGAAUAAUAUAAGAAUAAUAGAAUCGGAAUAGUAUAAGAAUAAGAGGUAAAGGUAUGGAAUUGGAAUUAGGCCCUUAUAAUAAUUGCUAGCGGAUUCUAAUAAGUUGGAGUUGCGCCUUUAUUAGUACAGGUCACACUAUCCUCGGAGGAAAUCAUCUGGCUUAUUUAAAGAAAGCGGUUUUCGAAUUUGAUAACUGAAGUGCGGGGGCCUGCUUAUGCAGAUCUCUCUGUGGUCGGGAAUGCUAUCUUAAUCGAGGUGCCAGUCAGGAAUGAAUGCUCUCUCGGAAGUAGAAGAGCACUUUUCUUAAGAGGCUAGGCUUAGUUUGGUUGCUGUUCACUUAUGGACGGCUCCUAAACAUGCUUGCUGUUCUUUUAUUCUCCCUGACUCGGAAUCAAUUGCCUUGAUUACCAAAGCUUUUUAUGCUUUGACACCCACUUCCUUUCUUUCUCCCCUAAUAUAAUAUGCCUAUGUUUUCUUUUUGACGAAGCUUCAAGCCAGAUCAGCUCCUAUCUGGAUUUCAUAAUACCCCGUGCUGCCCAAUCACGCUGUAUAUCUUAGCUCGAAUCGAUCUCAUUCUAUAGAGGACCUACUUUAUAUCUUAGCUCGAAUCGAUCGAUCUCAUUCUAUAGAGGACCCAUCCUUACACGGAUAGGAAAGAAACCACCCCAAUGCUUUAAAUGUUAUUUGGCCUUACUGAACUGUAGGAACGGCAAAGAGCAAUUCUUUCUAUAAUUGAUAUCGGGCCUUCAUCCGUUUGAAGCAAGACGCCAAAUCCUUCAUAGUUCUUAGCACGACAUGCCACUGUCUAAAUGAGGUAAACUCUUCCAGAGGUUCGUUUUCUCGAGCCAACCUCGGCUUAUCUCAGUGAAAAAAGAAAAGCUUCCCCCACAGAUAUGACGAUGCUAUCAAUUUGAUAUUGAUAGAAUAGAAUCGUUGUCCAAAAUUCGUCCAGUUAUGGUCUUUCCAAUUCCAAUGCAAGCCCAUCUCACCUGCUAUAGCAUUAUAGGUAAAAGAGAAUAAGUACGGCUCCUAGCGCUUUCAUCGUGGAACCGAGAUUGAUUCGAUAAAGAAAGACCAGUGGUUCCCCAGACUCUCAAUUAAGAAUUCACAUCCGGGGGGAAAAAGCGCCUUCUAAACCCGUGGUAGAGGUGGAGCUCACAUAUAGUCUGAUUCUCAAACCUAUGAUGGAUAGGUUUUACUAGUAUCCAGUCCAACUUGCUUGUAUUAAGCAUAACGCUCUCUCUUCUUCUACUCUAAAGAUGGAUCUUUUCUCUUGUUUAAGAAGUGACGUUUGCUCCUAUCGUAGAUAAGAUAAGAGUUAAGGAAUUGAUAUAGCUGAAUCCAAUCCCCUAGCUAGGUUUGAGUUUGAAAGAAGAACUUCAAUUUGAGAGAAAAUCUGGCAAUAGCUCUAGGGCAGGUUCGUCCUUUAGCUUACGUCAAGCAUUUCCCAUCCUAAUACCACUUGUCACCUUACUACCGACCCCCUAGUAUGAUUUUUCUGAGGAUAGGUUCAAUUUGGCAAUUUCGUUCUUGCUCGCCUGAUAGUAAGUGGUUAAAUGGCUGUGGCAUGAAUAAGUUGGCCUUGAUUGCUAGGUUUUCCGCUCGUGCUUUGAUAACGUUAAAAGGUAUGCUGCGGGUAAAAUCCAUGUUCAAAGGAAGCAGAUGGGUAAUAUAGCUAAGUUAAGCUACGUUGUCAUCAGUCUAAGGGGAGGCAAGCGAAGGUGAGAUGGAAUAUAGAAGGGCCUGUCGAGGCAGAUAUGAGAUCUCUGGCCUGUCCCAGGAAAGUAGGUUAUUGCCUGUAGUGAUUACUGUCCUCAAGGUCUAAUCCAUGGUGAAUACGUAAUUCGAUCUCCGGGAAGGAAAGAAGGAUCCUUGCCUACUAUAGAAGCUAAGGUAUGAGUUAAAGCAAGAAGGCAUAGCUAUAGGUUAAAAGAAUACCGAAUUGAUGAAGCCAGCCGAAAGAACUCUAUUAUUAAGGGAAGUAAAGGAGAGGCCCUUAUAGUAAGUUGCGGAGUCCUGUGAUAGGAUCCUUAAAGUAGUGGUCCAAAGAGAGUCAAAUGGACGGAAACCCUCCACAGGAAAAAAAGGGAAACAAAGCUUGCACUCUCCGGGCAAGGAAAUCUGAUCAUAGCUAUAUGUAACUGACCUCAACACGACAUUUGGCAGGCAAGACUAUACGCGAAUCAACUUUCGAAGGGAAGGAAGGAAUACUGGUGGUCUCGUCUCGGUCAAAGAAAUGCGAUCAUCGCGCCCUUGACUCAUCUUCUCCGGGCAGCGGAUACUUCAAAUAGUGUGAAAGAGGUGGGUAAGCAGGCAUUGAUAGGAUAUGAUAGUCCUUUAUGAGCCAGUCGAUGGUUAACGAACCGGGUAAUCUAGUCCGCAUUUCUAGCAUAGAAGAUGGCUCUCGUCCUUGUCUUUGAGAAGAGAACUUGUUUAAAAAGACACUCAUUCGAAAAGAACAGAACUUCACUUGUCUUUGAGAGGAGAAGGAUCAACUUGAGAGAAAGCUCCAUAUCUAACUAUUGUGGAAAGUCGAUAAAGUAUAAAGUAAGGUUUUGUAAAGCGACGAAGAGCUGAUCUGUACUUUGAGUAUCGUUAAGAAGUCUCUGUCCAUGUCAGGAUCAGGAGCAAUCUAUCGAAGUGAAAAGACAAGAGGUGAAAAGAAAACAGCACGGAAUAAGUCUCGGAAAAGCAUUCCCUACUCUCAAAAGUCAAGAUGAAGCGACAGAACAAGCUGAAAACUGUUAACCUAAGCGCUUACGUGAGUUCCAGAAACAAGCAACAGCAAAGUAGAAACUUCUUAAUUACAAGAUUAUGUCCGUUUUGAAAGAAGCUGCUAACGUAAGUAAUAGGUUUCGAGUGGAAAUAGAGUCAUCGGGAGUAGUUAAUCGCUACCUUGUUGCAAAUGGUAGGUAAGUACGAACCACUUGUUUAGUAUACGCUUGUGUAGUUUCCUCGGCGCAUUAGGAAGUUGUAAAAGUGAACUACGGGGUCUCUUUUCUAGCUUAAAGAGAGUAAGGCAAGUAAUAUAGUAAAGGGCUCUGGGGGUACGAGUAUUGUCUAGUGGUUACUUGGCGCCUGCUUGCCUGAUAGCCUACGUAGCUUGUCUUCUUGGUGGACUUAAUCAUAACUCUUACUAACUAAGUUAACGCGUUUUACAAAGCUUGUUUGUUUGCUUCUUUAUAAAGGAAUAGUGGUUGACUAUGUGGUGAUAUAAUUGAUUAACGGUUGAGCAUUGCCUAUGCAUCGCUUACCCGAAUUCAUCGUUAGUGAGCUGGCAGGUUAGGAAUAGCCAGUAAGUGGGACCAUUUGGAAGCAGUGCGAAAUAAAGGUGUUUGGGAAGCGGGAAUAUAAUAAAACAGUGGAUUUCCUACAAUUUCAAUUGAACAGAGCUUCAACUUAGAGAAAUCUGUCUUCUUACACUUCUAGCCUUUUGCUUCUUAUGGGCUUCAUAACCGAGUUAGUUGUGGUCCAAGUCUUGUAUGGGCUUCAUAACCGAGUUAGUUGUGGUCCAAGUCAAGUCCCUUUAUCAGUGAAUUCGUUUUUAAGCAAAAGAAAAGCCAAGAGCUGCUCUGUCUUUACCAACUUCAUUCUAUACCCCAUGUGCUUGAGAGUCCAGUUUCAAUUCAACAGGGCGCUGAAAGGAUUCAAUUAAUUCUUCUUAACUUCAAUACGAGGUCGGAAAGAUAUAAUCAACAGUUACAAGAGAAUCAGCUGUGUUGGCCGACUACACUCUGUUAGCGCAAGUAAGUCAAAGAUGCAAAUGCUAUUAAGUAUAGAAAAUGGGAAUAUUCACCCUCCUGAUAUACUCGGAGCAAGAUACAAGUCCAGGUCCAGGCCCAAAACAAGAGUACUCUGUCUAAGGGAGCAAGUUUAGGAAGAAUCAUCAGAAUCCAAUACUGGUUCUUGUGCCGCUGUAGCUACUUGUCGGCCUGUUCCAGUUCUAAGAUCAUCUGCAGGAGAAUAGCCAGAUUGUCUGUAUCUUUCUGUGAGAUAAGUCGGAUCUGGUAAGUAAGCGGGUAAAGAAUAAGUCAAGAGUGGAAUUAGAAGCGAGUCCUGUGUUCGUGAGCUUAAGUCUCCUUUCCUCAAUUCCUAUUAGAUAGGUAGGCGGGCGAGUUAGAUGAGAUGGAUGCGCCAGAGGUAUUCUAUAGGAGAGGAGCUAGAAAGAUGUUAGGCAGAAAUGACUUCUAAGGCCUGUUGAUUAGUUUCAUCAGUAGGUGUUGGCAGUUCAACAACAAGUCGAGGUCGAGGAAGACCUUUGCACCCGUUGCUUGUUCGUUAGUUGAUGGACUUGUUUCUUUCAAAUACAGAUAGAUUAUUAGCUAUUUCACCUUAUCCUUAUACGAUACGCGAACUCGCUUCCACUGGCAAACAACGUUAGUACAGAGGAUUUCAGACAGUUGCUCUACCCAGGACAGCUUCUUUCUAGGCGCCAUACCGAACUCGACACUCAGUUCAUCAUGUCAUUGCCUCUGAUCUUGCCUCUGCCCUGGCUCUUUGACUACUUAGUUCCAUCCUUAGUCUACGGAUUUCUAUUCUUCUUCUGUUACUACCACUACUGAGUUGCCGGCUAACUGGUACUCUUACUUAAGAGAACUACUUGAAACUACUAGCUUUCCUACUUGACUACCUCCACUAAAGCUUGCUUCCUUGCCUCCUACCAAGUCUUGUGUUCGGGUGCCGAAGAGCUUAGACGAAAUAGGUAUAUUACUUAUUAUGAGUGACAUUCCGAUUGGCGGUAUUUAAAGAGGGAAGAGCCUAGCGCUAUAAGGAAAGGAUGCUAGGGCGUAUAGUCAGAGUGAAGCUACGUAGUCAGACUUAUAUGAAGGAGUGUUAGAGACAAACAGGGCUGUAAGGUCAGUAAUAUCCGUUUUGGGGUUUUUAUUGGCAGUUUUUAAGAAGCAAGUAUAAGGCUAGGCUAACAAUAGAGCAUGGGAUCUGGUUUACCGCUUUUCUUCUUUUACAAAUAUUGGUUUACUGCUUUUCUUCUUUUACUAUUAAGUCAUCUUCCUACCAUUCGGAGGCUUAUAGCUCCAAUACAGCAUUAGUCAACUUCUUUUCUUUGGGUCAGUCAGGGAAUAGUAUGUGUUACGCAUCAAUAUGUGUAGCGCGUUGGAAAUUACAAAACUCAAUUAAUAAUAUAAUGGAUAAGAGUAGAACGGAGUUGAGCUAGCCCUUGCUGGUUGAAUGGAAUUGGAUUCUUCUGAUGAUCUUGUCGGCUUCCCGCGCUUCCUUUUGAAUCUAGCUCUCUUGAGUUUCCCCUUUCUUUUGCUUUUGAGUGAGCUUGCUUAUUACAACAAAUUCUUCGUUUUUCUAGCGUUUCUGUGUUCUCUUCUCCACCUUUUAUUCUUGCUCCAAUUCGGGAAUAAAUCCGUUUUUCAUUAAGGAUUUUUGGUUCUUCUUUGAAACUCUCUCUUUCAUCGACGUAGUAUAAGGAAUAGUCAGGAUAUCUGGAAUGAAACUAAGUUGUCAAAGAAUGGGUUUUUUGAUAGGUCCGAAUGAAACUCUGCAGUCAGGAUACCGAGAUACUCCGGGUGAGGAUACUAGUACUUACUAGGGGAAUGUACACCAUCAAGUCAUAAUUGACUAGUGAAUAAUCGGAAUCGAAAACUAGGUGAUACAGGAGAACCGGGGUGCUAUGAUAGAACCAAACUCAGUAGUCCAAGAUUUUCACUCCGUUUUAAUCAAACUAACAAGCGGGGAAUCCAACGAGAAAGUAAGGCUACUAAUACAAUAACAUAAAAUCAAGAGUUCAACUAAGUAUUAUCAGAAUGGUAGCUCUAUAUGGAGGGGGCAGAAUAUAACCCCAUAAGCCAGGAUCAAACAAGUGAGUAAAGGAAAGUAACCUAACAAGCCAGAAUGCAAGAGGGGAGCGUAAGGUUUUCAGUUUGAAUUCCACGAGAAGGUUCAGGAUACUAAACAAAUCUCCGAGCUAUAAGACUAAAAGGAAGGAAUCGCAGGAAUGAAUCUCAAGCAAUAGACACUAAACCUCGACCAGUUUUUUGGUGCGGUAACUUAGUUUCAUGUUGCAAUGCGGCACAGAGAUGAACAAUAAGAUAGAUAAUGGACUUUACGCGUAGAGAGAAGACUCGGGAAAUCCUUAUUGUUGAGUUAGUUUCAUUAAAGAAUGCGCUUAACAACUUUCAUUUUCAUAAUCAAGUUUCUGUCGACGCUCGAAGUGUGUUUGUGCCAUGCCAUACUCCGUUUUUCAAUCAAAUAGAAGAGCUAUCGUUCAAUGAAAAAAGAUUGUUUUUUCUCAAAAGUAGAAUAACUAGAUCCCUUGUUUAAGCCUCGGAAGUGGGAUGGAAGUCCUAGAAUCAAAGACAGAAAUAGGAACCCAAACACUGAUACCAAGACAACAACCAUUAGAUACUAGGAUCGAACUAAGUAAACCGAGCCUUACUACUCGAAUAACACAGGCCAAGCAACGCCCUAUUCUAUGUCCCAGCGGACCAAGCCCUACUACUCGCACCAGAUGCCACGCCUUACUGAUCUAGGUACAUCCCAAGCCUUACUCGCCAGUGGACCAACAACAAAUUCGGGUAGUCAAUCUUACGCUCACUAACUUUGACUAUAUUACUAUUCAUAAUGGAACUGGGGACCAAGCUUUUCUACUAUUAAUAAAGAAGCGAACUACAACUGAUGAGAAUAGAAUCAAUGAAACAAAGCUUUCACUUAUAAAUAGGGCUCCCUUACUGUCUCUGAAACUUAUACUAAUCUAACGCCCGGCAUUCCUUCCUUUGAGCUUUGGUCUGCCCUUACUUGCUUUGAAACUAACUACCCGGGGGCUACAUGAGAAAACUAAGAAAAAGCAAUCGUACAUUAACCCUAAGAAUUGAACCACUACGGAUAACACUGCCAAUAAGCCUGCUCCCUACUACCUUAAAGCAAGCCUUGCUUUGCUACAUACGAGGCUGCCCUACCUUGCUUCGCUCUGUCACUAAUGCUUAGAAUACUUACUCCCAGGGGGCGCGCGCCUUUUAUUCAUGAAAUAUCGAUCCGGGGCAAUACAUCCGAUGGAGCACAAACCUUGAAAACUAUAUAUCCUUGCUUUCAUUCUGCAGUGAGUACUUUUCGUACUUUCUUCUUAAUAUAAAGAAAUCCACAGUGCCUAACUACUUUAACUACUAAUGAAAAGGCUCGAACUGGGGUAGGCCCAAGCUUUCCUCUUGACUCUCUAUAGCCCGCUCCCAACUCCAAUAGCGCCGACACCUUAUUUCACCUUGAAUGCCUUUGCUUUUAGUCUGACUUUCUGAAAUCUCAUUCUACUCUCCUUGCUUUCAGUCCUUAGCUACCAACUCUCAGAUCUCAACAACUACUGGAAAGAAUGCAACAGGUGCUUCUCGUACUAUAACUCGAAUUGGGGAAAGCGACUCCUACUUAUAAUACUUAUACAGCAACUUGCAAGGCUACUACCACUACUUCUUCGAAUGGCACUAAUGCUUUUUAGGCAAUAGCUGCUGAUCCAUAUCUUUUAUCUUCUCAUAGGGAAUCGAACACUACCUAAGGCUAGGGCUUAUAAGGCUUUAACUAUAACGAAGCAGUCUGUCGCUACUACUAUUGCCGAAGCAGUCUGUCGCUACUACUAUUGACUAUUUGGAUGCUACUAGGCUAUUAGAAUCAGCUACUACCUAAUGGAAUGGAACUGGGAAUAAAAGAAUGCGCCUACUACCUAUAAGAUUGAAAAAGGCAACUAGCAAUUCCACUCAUAAGUAAGAGGAUGGAAUCACUGCUUAAAAGCCUUAUACUAUAGCAUAUGAGUAUGUCUCUCUUGACUUUCAAACUCAACAAAGUGCCCACCAAUACUUAUCUUCUUCUCAUAUAUAAUUCAAUAAGUGCUCAUAAAAGAAUUGAGCCCCUACUGAAAAGAAUGGAACUGGUGCUGAUAAGAAUCCAACUGGGCAUACUGGAUAUGGGUAGUGGAGCAUAGAACCAAACAAAGGUGUAUAAGAAGGGGAUUAGUUAGCAGAGAUCAGAAUUCCAAUAAGUGGUCAAAGAAUUGCUUAUGAGGGCUGUAAGACAUAAUGAAGUGUGUCAGUGUACAAGAAUCGAACGCUGUAUAAGUGAUAUCGGGAAUACAGAAUAUGGGUCGCUAGUCUCCGCUUUGCACUUUAGUAAUAGCAAGGUGCUAAGAGCCUAGGAAUCUAGAAUAUAAGUAAUUAGUCCAAGAUUUUCACUAAGACAUAAGAAGCAAACAAACAAGUAGGAAUUUAUGAAUUAACUCCGGGCGUGGUAGGUUGGAAUUUCACUCGUGCUGACAAGAGAACAAUUUCGAAAUCAAUAUUGGAACACACCCCAUAAAGAAUUGCACUAAUAAUCCGGAAUGAAAGGCAGGAUAGUAAGACUAAAGGCAAAGAACGGAAGGGACAACUAAAAGAAUAAGAUAAAAGAGUGGCCGGGCUAACUCUCUCACAUAAGAAUUUCAGAUGGUAGCGGAAGUAAUGAUUUCUCCCUCCUCACUCUCUAACACAGGAAUGCCCGGCAUUAGUGGCAUACCCAAACUCAUACAUGGGGCCUCAAGUCACUAAAAUACAGGCAAGCGACAAAGCUGCUAACGACUCUCUAACUCGAACUAAGUAGAGUACUUUUUCAUUCUUUGCUACAGUUCAGUAAUUCUUAUUUCAUACUUGGAUCAUUCUUUAAUCAUAAGAAGAUGUAUCCUGACUUCUGUGUUGAAUUCCCAUACUCAUAUGUUUCACUCUGAUAUCGCUUAGUUCAAUAAUGCAAGGUACAAUUAGAAGAUAGAACCAAAGAAGGGAGUGUCGGUUUUAACCAAGGAGUGGGCAAGCGGGAAUGAAAGCACGGGCAAGCUACUGUUCUCGGGGCCUGGCAAUGAGAAUGGAAGAAUGACUCCUUAACUAAAGCAGCGCUGCGGUGAAUGUUCGUAGGUUAAUGCGAGAAACCUUAGGAACGAAACAACCCUGCCUAUAUUGCUUGUAUCAAUAGCACAUAGGUAUCAAUGGUGUCUCAAUGGCAUAGGUAGCAAUGAACACCACUAUAUAUUGCGUGUAUCAAUAGCACAUAGAUAGUAUCAAUACAAUAACAGAGCAGAAUCAAGUUUCCUCUGUGUCAAUUCGAUUCUUAAAGAUGGGUUUCCUCAGUGCUCUUACCUUUUCACCUUCAUUAUUAUAUGACAAUUACCAUCAUUCUAUUGCUAUUACUUAGCUUUGGAACCCGUUAUUCUCUGACUUAGCUUUGGAACCGAUGAUGCAAUUACUUAGCUUCGGAACCCAUUAUGCAAUUACUACAGGCCAGGCAUCCACGGAGCGGUCACACACCACAUCUUACAUUAGGGACAUAUAUCGAAGGUACCUUGCACAGUAGUCAAUACAGAAUGAAAGCGGAGGAAACCAGUAUGGAACACCGACACAAGCAUACCUACCCAUGGGAUAAACAUACCAUAGUACCCACCACAUACCCAAGGGAGAAACAAACACACAUGCGCUAUAGCUCCCAUGCAACCACAUACUCUUCAAGUAGCACUACAAUUUCUUCAUUUGGCAUAGCUCAUUCUUUCAUUUAAGUAAACAUAGCUCAGCCUACCUCAACUCAAGGUAACGUCAACAAGUCUUUCGCUUGUUGGUUCGAUGCCCAGUAAUAGCGGGUACCUCGUUAAUUCAUAGGUAGGUGGUUGGUGCACUCUCAAAUGCUUUUAGGGACCAUCAAUAGUUAAGUAGACACUGCUUUCGAGUUGGGCAAUGCAGACUUGAGGCAGGGAGUAAUAGAAUGAGACCCCUUAGAGGCAGUAAAACUAGGCAAGUAAGGAGUCAGGUUCAGUAACAAUAGUCCUAAAAGCAGUGGAGCAGGCCUAUAAUACAGUUUAGUCUGACUAGUAGCUGGGGUUGGUGAAGAAGUAAUGUUUAGGGUUGAUUGCCUCUAUGCGCUAUUGCCGGUAAGUCGGCGUAUUUUGUAUUAUAAGUUAGAUUAUGAGAAGCACUGGUUUGAUUAUGAGGGGAUCCCCUAGGAUUUUGUUCUUUAUUGACUACUUGGUAUGGUAGCGGCUCUCCGUGGGCUAAUAAAGAACCUAAGUGGUUGGAUGCCCUGCCCCCAGCUCAAGUCUUAUUGUUAGUGGUUCUCUUCCUGGUGCGCUAGUGAAGGUCCUGUCCAGUUUGCCUGGUUUCUAUCGUUUUAUGCCUUAGUUCCAUUCCAUUAAGUAAUAGCUCUAUUCUGGUUUUCCCGGGUGCAAUUCUUUGUAUUAGUUGCAGGGAUGCGCUAGAGCGUAGCCAUAUUCUGAUUCCUCCGUUCGAAAGUCAAUAAAAGCAAGUAAAGAAACCCCGAGUCAUAGUGUGUUUGAAAACGAGGAGCGGAAGCCUCUAACUAACACAUAGGCAUUUCUUUAUGUAUUUCAGUAGCAACUAUAGGAAUUGGAGCUAGGAGACAAAGGCUAAGAGCCUGUAAAGUCAGUCGAAAAGCAAGUGAAGUCAGACUUAAGGGGCUGUCGGAUAAGCCGGAGUUCCUAGUUAAAGCAGUCUUGUCAGCAGUAGUUGUUAUAGGCCCGACUACUGUAAGCUAAUCCCAUAGUGAGUAACUAGGCGGUGGAAGCAAAUCUGAUAGUUGGAGUUAGGCGGGGAAGUGGAAGAAAGGCCUUCCAGAUAGGAUUCUCAAAGAUAGGAACGAGCCUAUCUACUGGUUUCCUUGCACAUGAAAAGGAUGAUUGUACAUCUUCGAGACACAAGAUAUUGAAAGAUUCUCCAUUGUUCUUGAUUUAUGGAAAUAACAUAUCAUAGAUAGAUCUUGUUGAAUAUCAUAGAUGGAUCUUGUUUAUUGCUUGGUGGCUGAUCAUAUCAUAGAUGGAUCUUGUUUAUUGCUUGGUGGCUGAUCAAUGAAUGCGUCUGUCUUUCUCUCAUGAGGGACUUGAGCCCAAUAGUGCUGUUUCGACGGCUAAGUAUCUAUUUGUGGGAAGACCUUAUGUCUCAGGCGCUACGGUGCGAGACGUGUUAUCCGGCAAUGCGCGGUCAGAUCAUUUCUUGGAAGCAAGCAAGGAUCGAGAUAUUCCGCUUUGAUUAGCGAGGCAUCAGUCGGUUUCAUGGUUUCUAUCACUUCCGGAAGUUCAAGAAGAUCUAUCAUCUUUGAUUAUUGGAAUCCUCCUUGGCCAGGCCAGCAACUGAAAAUGCCUGCAACACACUGAUUCGAGUCCUCGAGUUAGCUCAUCUGCUAGUGAGCCUUCUUCUUCUGCAAUAGAUCAGGAACCCCGCCUUUCUUCAGCCCAUGAACUAAGCCGGCCAUUAACAUCGUCCUAAUUUCGUUUGAUCGGUAUUUUCGCUUGUUUUUCAUCGUGACUGGAACGACGAUACAACCUAAACCCUUCUCUGCUACCAAAUCAUAGAUCUUCCAGAGAAGACCAAACCGAAUGAGCUCGCUCGGUUCUCGUCUGAUACUAAAUUCCUUUCAUAGCUGCUAGAUCUCUGAUGAAAUUCCUUUCAUAGCUGCUAGAUCUCUGAUUCAACGGAAUAUACAUUGGACUUUGAUAUGCUCCACCAACUGUAGUAUAUCUUACAGCUCAAAGAAAAAGUGUUAUUAGGGGGGCUUAGGUCGAUCUCCAAAAUAACCUAACUCAACUCGUGGCUGGCUAUAGUAUCUCUUAACAAAGAGUCGAACGAACUUCCUUAUCAUACUCCUAUUUAGGUGCACAUAAGGACUAAGAUUGGUUUGCAGCUUCAAGCAUCAAAUGUAAUAAAGACAGAUAUACUAACACCCACCCCAAGGUACGACUCAUGAGAACAAUGGUCACAACUAAAUCCAAAUAAUUCCAUUCAGCUGUGGGCAAGGCUCUUUUGGGGGAAGGAUCGAAGAUCGGAUAUAUCGGCUCUAUUUUCCUAUCGGACCUGUGAAAAGUACCUGCCUAACUGUGAAAACUCUAAAGCCCUUAUGCAUUAUUGUACGCCAAUACCAUUUUUCGAAAAGAACUCCCGAAGAAGGUCCACAUCUGCCUUUCACCGGUGUGAUGCAAUUCUUUGAGCCUCCCAAGAGUUAUAUCGGUGGCACUCGGGAUCUACUCUAUUACUUAUUGGAUUUAGUUACGAUAGGACGACUCAUCCUAAUUCUCCUUCCCGAGAAAAGGAAGCUUCGCUACGUUCCAGAUAGUAUACUCAGUUAAUCAUAUAAAGCAUUGCUUUAGGAAGAGUUUCCCCGAUGGAGGCCUUUCUUUAUGGAAUCAUUUCGUGGAUGGUGAUGUCAAAGAAAUAAGAAGUUCCCCACUUGCUAUUGAAUCUGGAAUCCCUUCUUCUAGCAAUAUCAUAAGAGAAUCAAGAUCGUAGCGUAGACAAGAUCGUAGCGUAGAAAAGAAUAGGAGACUGGAAUUGUCGAUAUGGUUAUGGUUCAAAAAGGAUGACACUAAGAGAUCCUCACUGAAAAUAGUGCUAUUCCAAGUUAGGACUAAUUUGUAGGUUAAUUGAUUUGUGCUAGAUUCAUCUGUCAGAGCGUCGGCAAGCUUAGUGCUCUUAUUGUGUCACAAAGACUUGAAGAAGCGCUAGGCGUACUCGGCUUUGAAUUCACUCGUGGAUCCGAUCUCCCUUUUCUGGAAAUUGAGUCCUGUCCGGGUGCGAGAGACAAAAGAUGAUAUUACUGUUUUCCUCACCGCCUUAUUCAGUGCCCAGCAGCUACCUAAUACUUGGUUUUACCUUAUUGAACAGAGGCGACCAGAAGAUAAGUAGUGUAGGGGUUUACAACCUUUCAAGAAUCUAUGGGUUUCUACAGCCUUUCCAGAAUUGUAGUCCAAGUCAAAUCGUUAAUGUGCAAGCAUCAAAGUGAAGUCAGUAUCUUUUCAUUCAGCGGGACAUCAAUCUUGGUUUAACAGCCCCAAGCAAUACUUUUGUAAAGUGCCAAUCGCCCCUGCUUGUUCCUAAGGUUGUUCGGUGAACUCAAAGAAUAGAAUCCAUCGAGCAUACCAUCGAGCAUACCAUCGAGCAUACCAUCGAGCAUACCAUCGAGCAUACUAUCGAGCAUAUGAUAUAAAUAGAGGAUUUGACUAAACCCCUUAAGUCUUGUUCUCUACUUCAAAGACGGAACUUAGCGCUUCUGGAAUUCUACCACUUAUUCUCCAAGCUUCAAAACUCACUAUCCCAUCCCCGCCACUGGAAACACACACUUUUCCCGUCCCUAGCACGCCCUGAGUCUUGUGCCGAAUCAAGUCAAACAUUCAAAUCUCUCGAAUAAAGAUUCUUUCGAGCGAUCAGGUAAACUCGCUAACGCACUCUUGAAGCUGUGCGGUACCCUUAAGAUGUUCUAUGCACCUUAGAGAAUAUAUAAUUGAUGAAAAGCACUCUCGACGACAUUGACUACCCGGGAGAGCUCGAAGGCAUUCUAUUCUGUUUAGUAACGCUACCCGCCCAAUAUGGAAUUUCGAAAAUCGAACUUAUGCCAAAAACAAACAUUAGCACUCAGGCAAAGCCCUGCCCUUGGUUUUUAUCGUCACUUGAGGAAUAAGAAUGGAAAAGAAGAUUAGUUGCAUAUGAUAGAAGAUAGUAAACACCCUUGCUCUUGGUUUUUAUCGUCACUUGAGGAAUAAGAAUGGAAAAGAAGAUUAGUUGCAUAUGAUAGGGGAACGUAAACAUGCUGCCCUGUUACCUUCUUCAGAAUUGAAUAUCGGGUACCACCUUAUCCUCUACUAGCUUAUUGACCCGAACCACCCUAGACUCAAAUACUACAUUCUCUCUUUUCGUUGCUUGCGUAUUGUGAGGAUAGUUCCAAUCUAAUAGAAUGGAAUAAUAGCAUGACUUUUCAAUAGCAUGACUUUUCAAUAUACGAGAUGAGACUCCCUUCUUUCUACCUUAACCUGGCUACUCAACUUGAUACUGCUAUCGCAAAACCCCAUUAAGAAGUCUGGGCCAGCGCUCAGAGCUACCGAAUUCACAACGCUAUAGGCUUGUUCUCUAUGCUUUCCCUAACGAAACUGCUUCCUGCUUUCAGAGUCCCAUAUUCUUGUCCUUGCCAAUACGGAAUGGAAUUAACAACUGGUGGGUGCAUUCAACUAAAACCAUGACUCCUAAAAGAAUUGAUCUAUAUCAACUAGGAAAGCAACUGACACUAAUAAGAAUGGCUCUACUUACUCUAGGGCUUGCUCUACCGACUAUCAGGCCUUACUACUCUAUUCUUAACCUAGGGGAACCCACUCUAGCUUUACUGAUUAUGGGCCUGCCCCUAUGGUCUCUGAUUCCUACUAUACUAGCAGACCUUCUAUUCUUUAGCCGGUGCUCUUAAGCCUAAGUUCCUGUACCAGUAUUCGAGAACCACUGCUUAUGAUCCCUUUGCUUAAAAACUCAAACUACCGUUUCUCAUUCUCAUCACAGCAACUAUGAAGAACGGAGCUGACUUCCAUACUUUUGCUUAUUAGAAUUAGGAGUGACACCAAUACACACUGGAAUUGAACAUCCAACUAGUAAAUCCACAAAGAAGUCGUGGUCCCCAACUCGAACAGAAGAAGGAAUCUAGAAAGUCAGAACCGAGCUAUUAAGCCACAGAAUGCAAAUAGUCAGACCAAGCCGAAUUAUGCGCAUACAUCACAAAGCACUACCCAGGAGCUCCAUGCACCAAGUACUCAAUACAUUAAUACUUGAACCAGGAACCAAGCCUGCCACUACUGAUUUCAAUACUUUAUCCUUAAAUGGGGAAUCAUACCACUGCCAGCAAGAAGAGAGCUACUCUGGAAAGAAUCCAAAAAGAAGUCAGAACUGCUGUACUAAUAAAGAGAAAUGCACUCGGGAAUCGGCCUACCAAGGAGAAGAACCUCGAUAGGAACUCCGCCUUUGUUUACUAUAACGAAACCUCUAUCCCUCUAUUACUAUACUUAUUUGAAACUUCACACCCCUUACUUGCUUUCUUGCACUGUUGACCUCUAAUCUGACUUGUUGGGUAGUCAAUCUUACUCCCCGGUAGCGAAAAGCCUUACUUGCUCCACUCCCUUCUAGUUAUAUUAGAAUCAGCUACUCAAACUGUAAGUCCACACAUCCUGUCUUUGAUUCUUAUACUACUAACUAUGGGCCUGUUUCCUUUGACUUUCCACUCUGAAAAUACUAACUAUCGGAAUCAAAACACCACCUGAUAGAUGAAACAAAUAACUAAGACUUCUAUUGUAUUCACUAAUAUUCCCUAGGAACCGUACAAGCCUGCCCUACAGUGGACUAACUCUGACUGAACUUCCUUUGAGCCUACCGGGGCUUACUUUCUUUCUUGAGCUACUGAGCACGGCAGCCUCCCCUUUAGUUCUUGUUGUCUAUCUGUGUCUUGGUGAUUUGAAGCUAGUAAAGGCAGAUCCAUUCUUUUCAGUAGUAAUUCAAUGUGAGAUAUCCGUUUUGUUGUCAGUAGCUUGGUUCUAUUCCUGUAUGCACUGGAUCGAUCAUAACCAUACCCUUAACUCUAUUGACUCUAGCGAAUCUAUUCAUCCGCUUUAAGUUCAAAGAGCAACUAUCUCACAUUUGUUUGCCGACCGGUCUUUCAUCGGACGAUAAUCAAAGCUGGUGAAAGAAGGCGUCCGCAUCUGCUAGCCUAUACAAGGUGCUGCAAUGCCCUUACUAAGCGAUGGAUGCUAUAAACACUGGUAGCGCCUCGGAAGCCACACUGGGACUUACAGCUAUAGCCAGGCACCUAUGUCUUCCAGGGGGAUAUUUCAUCCACUUCUUCCUUGAUCUGGUCGAUGGAUCUUCUCAAUUGGAGGAUUCCAAAUAUGGAGAAUUUAUUACAUCGCUUUUUGAGGAAACAAUUGCAAAUAGUUCUGUAGCUCACCCGAGGUCCACUUCGUUCACUUCUUAUCAUCCUAGUAGGUUUCUGUGCCAUUGGGCCAGCGAAACUUCCUCAGAUCUAGUGUGCUAGCUGACGACGCGUGUAACGCAUGCUCCUGUUCAGUGGCGACGGGAACCUUCCGGAUGGUUAGCCACACCUACCUACGUUAUUUAUAUAGAAAUGACUCGGGAGCCUUGAUCUUAACCCUUCCCCACUAGUUCGAUUUUCAUCAGAGCUGUUAUUAUCCAACUGACAUCUCUACUUACCCUAGGCGCUUGUCUAGUAAACUCUUCUCUUUACGAUUCUCUCUACUUCACCAGGAAGAAGUACUCUCCAAAUCGCAUAGAGUAUGAGAAUGCCGAUUCUGUCGAACCUUAUUUCUAUGCUAAUAAACUUGCUUACCGUAAUUGCUUAAGCGGAAUCUUUCGUGCUUUCAUCUCUCUCAGUGAUGGGUUGAGGACAAGAUAUUGAUAUCUUAAAACAGCGUAAAUCGGCUCCUUUUUCUCCUCUCUCUUUGAGUCAUUCCCUGUAGGAACCGUGUUCGAAAUGCAAUGCAGCCCAUGAAUAGGGCGGAGCUAACUUGCCAUGUACAGGUCCUGCAAUUGCCUGGGUAAGCUAAGCCCAUAGGAAUCUCUUGUCGAUGGAAAAGAAGGGUGAUGAAAGAAAUGAUGACACAAAACCACUUUUUCAUUAAUAAACUAAUUAAUAGAACACGAACCAUCUUGUGCUUGCUUUAGGAUCAUCUAAUUGCGUAUAGAACGAACCAAGAUGCUUACUGUGUCAUACGAGAAUAGUGAAUCCAUCGACCAAGUAGUUAUAACCGAGUCCACCAAGCUACGUAGUUAGUUGCGCAGUAGCGAGCGAAAACUGGGCGGGAGCGAGUGGUUGAAUAUUCUAUCCCCUAGGGAAAGGAGAGUGUAGCCACUCAUUCGAUUAGGGCAAGCAUAAGGAAUGCUUCUAACCUAACCCUACUAGCAUAGCCGGUUUCAUUCAGGCCAAUAACUCUUUGCCCAAGAAGGGACUCCCAGCACUAGAAAGAGGAGCAUCCAAUGAAGACCAGAUGGCAAAGCCAUAAGGACCGGAAAAUAGGGUGAUGGCUAUCCUUCCAGCAAGUGGAUUUCGAGACUCGUCUAUCAAGGAUUCCCCAUCUCUGAAUCGUGGUGCCCGAAACUGUGUUGAGAUUGCCUUUAGUGCUUUGAUCAGGCAGGGAAGAUUGGCGUUUACGUCUUCCCAACUGACUUAGAAAAGAACCGAUCCGAGUAUCGAAAGCACAAUGAGCCGAAAAGCACAUCCAUUAUGGCCAUCUCGUGUCGCUAAAGUAAAGGAUUAUACAUUACUCAAUAACUACUUCAUCUACAUCUCGGCGAUAUCCCACCACUUAUACAUACUUAAGUUGAGUGCUAACUCCUUUUCUCAGUGGAAGUUGACGUGUAAAAACAAAGGCAGACUGAUUCCAAAGAAAGCAACUGUGCUUCGCACGCUUCACUCGCUCAUUGGAAAAAGCGGGCACGCGCCGACAAGGCUGACAAUCACUCACGGAUGUCUUAUAUGAAAGUAUUCUAUCUCUUUUCAUAGAAAAAUGGAUUUCUCUAACCCCUGCCUGCGAGCCUAGGAGCGCUUAGCUUUGACACUGAUGGUAGCGCGUAGGAGACACCGAGGUUAUGAAAGAACAAAUGACCCAAUGUUGAUUUUCUAAAGAAACCUUAGGGAUUUAUACCUUUCUAAAUGAAUUGUCGACAUCAAAGGAUAUACUCGCCCGGUCUAGUAAGGCAUUACUCCAUAUGAUAUUAAGUUAAGGCAUUACUCCAUAUGAUAUGCUCCUACUACAGUACCCUCAGGAGCGGUAGAUCGUCGGUUGCUCUCAAAGGGUAUUCCAUUCCUACAGCCCCAAUUGUCAAGUAGACGCUCCUUCAAUCACUCUUUCGCUUAACAGUGGAAUUAGACACUGAGCAGCCGGCAGCAAGAAUCUAUUGUAGGGAAACCUUCGGAAGAGAAAAUUCCUUAGAAAACGAUUUGAGGCUGAAGGUGUGGAUUACCUUAGAAGAGCUGCUAAGCGCAACUACUAAUGCCUCGGUCGUAUUCGGCUUAGACUGACACCAUAGGGGAGCUCUUUAUCCUAGGCUGCGAAGCGCCCGAAGAGCGGAGCUGCUCUAGAAAGAGCCAAGCCAACCCACUUCCUUUCUUCGGAACUGCUCCCUUCUUUUUAGAAGGGGAACUCGGCCCGGCCCCAUUACCCUUUGAGGUAGCUUCGGGUCGUAGAGUAUACUAGUUAGGUCUAUAGAAUUACGGUAGCUUAGAACUUAUGUUUCGGUCGGAAGUGAAAGGAAAUGGGGAGAAUGGAAUUACUACUGACCUUCGCAGCGACAAUUGAGGGAACCUUAUAGCCUCAUUCUAUAGAGUUUUGGAUAGUAAUCGUUUAGAUGUUAGUCUAUUCUUGCUUUUCUAAGGUAGCCCAAUCGAAGGUCAGGUAGCUUAAAUACCUAUAUAGACAGUUCAUAGAAAGAAGAAGGUAGAUCUUACAGUAGAUUCAAUAAAGGGGGAUGCCAGGCUCUCCUAUAGUAAGAAAUUGCCAUAGAAAAGAAAGUUUACCUACUCUAAGGUCAAUAGAGAAAUAUAGUAGACCCGCUUCAGAAGAAAGAGCUUUUAGCGAGCGCCCCUAUUUGAUUAGUGAAUUUGAUUUGAAUGCAGAGCACAGAUAAGAUCUAAUAAAAGUUUUCCAGAAGCGUUCGCGAAUGCAUACCUGAAAAUGCUACGAGGACAGCUUACUCUCACGAAAAGUCAGACUACGAGGCUUCUUAGCUCACAGCUGACUACUUAUUGAAAGAUUUAGGAUAUAUUCGAUUCCAGUUUUUGACUUUCUUUGAGAAUAUUUAUAGAUAGAGCGUUUUGGAUUCCUAUAGAGUAAGAGGAAAGUGUGUUUACUUUUUGACAAGAUGAAACCUUGUUUGCUGGGGGAAUAGAGCAUCCUUGAGCUUUCAAAGGGUACUAGGAAUGCCCCGUGAAAGAAAGGAUCUUAUCAGCUAGACACUACCUGGGCCCGUGUAUUCGGAAACCAUCGGUCGCUAACUUGCUCAACGAAGCAUUGCCGGUUUAGAAUAACUAGUUGUACCGAGACUUGGUAGGGGGCGGGCAGAUGCCUAAAUCCGCUUUUCAGACCCGGGCAGCUAAGAUAAGAAGAGGGGGGCGUCGGUAUGUGGUACCGUUGACCUUAAGUGCUUAGUAGAUGGGAUGAGAAUACAAAGGAAGAAAGAUCAAGCCCAAUUAAUUAACCCUAUGUAGUAAAAGACGUUUAGUAAGGAAAUUCUUGGUACGGACGCAUCCAAUGCCUGAUGGAUGAACUUCAAGGGAUGAACUUCCCUUUCCCAAGUGCGAAUCAUAUGCUUUAAUCUUAAUGAUCUUGUUUCGCCGCCGUUUCGUCGUUAUAACUCCAAUCCGUGUCCGGUCGGGUCAUUUUCUUAUUUAAUACCUAAGUAUCCUUAAGACUACUAUUUCUCUCCAAAUAAGGGGCCUACUGAACUAUGUAAACAAUUAUAUAAUUAAGCCGGCUCUUGAAAACAUCACUUAUUAUGGUGGAUGAUGUUUUUGUCUUUGUUCGCUUACCUCCGAAAAGGAGAGGUGAGAGGCGGAUUUACACCAGCUGUUGACCUAAGACUUGAAACUGACUUAUACUAGGGCUGCUCUCGUGGUGCCGGAAGGUCGUAUACUCGUAUUCCAUCCUAAUAUCCAUCCUAUCCUCUUAGAAGAAAAUUCCCUUGUAAGUGAGGAUUUGCAUUUGGAAUUCGAAUAUUCGUUUCAGCGAAAACAAUAGAUGCUUCUUAUCGAAGCGCGAACGAAGACUCAAAAUACUCAGAGGAGAUUCCAUGCGUGGUGGAUUCCAUUCCGGAAUUAGCCUUUAGGAGCAUCCGAAUGCCCGCCCGUCCAUGCGAAAUAGAUGCUUCCUGUCCUGUAUCUCUACCUAUCUCGAAUUGGAAUAAGGGGAUGCUACAUCUAUUAAUCUUUUGAAGAGUCCUCCCUUCCUAGCUGCCUUUUCUUGCUAAAUAAGUUGAUAUUAUAGGAUUUGUCUCAAAGAGGCUUUGCUUUCUGAGUUCAUUCUCUUUCAUGUCAUAAUAAAUAUGGACAUUCCAAAUAAAGGGAGUGUAAUGUAAGUGAUGGUGCGCUCCCCGGUUAGCCGGACUCAGUUCAAGGCACGCUUGCCUGCUCUCCUCAUUUGUGAACAGAUGGGACAGGACUCUUUCUUUCGUCAAGAAUAGAUGAGUUUUAUACCCGAGUGAAUUGAUGCAUGCCUUUAUGUGGGAAACGUGUCGAUCUCUAAAUCUUCUAUCUAUAGCGUGUAUGGAUAAGCCUUCCGGGGUGCAACUAAGUGGUCUAACUCGAAUCCCCUUCCUUGAAUGGUGGGAAAGCUUUCCUAUAAGGCCUUUCUUCGGACUCUUUGACUUGCUUUGGACUUACCUGUACAAUGGUGCAAUUCUUAUUAAUAGUGAUUGGAUUCCGUUUUUGGUAUUUCUUCUCAGAGCAAAGUAAAGCAAAGUGAACUCUGUUAGCGCAACAGAGCAAUAAGAAUAAGUGUAGAGAACAAACAGAGCAAGGGAGAAUCAAAAGCAUGGCUUGGGGUAAAGAACGGAAUUGGAAACCGUAAAAGAACCUGCUUUGCUUGCGGGACAAUCUGUAUACCUUGAUUAUGGCGCAAGUGUACGAUAACCAGGGAUCAAGGAAGUAAGCAGCAAUUAGGUAUAGCUAAAUCGGUCUGAUUCCACCAUCUCUAAUAGAUCCAAUGAAAUCAAUGGUUGGUUCAAGUGCUAUUAUCAGUUUUCAUUGAAUUAUCAUAAUCUUCUUUUUCAUGCGAGGGAAGGGAAUAACUUAAUUACUCAAUGGUCCACUUCUGAGGGAAAGAAGGGAGGUAAGCGAAGGAAGUGGGAAAGAAUUCCACAAAUGGACCUUCUUCAUACUCAACUCAGGCUCAUCUCACUCUGGCUACUAAUCCGAACGAACUCUAUCUGAAGGCCCGACUAGACCUAUAAUAAGUGCCCGAACCGAGCCUAGUAACAGACUUUGGGCUUCCUCCUAGACUACUAUACUACACCUCUCCUCUGUAAACUAAUACUUUUCUUGCUCUGGACUACGAAACUACUAGUGGAAGGGCAAAAACAGGUUCACUCAGGAUUCACAAACAAGAUAGGUGGCGAGUUAACCCUAGAGCUUAAAUAAGGGCAGGCCAUUUUCUUUCUUCUUCUCCUAAGUAUCUGCUUGUAGGCUAGGCUUGCUUCCUUUAGAACAGGAACUAGCCAUUCUGCUGCCCCAAGAGAUUCAUUCCUACCCGAGUGUUAAUCAGUUAUCCUUCGUAUCUAGUAUAAGGCAAGUAUCGGUAUUUAUUUGACUCCGCCACAACAAGGCAAGAAAUCAAUAAAUCCAGAAGGGUGCUUUCCCGAGCAGGAACAGGAAAAGGAGUUAGUUUACCAUUCUCAGAAGUAGGAAUUACUGAAUUGACCUAAGGAGUCAAAGAAUUAGAUAAAGUCUUGAGAGCCCUGUUAUGAUUGGUUCAAGUCGUCUUAUUUCUGCUUUUUAUCCUUAUUUGUAGUAGUGGGAUUGCUCGUUUCUUAUUGAAUUAUUAGAAGCAGCAGUAACAGGCACAUAGUAAGUAGAUAAAUACUUUGUAUUCGGUUUGUUAGCAUAGCAUUGAAGACAGUAGUAACAGAACGAUAGACAGUAAAGUAAGCCUCGGUAGCAGCGGCUCGAUUCCCAGUCUCUGUUUUAAUUAGAAUAAGUGGUAGUUUGAUUCACUGUUUGAGGUUUCUUCUUUCCAGUAGUUAUUUCAAGUUUCAUAGGUCUAAGUGUGAUUCCCUUUUUUCAGUAGAAAUAUGCUAAGUUAGAGAUGCAUUCUGUAUAGUAGUAGCCACAUUCCCAUACUAACCAGCUCAAUUCCGAGUUUUGAGUUAGGGUAUCGCUAGCCCUAGUAUCAGCCUCAUGUGACUAUUUGCAUUCUUUCCUGUAGUACCCAUUCUUAUAGCCUAUAGUAAGUGAAGUAGCCACACUCUUGAUACUGGUAGUUUGAUUCCCGUUAGUUGCCCCAAGUGAGUACCCAUUCUUAUAGCCUAUAGUAAGUGAAGUAGCCAAUCACAUUAAAAACAUCUACAGUUGGAUUCCCGCUUCAAAGCAAGUACCUGAUAUAGCUCCUGCUGAUUGAGUUUCUUCCGAUAUAGUAGAUGACACGGUUCUGGUCGGCAAGGGGACAAGCUUAGUAGUUAGUAUCGCUAAAGGGCCGCUCUUCAUGUAGGCAAGGGAAGCAGUGCGAGGAAAGUUUACUUAAGUGCGGUAGGGAGUGAAACGGCAGGGCCGCUCCUCAUCCCCAGUUCCAACUAGUAGAGAGUAUAGAGAGAGAUCUAAAGAAUCAGACAGGCCAGGCAGGCCCUAUCGUUAAGGUUAGUAAGCGGUCAGGGGAGUUCCGUAUUGCAAUAUGGUUCUUGAUCGCCCAGUUCUAGCUUAAAGUCUAUUUUGUCUUAGCAAGGUGAAAGUAUAGGUCGGUGCCGAGCAAAGUAAGGCUUGGCUACUGCCCCUCUUAUCGGGAUUUACACUUUGAUUCACUGAGUUUGAAGCCGGAAACUACUCACUAAAGUUCUGUAUUUGGAGCUGUUGUCUUAGACACUAGAUUGAGUGCCGGUGCUCACUAACCGAAGUAUGAUAAUGACCUAGACCAUACUACUACUUGUAUAUUAACAGGAUGCACUACAUACCCGCUCUUAUUAGUCUUCUGAUUCACCCGUGUAACUGGCAAUUCUUCUUUGGAUUAUCCCCAAUAACUACUGGAUGGACUUGGAAACCCACACUUGCUCCACGCCUCUAGCUUGUAUACAAAUUCGAGUAAUAUUACCUGAGUUUAUCUAUACUCAAUAAACAAACUUGCUUCUUUUCGCCUGGAACUAAACCUUUCGACUACUGAUUCAUUCUCAUCGCCAACGCCAAAACCUUGAGACUCACACUCGACCAGGGAAAGAACUCAACGAGGAAGACUUGACUUGCUCACAAAGAAAGAAAUCGAUUUAGUGUAGAACCAGGGAAAGAACUCAACGAGGAAGACUUGACUUGCUAUAAAAUUCCAAAAGAAAUAUAUUGAGUGUAGUUUUUAUAGCAGAUGCGUUUGGCAAUAAGAAGCCACACAUAAUGUAUUUAAUAUGAGUUAUUUCGCCUGAUGUCUUCGGCGGUAGCGAGUUCACUCCGGCCUUUGACUCUUACUUCCUUUACUAGAAGUCUGUAUUUCCCCCGAGAUUCUUGCGCUUGUUACUGACCAUGUGCCUAUGAGUCUUACUUUACUUGGAUUCCGUCUUUCCUUACUCGAUCUCAGGCUGACUUUUCACUCUAUGACUUAUUACUUAGGGGAUCCAACUCGGAACUGGGCUUUAACUACUAUCUAUUUCAUUAUACUAUCCAUUAGAAUUGAGCCGAUACUGAUGAGAAUGAACCCGGGAACAGGGAAUGCGACUAGCGCUUCUAAUAAGGUAACUCAAAGCUGGUAAUCCAAUCUAUUAAGUCAGAAAUCAACAACUGCUAACAAGAAUGGAACAGUUCACGCAACUCUAAGAAAACGGAAAAAGGGGAAUGGAGCGACUCUAGCUAGAGGCCUGCCACUACUACUUCCAUUACUUUAACUAGAAACUCCGGCUUUACCUCCUGCCUAUCAGUAUGACUUGACUUUCUCUUAAACUCAGCUACUCCCGAUAAAGACCUUAGCUCUAAACUCAGGCUUACCCUGCUGUUUAUAAUACCUUAGCUCGGAACUCAUACUUAUACUGGUGCCUCUGAUAAUCCAACUACUAAUAGAAGGGAUGAACCAAAGGCAUACAAUAAUUCCAUUGGGUAUACUCGAUUUUCACUAGUGGGCAAACAGACAAAAAACAGUGCUUCCCAUCAUGAAACUCGGAACUAGGGCUUGCUCUACUUGCUGUAAACUAAACGACUUAUUUGCAACCUGACACUGCUUUAUUGCAGUAUACCAUCCCUUUCUUUAAGCCUAAGUUUCCUGUCUCCCGUUCUCUAACAUUACCCUGCUCCACGGAAACCCAACCUUAUAAAAACAAUAGCAGUUUUCCAACCCCAAGAAGGUAGUGGCAUAGAAACAGUGCUAAAGUCAGCAUCAAACGGUUAUGCAAGUAGAGAGUAAGCAGAUGCAUUAUUAGAAGCCUAAGAUGAAUUUGGUGAGUCAGCUGUUAUAUAAUUUAGUAAAGAAGAAUCAAGAUCAGAAGAAUAAGUGAUUGUUUUGUCCUAGUCUUAGAUAGAGGAAUCAAUGCCUUUGCCAGACGAAGCCAUUCAAAAGUCUGCAGCUGAAUGACUAGUUCCAGGUUAGUUUGGAGUUGCAGUUGGAAUUGCCUCCUUUCCUUUACUUACCGCAGUACCACAGAGGUUAAACAACGAGAAUUGUCUUAUUUACUACGAUGUAGAGAAUUGUCUUAUUUACGAUGUAGAGUAGUGGUUGCAGGCGCUUUCGCUCAAAGUCAGAAAGUAGUAUAAGUAUGCAGGACGUAGUAGCUUGGCCGGUUUACAGGAAAGUAGACUGCGUAAGGCGCUCUCAAUGUGGCCUGGAAAAGCAGGGUGAAGGUUCCUAAACCGAGACGGGUGUUAGCGAGUUUACAGUUGACUUUAUCUGCGCGUAAAGGAAUCAAUUGAUGUUUCACUUCGAGAUGGAGAGACUAAGCAAUCAGAUCUUAAUUCCAGAAAUUCUGUUACGCUAAGGCUUCAAUGAAAUCCCAUUCUGCAACGGAAGUUCGGGGUUGUCGAUUAAGAAAUCUCUUUUCUCAAUGAAAGUGUAGUUCCAGAUUCAAGAUCAGCAGCGGAAGGAUCCACGUAAGCCGAUACGAAAUAAGGACUUGCGCGUAAGCAAGAAGAGUAGCCAGGCGUUACUCCUUCAGGUGAAACUGGAAUCUGUGUUUGCAACGAGAUCCGUAGAUGAAGAGAGUCGACGAGAGAAGAAAGGCCACUACAAGGUUAGGCAAAAGAUAAGUAAGGGUUAAGAGCGGAAUAAAGUACUAUUUCUGGCAGUAGUGGAAUUCCAGUUUUCUCAGUUAUCGAGUUGGAAGCUAAAGCGUUAAGUAUUGCCAGGCCCAGAAACAGUUGAAGUUAUAGUUCACACAGAAGAAGGAAUUGUGGUUCCAGUGGAAUCUCGAGCUGAAGCAGUUUUGUUUCAAGAGAUUUAUUGUUAACUGCUGUAGUAGCUUGUCGUGUUUUUACUUUAGCUAAUGGAGUGGAGUUAAACAGUGUCAGUGAGUAUGCUUUGGCGCAAAGAAAGAAACAAAGAAAGAAACUAAGGAUGCUUGGGGCGAGAUCCUGGUCUUUACUGCUCUGUGGGCGGAGUUGAACAUGGGUAUUACGACGAGUAAGGCAUUAUUGACAGCUCUUUCACCGAGUAGAUAAGAUGGCAUUCAAGCGAGAUCUGGAUCCGUUCUAAAGUCAGCAAUAAGGUAUAGAACAACUCUUAUUAAUAUUACCCCAAAUCUAUAUGAUAAAGAAAGAGAAAAUGGGGUAUUUGGCCUCUAAAUCCGGUGGAACAGGAGAACAAUAAUUAGCUGUUUCCAGUAGAAAGAGAAUCCGCUAGAGAAGAUACUCGAUUUGAAGCAUAAGAUGCUGCAGGGGCUAAAGGAAAGUAGCAAACUACAAGAUCAGAAGCCUCAGACGAAUCUCCUUCUUAUAGAAUACUAGUAACCGGUCACCCUAAAAUCCGGGACCCUAUACCUUUUGGAUUGGAGAGUUCGGUGCUCUAGUUUCAUCGCUAGUUCCCAUCCUCUCUUAAUAGAAUGGAAGACAGAAUGCUUAGGCGCAGGUCAGGUUAGCUAGCGGAACCUAAAGUGGAGUUUCAUCGUAUGUAGAAAGAAGCUCUGCUGAGGUGCUCUAGCUCUAAGUAAGAAAGUCUAGUUCGCCGUUUGACAAGGCGCUCGAUAAUCAAUUCCUGUUUUUAUAGUGUUGGUUUGAGUUGAGUUCCCGUUUGAGUAUCCGCUAAAGUGUAAGUUCAAUCUCAUUCUUCGCAUAAAGGAACUCUGUGCUCGAAAGAUGAAAUGAAUUAGGAAGACAGGCCAGUCCCUAUAAGACUAAGUAGAUAGAAUAGAAGAAAUAAGGAAUCGUAAUAACUUCAUGAAGCGGAAGCCAUAGUAGGAGUAGUAACAAGAUCUGUUGCAAGCACAAAGUUCCCUGAGAGUAUUGUUCCAGAUGAAACAUAAGCUGGAGAAUCCGCAGUCCGCCUGUCAGCACCAACCGCUCCCGUCCUGGAAUCCGUUUCUGUUUGAGACGCAUGUUAGUAUGUAAUUCCAUUCUUCCAUUUUGUCCUAUGAUUCCUCUUAUUGCUAUGAUUCCUUAACUGUAAACUAUCAACUGUAAACCUAAACUUUCCCUGACCCCUACUCAUACUAACGCUACACAUUAUACGUGGGCUGGCUGCCGCGCAACUAACUACAAAGCUUGGCGGUCAUUAUCCUAAGCUUGUCUACUUUUUGAGUCCACCAAGAAUUCUUGACUUCAAAGUGGUUAAGCUACUAUAUAUCCUGUAUACGCUCUUUCGAUUCCCCGAAGAUUCUAAGAUAAGGCAUUUCAGGUCUAAGAAAAGAAACAGCAAGCUAAUUAGAGUUUCUCAUUUAUGUUUAUAUAGUAGGGUUCUCUCAAGGACACUGAUCUCUGGACAAUUCUAAUACGGAGGGCAGUUGGCUAUACCACACAAGAUGACAGGCAGUUAAUAUCCUAGAGUGCCUCUUCCGCUAACUCUCAAUAGACUUGAAUUUCCGUAAGAAUGCAGGGUUUAACCCUUCUACGAUUCGUGACUUUCUUUUGAUCACAUUGAGCCAGGCUGAGAGACGAGGAGUAGCUCCGAAAGAAAGAAUAGCCAGACUUUCGUGUACUUGGUGGUGUCCUUCUAUUUGCGUUUCGUGUCUAAAUCUAAGUAGAAGCAUGAGUAAGGUGCUAAGAGCCUUUGAAUCUUGGUGUGAAAAAGAAGGGUGCCCCCCUGCAUACGUAUAUGAUUGAUUGAUCUCCUCCCCGGCCCGUAGAUGUCAAAUACAAAAAGGGGGAUUUUCAGUGAAUAUAUAAGCAAAGAGGACAAGAGCCCGAUUGUUUGGGGCGACUACACGGCGGAGCGGAUUCUUUAAAUAUCGGCUGCUAGUCCAAAUCAAUAGCAGAGCACAAGCCUACCAUCAGACUAGAUUAUAUCCAAACCCCAGGGUUGUUCGGACUGGUACGAUCAAGACUUCGACUCCGACCUCCGAAGUAAGGUCUUACACUCCUAGAAUCAAUAAUCUAUAUUAGGUCUUCUAGGAUCCGCAGGUCGUGAAGGAGAUAAGCAGGACUCUUGGUGAAAGGAUUUUCGCUGACUCUUUUACCUUGAAAGUCAAAACUAUCCGGAAGAGUAUUCUUUUGAAUGCCUUGAGCCUUGAGGUAAGCAUUACUUACCACCAUCACAACUCAUGAUUCAUGUCUUUCGAAGAUAGGGGAACAUUGUGUUUUGUCUUUCCAUGAUUGAUUUAAGCGCUUUACAGAAUGGAUAAGGUUUGGAACUAGACAGAUUGGCAGUAAUGCGAAAACAUAAUCCCAAAGAGAAUAAAGAAUAGGGAGAAUUCAGAUUUGGUGGUACCUUCAUUGAUACUCAUCAUGCGAAUUGGAGAGCAUGCCCCUAUGUAUCUGUUCUUUAUGAGAAGUUCCUUCUAAAGAUGUCAACAUCUAUUUUGGAUUCAACAGCGGAAAAACAUCAAACAAUUCAUGCUUACUAUAGGUUCUAUUUGGCUUGUCGAAAUACCGUCAUCAUAAAUGAUGCCUUGCCUCGAUGGUAUACCUAUCGCAAUGCCUUCAUCCAAAUUGGAUAUGACCGGAGAAAAGGGAAUCUGCCAAUCGGUUAAAGCAAAGAUUCUGUUGGUGUUCCAUAAGCCCUAUUCCGUCCUAUUUUCUUAACGUUAUUAGUAGCGGCUCUUAAGAAGUACGCCCAAAAACAACAGGCGGCAACCNNNNNNNNNNNNNNNNNNNNNNNNNNNNNNNNNNNNNNNNNNNNNNNNNNNNNNNNNNNNNNNNNNNNNNNNNNNNNNNNNNNNNNNNNNNNNNNNNNNNNNNNNNNNNNNNNNNNNNNNNNNNNNNNNNNNNNNNNNNNNNNNNNNNNNNNNNNNNNNNNNNNNNNNNNNNNNNNNNNNNNNNNNNNNNNNNNNNNNNNNNNNNNNNNNNNNNNNNNNNNNNNNNNNNNNNNNNNNNNNNNNNNNNNNNNNNNNNNNNNNNNNNNNNNNNNNNNNNNNNNNNNNNNNNNNNNNNNNNNNNNNNNNNNNNNNNNNNNNNNNNNNNNNNNNNNNNNNNNNNNNNNNNNNNNNNNNNNNNNNNNNNNNNNNNNNNNNNNNNNNNNNNNNNNNNNNNNNNNNNNNNNNNNNNNNNNNNNNNNNNNNNNNNNNNNNNNNNNNNNNNNNNNNNNNNNNNNNNNNNNNNNNNNNNNNNNNNNNNNNNNNNNNNNNNNNNNNNNNNNNNNNNNNNNNNNNNNNNNNNNNNNNNNNNNNNNNNNNNNNNNNNNNNNNNNNNNNNNNNNNNNNNNNNNNNNNNNNNNNNNNNNNNNNNNNNNNNNNNNNNNNNNNNNNNNNNNNNNNNNNNNNNNNNNNNNNNNNNNNNNNNNNNNNNNNNNNNNNNNNNNNNNNNNNNNNNNNNNNNNNNNNNNNNNNNNNNNNNNNNNNNNNNNNNNNNNNNNNNNNNNNNNNNNNNNNNNNNNNNNNNNNNNNNNNNNNNNNNNNNNNNNNNNNNNNNNNNNNNNNNNNNNNNNNNNNNNNNNNNNNNNNNNNNNNNNNNNNNNNNNNNNNNNNNNNNNNNNNNNNNNNNNNNNNNNNNNNNNNNNNNNNNNNNNNNNNNNNNNNNNNNNNNNNNNNNNNNNNNNNNNNNNNNNNNNNNNNNNNNNNNNNNNNNNNNNNNNNNNNNNNNNNNNNNNNNNNNNNNNNNNNNNNNNNNNNNNNNNNNNNNNNNNNNNNNNNNNNNNNNNNNNNNNNNNNNNNNNNNNNNNNNNNNNNNNNNNNNNNNNNNNNNNNNNNNNNNNNNNNNNNNNNNNNNNNNNNNNNNNNNNNNNNNNNNNNNNNNNNNNNNNNNNNNNNNNNNNNNNNNNNNNNNNNNNNNNNNNNNNNNNNNNNNNNNNNNNNNNNNNNNNNNNNNNNNNNNNNNNNNNNNNNNNNNNNNNNNNNNNNNNNNNNNNNNNNNNNNNNNNNNNNNNNNNNNNNNNNNNNNNNNNNNNNNNNNNNNNNNNNNNNNNNNNNNNNNNNNNNNNNNNNNNNNNNNNNNNNNNNNNNNNNNNNNNNNNNNNNNNNNNNNNNNNNNNNNNNNNNNNNNNNNNNNNNNNNNNNNNNNNNNNNNNNNNNNNNNNNNNNNNNNNNNNNNNNNNNNNNNNNNNNNNNNNNNNNNNNNNNNNNNNNNNNNNNNNNNNNNNNNNNNNNNNNNNNNNNNNNNNNNNNNNNNNNNNNNNNNNNNNNNNNNNNNNNNNNNNNNNNNNNNNNNNNNNNNNNNNNNNNNNNNNNNNNNNNNNNNNNNNNNNNNNNNNNNNNNNNNNNNNNNNNNNNNNNNNNNNNNGAAGCUCUAUAACAACUGCGGAGAAGCUCUAUAACAACCAAAUAGGAAAGAUCUUGAAGGAAAGAAAGAAAGGAGAACUUUGGAUAGGAAAGGAAAGAUCUUGAAAAAAAGGAGAACUUUGGAUUAUUCCAUAUCAAAGGGCUGAUUCCACUUCCAACUUACAAGGACUGAUUCCACUUCCAACUUACGGAGGAUGAUAUCUUCGUAGACAAUAAGAGAUAGAUCUAGGGGUCAGGAGAUGAUCUUUGUAGACAAUAAGAGAUAGAUCUAUGGGUAAAGAGAUGAGAUUCUUUCUUAUUAGUGGAAAAUUGCCCUAGCUAGAUUCACUCCCUUAUUAUAGCAGCGCAGCCCCUUGGCUUUGUCCCAUAACAGCUGAUAGCAAGCAUUCCUGACUUUGGCUUUGUCCCUUACCAGCUGACAGCAAGCAUUCCUUACCUUGGCUUUGUCCCUUACCAGCUGACAGCAAGCAUUCCUGAAUGGAUCUAGACUCUUUGGCUACCGGCACCUCAACAAAGUCACUUUCCUUCCUUCCACUCUAAUAGUUCUAGCUUUCUUUAGGGGCCAUAAGAAGAAAGUGGAAUGUGCUAUUCUCAGUCAUCCCAUUCCCUUCCAGUUGGAACUAGUAAUGCCGCAUCAGGCUCUUCCUUCUUAUUGAGAGCAAAGGGGUAUACCUUCUGCGUGCUUAACCCAGCAAGAUCCGAGAUCUGAUCUACGUCCUGCUUACCCGCAUACCCUUGAAAAGACACUUUAUGCCCCAGGUGUGAAGGAACUUCUUGCACAUGGGGAAGGAAUUCGGAGGGAAUAAGGCAUCAAAGAUCUAUGGCAUCAGUCGAAGACUAGGUUGCAUCAUAGAAUAUAUAGGUUGCCAAUAAGAUGAAGGCAAUUCUCUUAAAUAGGGAAGGGGAGCUAUGUCUUUACUCAUAGGGAAGGGGAGCUAUGUCUUUACUCCACUAUAUACUUGGUGCUCGAAAACAAACAAACAUCACUUAUUUCAUUGAAAAAAGCAAAUAGAAUAGUUAAGGGAAUGGAAUCAAAAACAGAUAAUAGAGAAUACGAUAUGGAACAAUAAACAAGUACUGUAGCGCCUAGAAGCAUAAGCCACAUAUCUUGGAGUUCCGAGUUCACCCAGAACCAUAUCAGAAGCGGGAGACAGAGAAUCACUUCAGGGUUAAGAAAGGAGAGUUCGAGUAUAGGAUCUUAUCUCUAUCGGUAAAGUCGAAAGGAACCGACCCAUAGCAAGCGGAAAGUGGAGUUUCAGAAUCAUUAAUACAUCCUGUCUGGGGUAGGAACUUUAUAAGUUGUUGUAUCCGGAAUAAGGAGAUACUGAAUCUACUGGAUCUAUAGAAUCAUAUAGAUCAGGGAGCAAUAGUAAUAUGUCCAGAGUCGGUGUAAGGAGAAGAAGUUCAGCAGCUAGACAGAAUACAAAUAUCAGAAGAGAAAUAGGGCUAUAUUUAGGUAAGAAGAAUAGGAAUAGGAUUUCGCUAGGUAUUAUAGAAAAGGGUAAGUCACAAACCAUGCGCUCUCUACUUAUUGAAUCGAAUCGGCUGACUUUUGAACUUCUGAAGAUCCUAAUUCCAAUCCAACUCUUUCUGUAUCUGUAGUCCUGUUUUCUGGGGCCCCCGUGUGUCUUUCUCUAUGACGAGUAGUUAACAGGCGUUAAACGACAAGCUUCUAAAUUCAUGCUCUUGCUUCAAUGGAAUCUCUUUCUGGGGAAUUUGGAGUGGGCAUUAUUGCCCCAUGUCGGUUCCGCUCUUAAUCGUUCCCUGCCUCUGUUCAUCACGCUGGUUCAGUAGUUUCGAUCAACGAUGUCUCUUUCGUCGUCGUUAAUACGUGGAAUAGAGAGUGACUCGGCAGUGGUCUCGUCUGGUGCUUUCCCAUCGCAGCACUUCCUUGUUAGUCGAUUCAUGUGGAUGGUGAUCCAUUGGUCUUUCAAUCGACUGGAUCAAUCUUCUCAGGAUUCUUAUACCGACGAUGGCCUUUUUUCAGUACACCUUAUUGACUUCAGUAAUGGAAUCUAUCUCACCCGCCUCUCAUUUAGGAAUAGAAACUACCUUUCCUGUUAGCGCAGAGGAAAACAACACUCUAAAUUGAACUGAUGUGUAUUGCAGACAUGAAUUUAUUGAAUCCUAUAAUCUAAGGAAUUUCUCUAAGACACCUUGGGCUACGGGCAAUCACAGGACAUUAAGCUGCUGACUCCCAGUUUACUGCUGGCUCUCUCUCUUGGGGUGCUAACGGGUGAAGCCCUGUAACUCGCUUGUUUGUUUGUUCUCCUGACUGCAAUUACAAAUUGAGGGUUAUAUGAAGACAACUCUGGUUUUCACCCGAUACUUGAAAGUUCAAGAACUCCUGCCGCGGAAGGAGCCCCGGUGCUAGAGUCUGAGUUGUUGUAGAAAGAACAGCUCUUGGUCUUGCUUGGGAGGGAAGGAAGGCUUUUUUGGUUUUGGGCUAUUACUAGUAGAUCCCUUUCUCUUUGCACGAACAGGGAAAAGAUCAAAGCAAGGUAUUCCUUUUGAGAAUCUAGUUGAUGCGAGCCUAAUUCAUUAUGCCAUAUCCACUCGACUCGGGUAAGCCAAAAAAGAGGUGUCUCAAUAGCCCUUGGGUGAAUAAUAGAAUACGGGAAUGAUUCAUUGAACGGAACCUACCAGUUAGGCUUGGAGAACAGAGCUAGUCAACAGAUCUAGACGUGCGAUAUGGGACACGAACGCCAGGCCCUGUUGCCUGAAGGGAGGGACGAGGUCUUUCUUUUCGGUCUUUCUUUUAGAGACAAAGGGUUAGGCGGCUGAUUCAGAGGAGUAGGCUAUUGGCAUUCCAUUCCGGACAAGGCAGUUAGCGGACUUCAGGCUAUCACUCUCUUCCGGGCAUUAGCAAGCAAUCCAGACAUAAAUAUCUGCCGAGCCAGCCGGCAAUCCAGACAUAAAUAAGGAGAAUUGAUAUCUGCCGAGCCAGCCGGUAAGAAAGCUAACCGAAAUAAGGUAACAGAAGGAUUCUGCUAGUCUAUGAAUAGAGAAACAAUCAGUCUGUGAUAAGCAUAGCAUCAGAUAGCUGAAAGAAGUUGCUAGUUCUGUAAGCCUAUUACGAUCAGCAGUAGCCGAACGAACUGGAUGCUAAUCAGUCAGAUCAGAUAGGAAAAGCCUUUGGCAUCUAAGCUGGCUCACGGUGGAUAGCUAGGCAUGUAAGGUAUAUUCUUCUCUUGACUAUGCCAAUCCUAUCCUUUACCAACAAGCAGGCUACCGAUAUAGCUGUGGAUUGAUAUAGAGAGUAUACUGUGCCAAGCCUAGAAAGUCAUAAUUUCUGAAUGGGAACUUACAUACAAAAAGAAUGGAACAGUAGACAACCUUGGUGUAAAAGUGGAACAUGCGAGAAAUGACGUACCCCACUUAAGCUUGAAGAUCCUAAUCCUACUGCUCGAACAGUAACUCCACGAAACGACUUUCCAAGAACUGCUUCCACAGCGUAUUCUUUUGGGCUUCAGAUCUUGAGACUUCCAAAAUACAGAUAAAGAUUCAUAAUUAAUGGAAUAUUGGACUUGGGCGUGUUAGGAAGUUAAGCAAGAACAAGUAAUGGCGUUCCAUACACGUAAGCACCCGAACAAGCUUAUUUCUACGAACAAGAGCUACGGUCGACCACUACAAGGGGCUUCAGAGCAUAAGGGCACAUAAAGUAUACCUUUUAGCAUCGCGGGGAAACUCCUCUCUAUCAUGUGGGAAUCCUCAUUGAAACUUGGAAACGGUACUUCUGAUGCAUUUCACCCUAACAUAUGACCUGUUCCCUUGCGCAACGGGUAGAUCCUCGUGUAAUGAGUGGGCAGUAGAGAAAAUACAUCCCACAAUAUAUUCUGACUUAAUAAGAGCACUUGGGAUAAAGUGACGUAAAUCCACUAUUCCCUUUGCUUUUGACGAACUCUACUUAGAGCUAGAGCACCGAACCUCUCUCGUAGACAUCAAGCCAAUAACCGUACAAAACGGAACUUCCCGAUCCAGAUCCUAAUUAUGCUUCAAAGCCCGGAUGAAGAAGGGACGUUGCUUGGUGGACUUGCUUAUUACUGUUAUUAACUCCUAAUGUUAUUGUCCCCUUUCUCUUCUGACCCGUGCCCCGACCUCCACUUUCCGUUUAGAAAUGUCCACUCUUGCGCCAACAGCUUUCCCUCCACUUUCCGUUUAGAAACGUCCACUCUUGCGCCAACAGCUUUCCUUCCAGUUUCAGAUCAGUCUUCUUGAGCACCAGGUCCGGUAUGGAAAUAAGUCAAGUAUCGAACAGUCCAUUCCCUUUUUCAACAACAUUAUUUCCUUGCCUUGCCGGAAACUCCAAAUCGAAGUGUCCCGAGUAGUAGGUCCAGUCAAAACAUUAACAUUAAGGGUCUUGAAUUGCACUUUCGCCAACAAAGGCGGAUACAGAUUCAAUAAGGGAUGAAACGAAAACUCCACUUGAUGAUUCUUCACCGACAACAAAGGGAAAGCCCAGAACUGCACCAGAAGCUUACGUAGUUAUGUACUCGAAAGUGGAAGAAUGAUUUGUUGCUUCAGCGAUAAGGGACUGAGUGAGAAUACUAGUAAGUCCCCUGGGGUGCCUCUAACUCUACUCUUGGAAAGUAUUCAACUCUAUUCUGAAACUCUUACUUGCGAGUGGAAUUCUUUACUCCGAUAGUUUCAUUGUUUAUUUCGAGUGGAAUUCUCACUUUUCUAUAAGAGCACUAGGGGAGUCGUUCAAUUCUCACCUUAGAGUGGAGAGCACAUGGUUUGUUAUACCCAUCUCUAUUAUCCCUAGGCGGGGAACAAGGAAGUUAUUACAAUCUCUUUGACUUAUUAUUCUUAUUCUCUAUACGGGCGCAAAGGGAGCUUCCUUGCCUAUAAGAUAUUCUGUUCUUCACCCCUAGCUAUAGCUUCUUAUCUUUCAAGAGCUUCUUAAUACGGUUUAUUACUUACUUCUUUUCUUCUUAACACCGCUGAUCCAUUCUCGUAAACUACACUCGCUCGCACUGCUUAUUCUUAUGCUUGAGAUCUUUAUUACCUUGCUGGUUAUUUAGCCGAUUCCCUAGCUUCUGGUGUUGGCGAAAGUCCUGUUUGGGGGUUAUAAAAGUAGAGUUAAGGUCGGAUUAAAGUACUGGUUCUUAUGCUUGUGUUUAAGGCUGUAACUCCUUUCCUUGGACUUAAGUGGAUAAAGCUGUUCCUGUGAAAGUGGAAUCCGCCUCUGUUGCUUGUGUUACUAAGUAUUCAAUAGAAGAAGUGUAAGUAGGUUAAAGUGUUGCAGUAGAAGGAGCUCGAUUGGCACUCUCAUCUUAAGAUUCAAUAAAUGAUUUAUUUGACUUCAGACUCAACACCAACUCUCUUGACUGUGCCGGUUAGAAAUAGAUUUCCAUUGAAGCGGUUCAAUUCAAUGAUUAACUGAAACAAACUAGAGUGAAGCGAAGGAAAGAGGACAAGACAAGUCACUACUUUAAGCGGUAGGAGCGGAUGAGUUUAGCUAAAGGGAGCUUGGAGACAAGCACUUAUUAACGCAGCUUCGCGAGUGGAAUCCGUUUGUCCACUUUCAUCCUAUAUCAAUGGAAUUUCUAAGGCUAUUUCGGGAGCUGCACCAGCCAUUACUUGUUUUGUUCUGGCGCUGUUCAACAGUUGGGCGAGUAAGGCCAGUCAAUCCUGAAUUUAUGAAUCUCACUGACUUAAUGAAGUAAACAAACAGAGCAUUGCUUCCAAACUACUCCUAACAUGAAGGGGCUAACUCACUUAAGAAAAGGGCUUGUUCACGAAUAGCUUGUUCUCGAACGGGGCACUUUAUAGGUAGGGGGGAAGUCUGGAAUAUAAGACCCCCAGCCAGAUCUGCCUUAUCGAACAUCUAAUACUUACGCCAAAUAUUCUAUUGCAUGUGAGGGCUUGUUUUCAAUUGAAUAAGAAUCUCCUUUUGAGGAAGAGAAGGAGGGCUGGUAUUUCAUUAUCAGAGGACUAGUCGUUAGAGCUAGUAAUGAAGAUGGCAUGAAGAUCGGCAUAUUACUAUUACUCUUAUAGACGAGAGCAUCUAGAGCAAUGGAUCGAGUAACUCCGCUCCGGAUCAACUGCCUAACGCGCAUAAACGAAGCUCGCCCCCUGUACUGUAUGUAUUUCUGUUAGUCACUCCCUCCCGCUAAAGCUAAAGCAGAAGAUGCGGCUUAGCCAGCAGCACUCUUUGAUCGAACCUUCUGUUGUAAGAAGAAGGCCUUUGCCUGGUCAAGAGAAAGAAGCUAUAAGUGACUUAGAGGCCUCAGGUAAUAAUAGAGUCCAGUCCGUAGGAAGGUAAUGCAGCUAAGCCGAGACUAGCUUGCUUCUGAGGCAUUGCAUACUUUUCAAACCAUUAUUAUAUGCUAUUAUAUGACGAUAUGAUCUUUUCUCUUGUUCAGAAGUGACGUUUGCUGCUAUCUACGACAAGAGUUAAGGAAUUGAUAGGGAAUCCGGUCUUAGUUUGAAAGAAGAAAGAACAGCAGCUCCAUUUUAGAUUCAAUCUGGCAAUAACUCUAGGUUCUUCACCAGUUUGGAUUGAGCUUUCACUCUUUCAAGGUAGAGCGAGAGAGAAGGAUGACUUCGACGAGCGAGAGAGAAGGAUGACUUCGACCGGGCCUGCCACUCACUCCACCGGAACCAGUAUGCUUCAUAAUACUGACCCAAUCUCGAUUUGGAAGUCGAGACAUCACAACUCCUGUGGCCUGCGAACUCUCUUGCAAUCCUACUUUUACUCUACGGCUGAUAUGGUAGGGUAGAAAUGGUUUGACAUCAAAGUCUGGAUGUAGUUUGGUGAAACCCGGCAGAUGAAGAAGCCCUAACGAAAGCAGGGAUCAUCUUUGAGAAGUAAGCUAUCUCUUGCCCUCUUUACCGAUUUGCAUCCUUACCUUACGAAAAAUGGAUGACUUAUAUGGAGCGAUGGAAGAGUAGAGGACCUCCUUGAGAUGGGGAGAUGCUUUUACCAAUGAAAGGAAUUAGCUCCUGGAAGGCCAUAGCAAGAGAGAUAGCGUUGGUUUCCGACUUAGUGAGAGAAGUAGGUAGUAUCAAGCAACAGGCAACCGAGGGUUGUUGAAGAACCCGAGUGUAUCAAUGGAAUGAUUGAGCGUUACGGGUACUCGGGAGUUAAGGACAGGCUUGACUAAAGUCCCCUCACUGGUAAAGAUAUUAGUAAGUGCCUUUCUACCAACCCUUUGGAAAAAGAAGCAAGCCCUCAUUCAAUUGAAAGACUUCCACCCUGAACAAAGAAAGACAUAAAGAGCAGAGCUCUCAGGACGCAAGGCUUUGUAGGUAAGGCGAUCCCCUCAAGUAUAACAGAGCACCUGCGAGCUACUGGACAGGAGCGAUCCAUAAGAAUAGCCUCGAAUAGCCCUAACCUCAUCUCGCCUUCCACCGCACCAGCAAGAGGAAACCGAAUGAGAGCAGACAGAAGACUAAUGCCAUCCGAGCAGAACCAGAAACUUGGACGCCGCCCAACAAGCACACCGGUUACUGAUGAAAGACCGUCUUAAAAGACUAGGAGCUGAUUCUAACAAAGAGAAAGACAAAAGUAGCUUGGCCCCCUUUUAGAUUCUUCACCGACGAAACUGUCAACCGAACUCAAACUUUCCUUUAGCGUAGUGCAAUCCAUUCCUCAUAUUAAUUGGACUCUCUAACAGAGCAUCUAAAUAGAAGUUCUUCUUAUUACCAGAGUAUCUAUAUCCACAACAUCCUUAUCUUAUAUUAUUGCUGACAUUGCUUACUGCUGGAACAACACUUUCUGAAUCGCUCGUUGCCAACACACAGAUGAAACUCUCCUUGAUGGCCCGAUAAGUCCCCGAUACUGAAGCAUCAAAAAGAAAGGUGCUGAAAGCCUUCUUAGAUUUGGAGAAGUGCCGAUUUUCAAGAACGUGAAUCUUAUGAUAUGUAUGGGGAAUCUCUUAUGAUAAUCAUCCACGCCUUCCACUUAUUUUGAUGCCGGAAAGUUGGAUAGGUUGGCCCCUACGUAAGGACUACUAUAUUACUCCCCCUAUUUCUCUAUGAAAUACAAGAUUGGAUUGGAUUUGUACAGUGUGUAGGAGGUACAUUCUUUCUAUUGCUAUCCUUUCACUCCUCUCGACUCUACUUGAGAAGUGUUUUUCACUUAUAUGUUCUGUAUGAAUUAUAGAUAUCUUACAUAAGAGACGGAUUCUUCUUUUUGACUAAAGCACAGUAAGAAGAAACAUGAAAGAAAAAGAGAGAGACGGGAGCAUAAUAGAACUUUGUUCUUGCUUGACCAUUACCUUCCAUACAUAUAUUUUGACCAAUAAAUAGGAGGAGGUGUAUAUAGUUAGACAGAUAGAUGAGUAAAUACGUAUGAAUACUCAAAAUACUAUUAACGCCCGGCCUGAUCCAUCUCGAUUCAUUUGUAUGAUCAUAUCUAUCCGAUACAUUAUUUACGUAUCAGGAACAUGAUUGGGACUGGUAACACGAGAUGAGAGAAGUAUUUUCCUCCGAUCUACCAACUGAGCCGACCAUUUACCGUGCAUAAUCCUAGUAUAGUACUCUAAUCUAUGUCAAUUAAUGGGACUAAACAAACAAAGUAGUAAAAGGGACUAAACAAACAAAGUAGUAAUAAAUGACACUAGUAAGUGUAAGGAUAAUGAUAUGGACUGUGAAUGAUUCAAUAAUAGAGAUUCUUUGCCCAUAUAUGUUCAUUUGUACAGGUUCUAUCCAAAUUGGGAUAAGAUCAUGAUUGAAGUUCGGAUCCUUUUGUGAAAGAGUAGAGUGAAUGAGAAAGAUAGUGCAGUUUGAACUAAACCACUGAUGCAAAAUAUGGAGUAUAAUAACUUUGGAAGUCAGCUUUAUUGGGAAUAGAGUAGGCUUUAUUGGGAAUAGAGUGACUUGAAACCCUAACAUUUUGAAAGUCGAUGACAGACUAACUGCUGGAAGGAAAGGGUAGUUUCAUUUAGAUUCACUAUUUAUUUGAUAAGAGAAUGGCUUCCAAUUCGGAACUGAAACUGGAGUUCUUGUGCGAGUGUUGUCAAGCGACGACUCCUCUUUUCUUGGUUGCCAUAACAAUAGAGUAUUUUCAAACAAGGGAAGAAAUAGAAUCAGCAGCACCGAGAUCAGAUGCAGUUUCCAGGGGUAAAGUUCCUGCUCUCCGUCUCUGCUUGAGUUUCCGAACACAGGACUUGUUUCUAACUAGAGAAGAAAGGAACGAAAACAGGCGAACGAACAAAGAAGGCUUUCCCCUAGGUCGUUAUGUCUAUUCUAUGGAACGGAGCUACUCGUAGGAAAGAAAGACGUAGAGAGCCUAUGAGUAUAUGAAUGGAUUAGGAGGAUUGGGAUAUCUAAGAAAUGCGGAAAUCAAUCCUGAAGAGUCAAUAUCUGUUUCACGCAAACACCGAACUCCGACUCUUUAGAAGAAUUGUUGAGGCAUGCCAUAUACCAGCUGCAUUGCAUUAUGGACCGGCAUCCAGUCCAGUACCUGACCUUAAUCAUCUACAUAAGAGCAUAUCGGCGCCUAAACCCUAAACUAUACCAAUCGGACCCAACAUCCAUCAUAUUCGAUCCCUGCACCAAACAAACCAUAUCUUAUUGACUUUGCAAUCGUCCCCAACACAUUUCUACUUAUAUCUACCACCUAUCUAUCUAUAUAUCUAAUAGAGAAACAGGUACUACCUACCUAUAUAUCUAAUAGAGAAACAGGUCUCAACCUUCUUGUUUACUCGAUCGACUAACUGGUCUCAUCUCAACCUUCUUGUUUACUCGAUCGACCUAUAGCCAUAGGCACCUUAAAUGGAAAAUGGCAUUAUGGGACCUUAACAUAGAAAAUAGCAUUAUUUACCCAAACCCUAUACUAUCAAAAGGGGGAGGCACCCCAAGAGACUUGCUUAUUCCAUUCCAUUCCCUUACCUGCCAAGUCUGAUUGUCAAGAGUCGUACGAGUGUCUGAGGGCAAGGAAUAGUAUUCAAAAAGGAAAAGAAUGUACCCAUUGGCAUGAUAACCAAUCGCAUACCCAGAAGUCUGAUGAUGCCCGGACCCUUGCAAGAGAGAUUGAUGCGAAUGAGAUUGAAAACCUGAUUGGGCGAUAUCCUCUAAGAAAGAAUCAUUGCGACUCAUUUAUAGUGUUGUUUACAAAGAAGAUUGAAACUAUAAGAGAUACAACGGGAAGCAGCUAAAACCUUAAGGAUCCUGAUAGUUGUAAUAUUAAAGCAGUAUAGUUGUGUGUAUAAAGCUGNNNNNNNNNNNNNNNNNNNNNNNNNNNNNNNNNNNNNNNNNNNNNNNNNNNNNNNNNNNNNNNNNNNNNNNNNNNNNNNNNNNNNNNNNNNNNNNNNNNNNNNNNNNNNNNNNNNNNNNNNNNNNNNNNNNNNNNNNNNNNNNNNNNNNNNNNNNNNNNNNNNNNNNNNNNNNNNNNNNNNNNNNNNNNNNNNNNNNNNNNNNNNNNNNNNNNNNNNNNNNNNNNNNNNNNNNNNNNNNNNNNNNNNNNNNNNNNNNNNNNNNNCGAGAAAGAGAUAUCCAUAAUGGAAGCCCCAGAUAACAUAUGUGAAGACCCAGAGUGCAUCAAACAAAGAAAGGAAUAGGCGAACUUGGUUUGCGGCUUGCUUGGCAAAAAUAUAUAUAGUAGAGGGGUGAAGGAGCUCGGCGGGAAUAAGCUUAGUGCCGGUAGUGCAAUACUACUUUCAAUUACAGAAUCUGAUGAUGAAGAAUAAAAGACUCUAAAAGAAACUGACUCAUAUAGAAUGCAUGUAAGCAAACUGCUUCCUAAAAGCGACUUACUUAUAUAGAAAUGAGGUAACCAAAGAGCUUAUUAAAAGCAAUGCUGUGUUGGCGCAAUAUUGCAUAUGUUAUUUAGAAAAGCAUAGAGAACUGUGAGUUACUGUAGUGAGGUUACAGUUACUAUUGCGCAAGUAUAGUGCUUUUGGUGCCUCGUGCCUCUGUCCUUAGAUUCUAUGGUGAGGGCAGCCUCAAUUCGUUCUUCUUGUUCUUUCGCUCUCUUAUGAAUUAUAUACUAGUGGUUCUUAAUACUCCUAUCAACAAGCAAGGUAAGCGCGUGAGCUUAUUGUUGUUUAGAGUUAGGUUUACUCAGUUCCAUAAGAAGUAGCACUCAAUUAGAUUCUUAUUCCAGUGUUGGGUUGGUGACUUCUUUCUAUACUGUGACAGUGCUAGCUAAAUUCAAAGCAAUGGAACAAGCAAACAAGCAUCGUUCCUAAGUGCUAACGCUUAUCUCUGGGGGUCGGGAUAGCUUCACACUGGCCCAACUGUCCCUAUAGCUAGGUUAAUGCUUGACUUUGUAGCCUGUUUUUCGACCCCUAGAAACCCCUAACGAUAGAAGACUGGAAUUCACAUUACUUGUUCAACCCACUAACGGCACUUUGGGCGAGAUCCACUAGACAAGACAGCGCUACCAACCCAACCUGACUUGAUACUUAAGCGAGCAGAGCUUCUGGAUACGAGAUUAUUACUACAGCAAACUUUCCACUCCACUACUUUGAGCUACACCCUCACAGAAUAAGUAAUAAGUGACACCUCAUAAGUAAUAAGUGCAAGAUUCCAUGAGUAUAUUGAAACUACUUCUCUUAUUUGACUUGAAUCACUCACUUUCCCCUCAUCUCCUUGCUUUCUCUCAAGAAUAGAAUCCGAACCCCCGAUUCGAUUGCUUGUUUGAGUUCUACCACAAUAGCUGCUUUCAAGGAAUGCAAUCCUUAGAUGGUAUGGCAUAGCGAAAAGUUUACACCUUCAUUAUUCUAGGUAAGAAAAUCCCCUUUAGCCUACUCUACUUUUACAUAGCAAACUAGUUGGUGUACUCCCCCUCGACGCGCUGACCCGAUGUAAGUCAAUCCUUUUGUCUCACAGAUCCAUCUUCUUUCUUUCUUAGAGCAUUAUUGAAACCAUUUGAACCUAGUCGCGUGGAAGGAGCCAGAUUACAGAUACUUUCUAUUCUCUCGACGUCUUGACCCAUACAUAGUCUGCUAAUCGAUCAACGUCUUUGAUCCUUACAAGCUUGGAUAGGACAAUAUCUCUCUGUUGUUUGUUACAUAACACUGAAUUUGUUCGUUCUUAUUACUAUGAUUCUUUCUAUUCUUAUUUCUUACUCAUUUUGCUUUAUUAUUUAUGCUGGUUUAACCUCUUCUUAUUAAUUUGUAUAUGAAUACUAGAUGAAUACUAGAUGAAUACACUGUGCCCCCGACUCUGAAAUAAGCCCUCGAGGCAAGGCGCAAAGGAAGAGAUGCUCUUCUUUGGUCUUGAACUAGCUCUCCCCGCUCGAGAGUUCAUGUUGGCGAUUCACUUAAUGAAUAGGUCCUUUGACGAUUCCCUAGCAGUGCCUGUUUGGUACCGAGCUCUUUUACGUCUUUAUUCCUUCACGCGCUAAAAUCCAAUGGGCACGAUCUGCUAAAAAGCCUUGUUUAGUUGGGUCUACAGUUUCAGUGGGUACUCACCUGCAACAUAAGUUGGGCAAAACAAACCUAGGUUCAUUCCACUUUCCACUGGACGAAGGAAAGAAAGAGAUAGAAUACAACGGGUUUUCAGACGUAUAGAGAAUUACACGAGAAUCUAGCCUUGGUCCUCUCUUUCUUUGAUAGGGCACAUAAACCAAUAUCUAAUGUGAAAAGGUUAUUGCUUAUCCCGGAAUAAAUGACAUUGAGACAGAUCCAAGUUACUGCUCAAAAGAAAAAGCGGUAGUAGCCGGGCACCGGUAGCCCCAGCCCGUAUAUAACAGUAUCAGAAAGCUAGCACUCUUUGAUUGCGGGGAAUUUCCUCGAGUCGGGUUCGAUGCCACAAUUAUCAGAUGUGUUCAAUAGUGGUUUUUCAAUUCUUAUAAUUCACUUAGAUAGUGCUUUUGACAUUAUUCUAAUUCACUCUUUCAAAGGUAAUGAAAAGGUGUGUUUCGAAAUUCUUAUAAUUCCAUCUUUCAAAGGUAAUGAAAAGGUGUGUUUCGAAAUUCUUAUAAUUCCAUCUUUCAAAGGUAAGGUAAGAAAAUCCAAUGGUUUUGAUUCAGUAUAUUGAAAUGUUACCCACGCCCGGUUAUCCACUUUCAUUAAAACCAACAUGCCAAGCUUCCUUCUUCGCUCAAGUCUCAGUGCCAAAGUAAGGAAAAGCAAAGACGCCAAGGCUCAAGACCAAAUAAGCCCUACUUUUUCCUAACCUUCGGAGAGAAAGAAAGUAUUCGUUAUCACGCCUUUUCGUAGUAAGCCAAGAGUGAGUAAGUGCUUCAGCAGACUUGUCUUGGAAAGUACCAGGAACAAGUGCUUUAUAGAGUCAAUAAGGAUGUUCUAUAAUUCUUUCGCAAUGAAGCAGCGCCUCUUCAUUGUCUCUCGUUACAGGGUUGGAUGCAUAUUUGACUCUAUGGUUAGGUUCCUUGGUCUAGCCCGCAGAUCGCUUGUCGGGCGCUUUCGGGGGCUACAUCUUCACUUGCGAUCUUCCUUUUUCUCUUUUCCAAGUUCAAAAGAACAAGUAUCUUGUGUUAUAGCCAACGAUUUACCCCCUAUAGAGAGGUUAUACUUCCUAUUUCUCUAUUAGGCUGCUACUCUUAAAUGCAUGUCAAGGAAUGAAACUGUAUGAUAUACGAUCGCAGAGCUCCUUGAGUCGACUAUAAGACUGUAGCAGAGCCUCCUUGAGUCAACUAUAAGACUGUAGCAGAGCCUCCUUGAGUCAACUGUCCGUUUGAUAUACGAUCGCGGAGCUCCUUUAGUCUUAGCUGCCUCUUUUACUGCGAUUUGAAUACUUACUAAUUAGAACAUAGCUUUUGCAUGAAGUAGCUCUCACUCGAUGAAACAUAAAGGGCAGCGGAACAGUGAAAGAACUAUAGGGUUCUAUGGCUUUCUAUCCUGGAUCCGGGGAGCGACUCCCAUAUGUAUGUUCCUUUCGACCUUAAAGCCGAUUGGGACAUGGCUCCUUGCUCGCAUUUCUUUUCUAGUCGGGGUCUUUGUUCGACCUGCACGCCCGCUUUCCUAAAUAGCAUGAAAGGUUCUUCAAUGGUUUGGUCAAGAGGGGGAAUUUCCCAAGGAGAAAGGGUCCUUAUCUCAGGAGACUGAUCGGCGGAGUAAUUUGAUCAUCUCUGUACCGACUUCUACAUCACAAUGACUUUCUAAAGCUUAUGCCCUCUAUUUUCUUGAUUCUUUUCUUUCUUAAACAGCCUUAUAUUCUUUUUCUAGAAGUAAAGCGGACUAGCCAAAGCUUCUGGAAUCACCAACUCUAGCUCGUCCUUUUGGUCCUUUUCUGAUCCUAAACAAGAACGGGCCUACUUUGAGCUCAGCUCCAGGCACCGAUGCCGAUACAAGACACAACCGCUGCAGUUCGACUAAGAGCAUGGUUCCUCCUCCUAACUAAAUAGAUUGGAAGUUAUUAGCUUCAUAUCCCGGUGUUACAAACUUCUUAUUAAUGUCUUUCACGCUCUAAUGGAAGUUUUGUUAGUUUGAGCCAUUGUUGCGAAUGAGAUAGCUUGAACCUAUGUCUCCUAGAUAAUUUACAAUUCUGAAGCUCGUGGAUCCCUCUUUCGUUAUUCCCCCUUGGAUUCUUAGAUUUCUCGUAUACCUUUUUCUCCCUCUGAAAUCUGCACAAUUUCCGCCUUUUGCAUUUCUGGAUGAGAAUCCCACAUCUUUGAAACUAGCCCCACCGUCCCAUCCCCUUGAAUCGGGCGUAAAAGAUUCUAUUGAUGGUGGAAUCGUUCACUCCUCGGUAGAGCCAAGCCUGAGAAAAUCGAAUUAAUAAAGAAGGCGUUAGAAAGGAAGGACGAGGACUCUUGCUUGUCCUGCCAUGCCAUUCAUUCCUACAUAGGGCCUUUGCUUUCAUUGAUUCCUUCUCCCAUCUAUGCGACCACUUCCUUCUCCCAUCUAUGCGACCACAAGUAUCAAUCCAUCUCCAAUUCACGGGAUACCUAUGAGCCGUAGAGCCUACUACCCCAACGCCUUUGCACUUGGAUUUGUAGCUCCGCACUGCAUUUAUCUAUGCAAUGCCACUUUCGCAUUACCUUUUUCCUACUGCUACUCUUCUUAUACCGGCGAAGUUCUUUUGAGCCCCUGGCGAUCGAUUCUAUGAUAUUCCCCCACUUAUGAACGACGCAAAACCAAACCCUUUUUGAUGCCGUAGCUGCAGCUGCCUGCCACCUGCCGAUACUCUUUUCUUGUGACUCGCCUGCCCUCUAUCUCUUUUCCAUGAAUGAAUGACAUUGGGACAGAUCCCUCAAAAGAAAGCUGUAAGGUUGGUUUAAGGAAUAGAACAUCAAAUUGCGGCGUUAAGUACAAUAGUAAGCUCAGCACUGAUACUUACUUACUUAUUAGUGUUAGUAGAGAGCCUUUCAUUAAAGUAUAAGGAGACACAAAGAGAGGUCUUUCAAGGCGGUAUAAUCAUUUUGAUAGGUCUUCAUCAAGUCGGUAGAAUCAUUUGAAUCGUUGUAAGGGAAUGCCUUAGUCAAUCAACUCACUGCCAUUGACCAGGGGAGGGGGUGGGUGGCGAACAAGACUUGCUCGGCAACAGCUGAAAUAGAGGAAUAAGCACAUAGGUCUUGAAGAAGCGGGUCUAUCGAUGAUAGCUUUUUCCAUGUAACGUUGACUUUACCCAGGAUGCGCUUAUCGCAGAACGCCCUAUUGCAGAGCCCAUUAACUUACUCAAAAGAUCAGUAUAGGAAGUUGUUUAGGAAUAUGUCAAAAGGGACGUAUAGGAAGCAGUUUAGUAAUAUAGGAAGCAGUUUAGUAAUAUUCAAUUGUCAAGACCGCUGAGCCCUCCACUGUUAAAGAAAUUCGAUUAGUGCAGUAGGUAACCCAGCCCCUAAGGGUAGUACGGGCCGGCCUUAUACCAAGCAUUUCACUUCACCUAUGCCUAAACAAUGCAAGUAAUCGAAAACAAUGCAAGUAAUCGAAGCGUACCAUGAAAAGCAGAUCGAGAUAGACGAUUCAUAUAAUUGCUUGAGUCACUGAUUCUCAUUGCUUGAGUCACUGAUUCUCUCAGUUUGAACUAAUUACUCAUCUCAAAAGUAAUGUAGAGUUACUCAUCCAAAAAGUAAUGUAGAGAUAUCAUAGGGUAAAAGCUGCACUGCCUUGCGGCCCGCUUUUCAACAAGAAAAAGAACAUUCGACUGAGCUAUCGAGUAAGUAAAGUCGCAGCCUUUAGAGCUGGGUGCCGGGGCUAAGAUGAACCUCCACUCAACCCUCAACCUAGACAUAUAAUUCCUAACUCUUUAGUGGAUGAUUUGAUUGGAAUUACUAGCUCCUUAAUGGAUUUCAUUGAUUCUUUUUUAAGAGCUACCGACCCCAAGAAAAGAGUAUGUUACAUUUCCAACUGGCGGUCUACGUGAUUGAAGAAAGAGCCAUUAGCCCUUGCCUUCAACCAAAGCGGAUUUUUCGAAUAAAGGAAACACAAUGAUAUAAGCCUGCCCUGCAUAAAUCGUCCUGGCACCAUAAACGUCCUUAGCGCUCGCCCUAACUCCAGCCCGUCUUCCAUUCCCCUCCUUUUUUCAGCCUCGCUUAUGUUUCGCUUCAUUGUAAUAAUGAGAAGUCCAUUGUUGGCUCCUGCGCCAUAGCACCACACGCAUAGACGCAUAAGGCCUUUUUUCAUUAUAGAUUCAAGCUGACAACGCUUUCUCUUACUUAGGGAAGCAGAAGCUGCGGGUCGUCGUGUUCGUAAACGCAUCCAAAAUGGUGAAAGUUUCAUCCGAGGCAGAAGCUAACGAAAGACAGCGAGCGAAACGAGGGCGGGUGAAGGAACCGGGGAGAGUCAAUGAAUCCUACCUAUAACUUAAGAGCGGCAAAGAACACUUUGAUUCUAUAUGCCAUUAGUUGAAGCUGUCGUAUACAGUAAAAAGAGAAAAACCUUGCGCCAGCCUUAAGUAUGUAAUUAUGUAAUGCUAAUGAUUCGUAUACUAGGCGUGGUCUGAGUAUAUUCUAUCGACGGAAAGCGUCUAUCGCAGUGCAAAUCAUGUGAGUACCUUACCACCAACCAGAAAAAGUUCCUGCUCGUAAGGCUGGAUUCAAGCCAUGAUUCCAAAUCCGGGGUAGUGGGUCUCCGCCCGUGUGGAGUGUUUGGGAUAGCUGGGUCUAUAUAUGGGUAGAUAUACUAAGAUCUAUAAAGAACAAAUGGGAAAUGAAAACCGACGAAAUACGAUUACGGGCUAAGGAUAGGACCAGUCCGCUGGUCGAUAGGCCAAUAGGAACAAAAUAGGUAUGGCGCCCUAUCUUUCAAGCUUUCAAGGAAGUCGUCUUAUCAAGUUACCCAAUAGAAGGAAGGCUGAAAAACCGGAUCUAUGACUUCACCCUCCCUUGAAGCGCUUCUGGGCUGUUCACUGGAAGCUAGACCUAACAACUAGACGACCACCUGAUCGUAGACCAUCCACCAAAGCCUUUGUUUUUGAUUCUAUUUCUUAUGCAGGGCGUGCUAGCGGGAAGUCCGGUUAUGAACACCCUCCAUCAACCAUCGUAUCCAUUUUCUAUUAGGUGGGUCGGGUCAUAUUAGAUUAUAGUAAGUACAUUUAUUUGCUCCUUGUUAAAACUCAUAAUCGAAUCUCCUUCUUCUAGGCAACCAGGCUUACUCGUAAGAAAGGUAGAGAAUAGAGUGGACUGGGCUUGUUAAAAGAAGUAUGAGUUUACAGUGAAAUCAGUAGUAGUUGCCCUUACAUUAAGUCGGCCUAGCCAGUAGUAUACGAGAGGGGAGCAUUAGAUAGUAGCAAGAGGGAGUUCAGUCUGCUACUGACACUCAACAGGGAGCUGGCUUUCAGCACCUCACUUUUUCACUGUAACUGGGCAUUCAUUCCACUUUAACUUGACCCGGACUAAGGGUUCAGGAAGGAUCUUAUUAGCAGAAUUCAAUGAAUUUCACCCUGCUUGCGUCAUCUGAAAGAAAAGAAGGGGUAUGGGUCUUUGAGGCUGAGGGCUGUCCAAUUAUAGAGUUUACUCAUAUUGGAAUUAGAGAGUUUACUCAUAUUGGGAAGCUAGGAAUAUAGGAAUAAGAUAUAGUAAUAAGGGAAGCUAGGAAUAUAGGAAUAAGGGAAGCUAUGAAAGGCAACUACUAGACUCGCUAACCACUUCUAUUUCCUCUCCUGGUAGUACUGUUAGAGUUAGAGUUUCAGACCAGUUAGUAGAUACCUUAUUCUUAUUCUAGGUAUUGUUGACAGAGCAAGAGGUGAAGUAGUCGUCAGCAGCAAACGAUAAGGGAGUUGUUGCCGGGUAGCAAGUAUACGAGUAGUUGGCUCUUUGAACACAAGUCCUGAAUUCACCUAUAUUAGAGAUGAGUGAAACUAGUAUAUGUACCUUCUUUGGCGCAAGUAGUAGAGUAGUUGGCUCUUUCCAAUUAAUUGAACCCUGCUGGCUCUGCUGGGCGAGUGGAAUCUUUUAUCCUUUCUAAAGAUAGAAGAAAUAAAGAAAGAAAUCCAGUGGUCAUGUUUUUCACUGUGAAACCAACCCUGGAGUAGUUGCUAAUGACAAAUUCUCCGAAGUAACAAUAUUAGAAACCAUUGCUUGUCUCCGGGUCUAAAGUCUCAGUAACACCUGAUUUAGAGUAUUAGGCUUUCCCCCCUGAACCAUCUUUUGAGUCCUUUCCUGGAGACUUAACUGCUGAUUCAGAACAAACACCUUACUGACGCAACUAAGUACUAAACUUCUUGGCCCUAUCCACUUUCCGGAUCCCAGUAUCUGUCUGAUAUUGUCGCCCUUUCUUUUCCACUGUUGAUUCUCUCGGCACCAACACACGAACCCGGCUCCUGCUGCCCUGGCUUUCUUUCUCACUUUCCAGAUAGCUCACCCCUUAUUCAGUGCUUUAAGGCAACAAGCAACUACUCAUGUUGCGCGUUAGCGAGUUAAGGGCUCACUACUUGGAGUCUGAGUCUACCUGGUGUCAUUCUGGUUAGCAGUGAUGGAAUUCUUAAAGUAAGUAUCAGCUCCCCGCUGGCGACUUUCAUUCUUUCACUCCUUAGUUUGAUUCUGAUCUAUUCUGAUCUAGUACCCAAUAGCCAGGGAAUCAGUGGUAUAGUUAACAGACUUCAGGGAAUCAGUGGGAGUGAUUUCAGCCUGUGACUACUUAGUUUGAUCCGUUCACCUAUAUAAAGAGAAUAUAGAAUUUAGUAAGGGCCAAGGCCAAGGCCAAGCAACGGCGCGCCAAGACACUACUAACGUGUCGCGGCAGCGAGUUGAAAGCUGCGCGGCAGCAGCAGCAUAGAUAUGUUAUAACCAAUUAUGACCAAGUCAUGUGUUCGCGUUACGCGGCAGGCGUUCUCCCCACAAUUCUCUCUUUUCUUCUAUGCUUAACACAAGCACCUGAACCGACCUAUAAUAAGUGUUCACCCCGACCCGACCUAUCUUUCCAUUGGCACAACUAAUGCUAUCAGCCAAGUCGCGUAUACAAAUAGAGAGAGGAGCCUCAUCUACUUAUUGCUCCUAUCUUAUUACUUCUAUGCUAUCUCUUAUGAAACAGGACUAGACUACUACUCCACUGGCAAAACAGGACCCCUACGCAGCUAGGCACAAGUUGAUCUAAAGUAAACAAAUCAUUCAUCUACUUCUCCUCUGGCAACUGACACUCGGUCUUCAACUAGCACCGAACCUAUCUCUACCCUUAACAUUAUUGUUUCUAGUUCCAACCAAGGCUAUGGAGGUUUCAACUUCCACUCGGUAUUCCACACUUCGAUUUUCAGAACUGUCAACACCUUACUUUAGAACUGAGCUUGAUUGUUCCCCUGUUGUUACUGUUGCUGAUGGGGAUCUGUCUUCUGUAGUUUGAUUUGAUGGGAAAUCCUUCAUUGGAAACUCAGAAACUUGCCAACGAAGUCAUUUCUGCCUACCAUCUUUAUGGUUCCUUCCCUGAACUAAUUGAACUAGUUGACUUCCCACUACUCUGGUAUUGUAUAAGAAUAGUGGCCCAGCGACUACUAGAUGCGGCAGAUGGGUCAUAUAACUACUGAGUGCAAUUCACCAAGCAACUACAACAAGGCCCGAGCUACUGCUUUUCUUUCCAUGACUACUUAUACGGAUGCUUAGAUUUAGUCUCUCGCUCUUGUCUGUGAGUCUUCCUUGCCUUGCCUAGAUCCCAAGCUAACUCUUAUGGUCUUAUAGCUCUGCCGGGUAUCCUGACUUUAUUAUCUCAUUCCCUGCGGUGUUUCUCCAAUUCCCAUGCACGCUCUAGCUUAAGACCCGGCAGUGACCAUUCCUAUAGGAGUCAUUUCAUUCUUUUACUAAUGAGUCAACUUCUGCAUUCUCAGUGCAAUUCCUUAUUCUUAGUUAUUCCUCUGAUAAGUAAUAGUUGUUUUGUCUUGCUAGGUGCCUAGCCUAGGGUAUAUGAGUGAGUAGAACAGAAUCAGUAUUAGUCCUUAGUUCAAUUCGUAUAAGUAGUAAGUGGGAUUCUUUAACAAACAAGUAAGGAUCAAAGAUGGGAAUAGCAGACCCAAACCUAACUCUCUAAAGGCGGAUUGGGAGUCGAACUACAAAGUUCUUUUUAUCGGACUCAACUCACACUCAAGGCAAUAAGGUUUUAGGCUGCUUAGUUCAUUUAUUCAAUGAAUGUCCUUUAUUCGUACUAUACUAUUUGUCUUAGAGCUUGUAUCCAAGGACAGGGAUCCUUACUUAACUAGAGACUAAUGGCCCAAUGAGAGCCCAGGUCACAGAAUUUCGUUUCUGAACAGAGGAACCUAGUGUUCGAUCGGUUACUACUCUACUACUACUCUCUUCGGGCUUACUACUCAAUAGUUGUAGGCUUACUUCUAACAUGGACUAAUAACUUAUAACUCAUAACUAGUAACAGACUGAAACAACUAUACCCUAGCCUCGCCUAACAAGUAAGUAAGUCAACCUGCCUAGUACAAGUAAGUAAACAAAGAACUUACUAUAAGGGCCUCUCAACUGGACCACUACUUGUCAACUUCAGACUCCCUCGGGAGCUCAACUAAGUAAGUAUAUAGUAGAAAAGGCGCACACAGGACAGAUAUAGUAGUUCCGCUAUUGCUCUUGAAACUAAAGUACUGCUUCCAAACCUGCUCUUCAAACAACUUCUUUAGCGGCAGUCCGGGUUGGGAGUAGCAACACCUACUUCUAUUGAACUAAAUGAAACAAGUGAGUUACAGCCUGUGUUGUGUUCGUAUGCCUCUGCCUCUGCUGCCUAUGCCUUUAGUUAGUAAUUUGUAUGGGGUUCGUCUGCCUCGCCUCUCAAUCUUAUCUAUCUUAUCUUGUUAAAACAAGGGAAAGGGUAAACGAGGUCAUUCAUAUGAGUCCCCUUCAGUUCGAGGUCUGUUAUGAAAGUCUAGUUAUUGCCCCUUUAAGUAGUGCUUCUUCACAAACUACCCGAGCCGCCAAGACACGGAUAGACAAGUUACUACUCAUAGCUUCCCUUUCAGACUACACUAGGGAUAGGGAAGAAACAGAAUCAGGCCAGGGCAGCUAGGGCCAAGUCACUCAGAUAUUAAUUCUCCGAUGUCAACAAAUACUUCCUCUCCUCAGCUACAAGGCCUUAGCAACCUAUCACUUAUUACAAAUAUUCUGCAUUACAAGUUAUUGGAAGGUUAUGACCAAUCCUAGGAAAGAAAUAAGUCACAAUUAUUCAAAAUAAGGGAGCUGACUGAUGGAGAGUCAAAUUGAUAUGAAUGAGUUGCUUUGAUGUUGACUACCAGAAAUUAGUAAAAUAGUUGCCCGAGGUAUUAUAGAAGAUAGUAGCCAAGAUAGUUGCCAGAGGUAGAGGUGUUGCGGGAAGGGGAGGCGUGUAAUAGAAAAAGUCACUAACCCCACAACCCAGUAGGGCUCUUUCUCGAUAGUAGGAAAACCCCGUAGGGCUCUUUCUCGAUAGUAGGAAUUUGCCUCUACAGUAGGAAAGUAACUUCACAGUGUGUUUAAAGCAAUAAAGUUCUAAUUUCACUUUCCGGUAAGAAACAUAAGAUUUAGCUAGGUCUGAUAGCUCAGCAGAUAUAUAACUGAUAGCUCAGCAGAUAUAUAAGUAUUCCGUCGACUAUUAGACUCUAUUCUAGUUCUCUCUCUCGCAUUACUUGAAACAAAGAAUUCCACUCCAAGGGAGGAAACGGAGCCAAGCUACUCAGAGACAAGACUCGGCAAUAAAUGUAUUAUUAAUGAAGUUAUGAGCAAGUCCUUUAUUCUAUUCUGGGCGGUAGGAGCCGAGUUCUGGCGGUAGUGAGUUCCAAGCGUCAGCUACGAAAUAACUUGUUUCAUCCGGUAUUAUCCUUAAGAAAGUUCUAUUGAUUUUCUUAUACAGGGUGUGUACAGUGUCAGUAUAGGAUCAAUUCCAGUCGUUUUUCUUUUGACUAUGGUGAUUCCAACAGUUUUAAGCCCACUCUACAACUCUCUUCUUUUCUUUAGUUCACUACCGGUCAACUCUCUUCUUUCUUAAAGGAAGGAAUGCUAGGUGGUUCGGCAAGAAAAAGCCCAGUGUUAUCUAGCUCUAUCAUACAAUACAUCGCUCUUUACCGCUCGAACAAGAACAGGGCAUUCUCAUUCUUCAGCUCGAACUAUACUAGCAAAACCGGGAAUCAUACUAACUAAUAUCAGAAUAAACCCACAGCCAAUAAGAGGAACGCGGCCUUUGAAUCACUGAUCGCCGGGGUUGCAACAAGCAAAUAGUACCUCCCUAAUAAGAAGGAUCCUGCUCUACUGCCUAACAGCCUUACUAUCUUCACUUUUCGCCUUACUUGAAAGCCUCUGAGCUUCUAUGCCUCUACUCCUUUCCUUAGUUGCAUCCUAUCUAUCCUAUCUAUCAGUCCGCCCCUUGACUCUUUAACCACUGAUUCGGAUCUUUAUUUGAGUGUUUCGAACCACAACAUCCCGGUUUGUUAGCCUGCAACUCAGCUCUCCUAUUCUUAUACCUUGGAGUUAGCUACUGAUCUAAGUCUCGCUUUUGCUAGUUUGUUUGUUAAUCUGCUUGUCGAGUUUCAUUCCUACUAAACAGCCAUAGUACAAGUCAUUCUCCACAGACCCAUAUGAUAGACAAAGACAUCCUCCGUAUCACCGACCCUACAAUGGAAAAACCCUUAUCUCGGUUACCCAAUUGCAUCCGUUAUUGCAGGAUGGAUUCUUUCAUUCCUUAUUCCGUUUCAGUGUCUCUAGUAUGAGAGUAUGGGGCGCACCUACUCGUUCUUGGGCUGCGGAGCUCGAUUCCUACUUCUUAAAACUCAUUCUUUAACAGCAGAGCUUAACUCUUACUUUGCAUCUCUUAAAACGGAAGCUGCUCUCUGCCAUUCUUACUUGCUAGUUUGUGAUUCCCUUGUGUACAUGCCGCUGUUCCUCAUACACCUAUAGCACAUGCGCUACUGCAUUUAAGGUAAGUAGCCUUAUGAUUCUUUAUCGAAAGGGAGAGGCAUAUCAGGACCUUAGUUCACCAAUAAUAAGAGGAAUUAUGUUAACUUCUAAUAAUGAUGUUUACUUGACACCGGCACUAACAAUGAGGAAUGCGCUACUACCCUAUUAGAUCGAGAAACACUACUGGAAGGGAUCUAUUGACAAACAGACUCGAACUACCGCUUUUAAGGCAGCCCUUCCCCCUAUUAGUCUGUAGAGCUCCUGCCCUUGAUUGUUUCCCUCUGGACACUGAUCCUUGAACUAAACCAGUGCUAACAGGGUUCUCACUGCUGUCUCUUAGCCUUGUUUUGAAACUAACUUCCCCCACGCACUCUGACUCUUUGCUUUGAUUCCAAUGCUCUUUGCUUUAAUGCUCGAACUACGGACCCGUAUUCCCUAUCUAAUGAUCCAGAUCUUUUAUCUUAUUAAUAAGUAAUUGGACUAAUAGUAGCAAGACGAUAACUCAAAACUAUGGCAGUGACUGCAGCUUAUAGGGCUGUUACUGCAUGGAAGUUGGUGGUCGUUAGUGAGCGGUAGCUCUAUUCUAGGGGAGUAGUUAAGUGAAGCCUGUUUGCCAUUACAUUAGUUCCAUCCUAAUAGUUAGUAACUCGAUUCUUGUUAUCGAAGAAAGCGGAAUGAAAAUAAGUGUAUUGAGAGUCAAAGAUGGGAAGAGCGGGCUAGUAGGAGGUAGUCACUACGGAAUGAAGUGCAAGAGGUUAGCGAUCAAUCUAGUAGUUAUUAGUUCCGUUCGGUAGCUCGUAGUUUAGUCGAUAGCUCGUAAUUGAGUUCUCAUAUUAUUAGUUAGUUAGGGCCUUGUUAUAUGCAAGUGAAGCCUGUAUUCAUUGUGGAAGAGCUUAGUUUCCCCGGUACCCCGACUGGGAAUGGGAAGCUUUUGAUUCUCACUUUGGAGUCGAAGUCCUAUCAGUGCAAUAUCUGUUCCCUUCUUAGAUACCUAUAAAUACGACAUUCUCCCAUUACUGGCACAGUUUCUUACUUGGUGGUUGACACCUUAACAAAACUAGUGCUCCCGAGACUUAACCUAUUGGCGAACAAUGGUUCCUUUCCUGCCUCCCGAGCCUGUCUUCUAUUCUUUACACGCUAGGUAUCAAACGGACAUUGUGCCCAAGGGCUUUAGGAUCCUCUGCCACAUGUAUCAGCCUACCGUUAUUAACUAGCAAACUUAUAUUACUGCCUUAGAGUCUUAUUACUCGCAACACAGGCUUAGGCGAGUGAGGCAAUCCAUAUUCUUGUAUUAGCUCUUAGGUGACUGUAGGACAUUCCGACUUCUUAGCCCAAUUCUCAGAAAUGAGUUUAUUUACUCAGGGGGCAUUAUUGGAAUCUGAUUUCUAUUACUUUUACUCUGAUUAGCAGUGGUGAAAUCCUUAUAUGAGUAAGUUCAAUCUAUGUGGGCAGUUACUGAUUCUUUCUAUUGGUCUUAUCGCUCUUGUAGCAGAGACCAGCAUCUUGUAGCGUAUGGUAUCUUGUAUUAUUGACUUGUAGUAUUAUUCUCGUUAGUUGAUUUCCUAGCUAUGAGGAACAGUAUUAGAGGUUGUAUUAUUUGUAGAAUGAGAUAGAGCAAAGUAAGAUCUAGGUUCAGUAAAGUGAGACUAACGGCCUAGGUAUAGAUAGUCGGGAAAGGCGGGACGGGGCUAGCUAGCUAACUAGUGGAAUGAAGAAUCAAAGGCAGUAGAUCCAGUUUUCAAGCAAGCAAACCCAAGGUCACAUACCUGUCGAAUCAAACUCAAAUGCAUAAUAAGUGGAAUAGUUUUCAUCUCCAAUAGGGGGGCAGGCAUUAAUAUUCAAAACUCUACAGCUGGGACAUCAUACACAGCUAGAUCCUAUUUGAGUUUAGGAGAUCGAAAGGGCAAAGAGAGCCAACCGGUCAUGGUCAUCAUGGAGAAAAAACCACUACUUUUUCGUUCAAUUGGCCUAUAACAAUCUUCUUAUCACUAAGGGCUCGAACCAUAAGAGACCACUCUGGGUUCAGUUAAAGUCUCUCUUUGGUCACAGCCUACUCGUUUUCGCAAGAUCCACAGGAGAAAGGGGGGUUUAGUUGAUUGGAUCUCGAUGACCUCUCCGAAAAAGGGCAGCUUAAGGAAGAGGCAAAAAGGAGGGCUUCUUCACAAGGCACCGGGACCUAAACUUUUCAAUUGAUGUGGCUGAGAUUAGCCUGAAACAACCUCCAGGUCCGCAAUCCUUUUUAUCUUAGGUUAGACUAAGGGAUGCUGAGGCUCAGGUAUCACAGGCCGUCAUCCAGAAAGUCAUUACUACCCUAAACCCCUUUUACCGUUCAAAAGAAACAGAGUGAGCAGAGAAGUGAUUGCUAAUCCACACAGAAAGGCUUGUUAUUACGAAUCAUGUGCCAAAUGCAAUCAGGCAUUCCAUGAGAAAGAACCAAUUCUCUGAGAAAAAGAACCUUGCUUGCCUUACUAGCUCUCUUGUUAUGAGCAUGUACCACAGGUGGAUUCAGUCCCUUCCUUAUAGCCUUGCAGUCCAAUCUUAUCUACAAUCCUUUUUCUUUAUUCUGGGCAUCAAUCCCAUGUGAGCAAAAAGGGCCAAGUCAUCACCAAAAAGGUAACGGAAACCCGACAAAUGAUAGUCAUGAGGGCCAAGCAACGGGCCAAGCUACUCAUACCGACAAGACUGACCCCGCUAAGUAGGAGUACAACUGCGACUUAUAGUACUGUUGCUACUGAUCCAGAUCCUUUACAAGUUUGGGCACUUUACCUAGUCAUACUUCUUUGGGCACUUUACCUAGUCAUACUUCUUUCUUUGGGCACCUUACCUAGUCAUAUUGGAAUUAAUGUUCUUAUUAUAUGUGAACAGAAUAAGGAAUUGAAGAGACAAGCUACGUAUAGACUCAAAACUCCGUAAUAGAAUCAUGGAUUCCACAAAAGGAAUAGAAGAAUUGGGGAAAAAGCGAACUAAGUAAGAUAAUAUGGGUUCAACCAAAGUAUGUUUCGGGGAACCUCGCAUCAAAGAAAGAAUGGAAUUGACAUGGAAUAAACUAUCUUAUAAGAGAAUAGAAUCGAAUUGGCACUGAGAAAACUAGCUUCUGUUCUUUUAAUGUAUUGAGACUAUCCAUGUUAUAUUGAUACAAGCGAGACCUAUGCUAUUUAGACUAAUAGUACUAGAAACAUAUACUACCAACCGACUCUAUCGGAAUCAAACUCAGAAGUAGGGAUCCUCUUACGCACCUUGUACUUGCCCCUUAUAUGAGAAAACGGAGACCCGCGCUACCUCACCCAUGUGCCUGCGCUACUUACACCUACUAAGCAAGGUACUCAUUCUUCAAGUAACAUCAUAUAUUCUGUGAGCGAUCAUUCAACCACUCAUUCUUCGGUCGACACAACGUUCAUUGGGACAGACAACGUUUAUGUGGUCCAUCACCCAUUAAUAGAGGUUACCUAGGUAAUGAAUUGGUCGGUUGAACCACCUUAGUCGACACCACAUUGAUUCUUCGGUCGACACAACGUUCAUUGGUCGGACUCCCCGGUCAAAUCACUCAGCCUUGUCGUAGCACCAUGAAUUCAGUGAGCUACCUUGCACCCACUCGUUCAGUAAGCGACCAGCAACUCCGUCAACGUGGGUCAUCGCGCCUAAGUCGACAUAACCAACGUGCAUUGGGACAGCGCAUUGGGACAACAUUCAUUGGUUGGUAAACUGAACCACACCGACAUAGAGAACGACAUAGAUAAUUAUAAGCUCUAUUAGGUUUAUUCAAGCUAUAAUAUAGAGAGAACCAUGACUCACUGUCAAUUAGCAUAUAAUAUAGAGAGAACCAUGACUCACUGUCAAUUAGUAGACCAAUCGUGAAAGAAUUGAAUAGCAUUGAGCGUGACACCUAAUAUAGACAGACGUUGCUUGUUCAAUAGUAAUAAAGACGUUUUUCAAUAGCAUUGAGCGUGACACCUAAUAUAUAACUAAGUCAGAAAUCCAACUCUAUUACUGGAAGAUACUCUGAAUAAUAACUUGCGGAUAAUGUGACUUUAAGAUACUCUACUCUGAAUAAUAACUUGCACAUAUAAUGACUGCUUGAGUAGAUGCUAUAUAGAACCAAGGCAAGGCCGGAGGGUGUAUUGAAUCAAAUCUGUUUCGUUGCUUGGUGGACUUGGGACAUAAGAAAGGUGAACUCUGGAACGGAUUCAAUGAAACUAACUCAUAACUCCUAACUCAGGUGCCGGUAUUGGUAUUUCACUCCUAACUAGUCAUUUAUGAUUCUCUCUCUUUCGUUGGUAACACUUCUGAUCCUGCUUAUUGAAUUGAAACACCUGUACUUGUGACUUUCGUAUGCGAGGUGGAUUCUUUGAUUUCGCUGUUGGUUGCCCGUUAGCUUAUUGUUGUGUUCGGGGCUUCUUGAAAAGAUUGUUGCCAUCUAUCAUAAAAGAAAGUAAACUAACUGCAAUUCUUCAGAAGCAGACUAAGGCACAUGAGAGAAUUAAGUGCAAACGAUGAAGAACUAACUUACAGAGCGAAAUCCUCUUAUUCUAUUACUAAGAACCUUGAAACUGCUGGUGCUACUGCUUAUGCUGACUGGCUCGAUACAGCUGCUUCGGAUCUUUAAAUGGCUUCUUCUAUUAGGCCUAAACCUGGCAAUACUUAACGCUUCAGUCAACAACUAAUUCAUUUCACAUUUCACUUCACUGAGGUUCUAUCUAUAUGAGAUUCUAUAUGAUGAUGAAGCCCCUGAACUUGACUUUCCAGAGAUUAGAGAUUGGCUUGUUGGGUAUGAAAGGGGAGCCUAUUGUAACUCCGAACCUAUCCUCUAUCCUUGGUUACUUCUUUCUAUCAUAUAGAGCGAAUUAUACUGCCUAUACUAAUAAGGAUCUUUCCACUCCAGAACUACUUGCUGCUGAAGCUAUUUCUUCUGCUUCAUCUGUUGCUCGUUAGCGCUAAAGAAGGACAUAAUUCAGGUUCCGGGCAAGGGCAAUCAGGCGUAUUUCCAAGUCAAGGCAAGAGGGCAGGGCGGAUUUAGCAUCGUGUUUCACCCACCAAGCCACUACAAAGUCUCCUGUGUUCGUCAACUUGAAGUCAAACAUUGUCAAUCAGCAGGAAAAGAUGUCCUGUUUUCGGGAGCCGAGUUCUAGCGGUAGCAGCGGAAUAACGGGCUUUGAAGCAAAUGAGGUCAAGAGUACCAGAAGCCGAAUGUUAAUCUCUACCUACUGCUGAAGCUAAUGGUGGUUCUAGUUUCAUCAUAUAUAGAAGCCGAAUGCUAAUCUCAUGCUGAGGUAAAGUAUCAAGUCAAGGGGUAGGGCGGACUCUCUAUAUUACAGUUUAAGCGCGUCGUCAAUAAGUUUCGACUUUCUCUUUUUCGUAUUAAUAAGUAGUUACGAUAAAAAGAAGCUAUCAGGAUCAUUAGCCAUAGAGGAAAGAGUUUUCAGAGCAGGUCAAGAAAAAGGCUAAGAAGCGAGAUCUUGCAGCCGGGAAAGUGUUUUCAACAAGAUCUGAAGCUUUAGUAUAGUUGCCUGCGUACUAAGCAAUGCUAGUUUAGAAAGCCUGAGUUCUUAACGGGUAGAUCGAAAGCCUUAGUUCUGAAUAGCAGCUGGGCGCCAGAGAGAAUAAAUGAUGGAGUCUGAUCUUAAGUCUUUUGACUUACUUCCUGCUACACCAUAAUAGCUAAAUGAUUAAAGCAACAGCGAAAGCUGCAAGGCAAGAAAGAGGGGUAUAAAGCAAGUAAGGUAAGAGCAGAGGUCAGCUGUCAAUUCCGUUUAGUUAGCCGUUAAGCUCGUUGUUGUCAAUGUUGCAGUGCUCUGAAAUUCGAUUCUCAAGGUUCACUCUACUUUCAAUUGAAGACCCAUGAGAAAUAGAUGCAAAGCUGUAUCUUUACUGGGAUCCAUACCAUGUGCUGUAAAGUCAUAAUGGAAUUGAACUGACAAAGAAACGAAAACAUACCUGACUGACGACGAUACUGCUUGAGCAUCAACCAAAAGGCUUGGGGCAGUGAGACUUACAAUACAUACAGCACUAGCCCCCGAUACUCACUUAAUGAAAUGGAAAAUCAUCUAACAAUCGGGAGCGGUAAAGUAUCAGUGUAAGCAGCAAGUGUGGGUGUUGAACAAAACAAGUAAGCUAAGGCGAGACAUAAAUCUGGGUUGAUAUCUUUAACUGACAAGUACUUGAAAGAUGGGUUUAUAGCCUACUAUCUUUAUCUUAAUGACUUUGAAGCAAGGUUAAGUAGAGAGAGAGUCGCUUCUUGCCCUUAAACGAACUACUCUUAUUACCUUGAUUCCCUUUCACCUGGUGUGAAAGCGCUCGAAAGAUGAAGUUUCAAGUUAGCGGGAAAGAAAUCAGUAUUAAGAAAACUCUUUAUAAGCGGGAAACACAAGCUUACGCACGCACCCCGUUUCCGUUACUUGGUCUUGCUUAGUGAGUGGUGCAUUAGCUAAUUCCAGAAGAGAAGUAAACAAAGUGAGCCGGGCAAGUCAAAUAAGUUGAGUAGCCAGUUGCUCCAGAAAAGAAGUAGAAAGUCCUGUUGAAGGUUAUAGGACAAUAGAAGUAGGCCUGUAUCUCGUCAUCAAGUUUCAAGUAAAGUAUCUGAAGUUUCAAGUAAAGUAUCUGGGCUGGUUUUUUCACCCUUAUUGUUAGUUGUAUUGUAGACCGCCUCUUCUACAAGUCCUUGAAGCACUAACACCAAUAACACAAUUCUACUUUCCGCAGGCAGCAGGAGAUAAUGCAGAAACUUGAGUUGGCGCGGGAUCAGAUGCUCUUACAGCCUUUGAAGCAGAAGCCAGAUCUGUUCAAGUUUCAUCGUUUUCAGAAGAAGAGGUUUGGUUAAGCCGUGAAAUGAUUCAAUUCAGGGAAGCAGUGUUUGUAUUUACUCGGUUCUAGACCAGAUGUUCGAGAGUCAAAUGAAAAUGAAUGAGUUGCACUCAGUCGUUAGCGCAACUGAACAAGUAGACAACACUAACACUUUCAAUCAUAUUCCGGAGGUACCAGCGAGCUACUGCGGGACGGCAAACUCACUAUCCUAGCGUAGUAGGGCAUUUCAAAAGAGAAUCAUCUUAUAUAGUCGACUUAACUCGAACGGAAUCUGCUCUCAUAGACCACUUUCCGCACCCGAGCAAAAGACUUGAGGAACCGCCCAGGCUCACCCCUCUCCUGUGACAAAGUUCUAUACAAUGCCAGUGAACGCUAGAUUAGAUUCCAUUCAGUUUGUUCAGUUAAAUGAGUAAGAACUAGCAAGGGAACUAGCACCCUCACUUCACUUUUGAAUAGAAACAUCAUUACAUCGCACAGCUGCAGAUCCAACUUAUUAUCUUGAAACUCAUCUGAAAACGAAAACUACAUUUGCUUUUCCAACAAGUGAAGAAGCAUAAGAUCCUUCGCCAGCGGAUUAUGAUUCUCCAGUUGAUGCUUUUGCCUCUUCUUCUAUUGUAGAUGACACUCGAACAGAAUAGAAUUGACGGGCCUUCUCAAGCAUACAAAGAGAUUCUUGGAGACAACACUCACACUCAACUCUACUUCAAUACAAGCACCAAAAGAGUAUACUCAGAUUCCUUACUUAUAGGCGCGGAAGAAGAAUUCUAGAAGCCACCAAGUCUAAGUGCAUUAGCCAGCGGGGGUGCUAAAGGAGUUUACAAAGGUUCGGAAAGCAAAAGGCAAUAAUGAAGUACUUGGCACCUUAGUGGAAGAGUUCGAUUACGAAAUUCUCAUAUAUGCGGCACUCCUCAUUCAAUAAUAAACGAGCAAGGGUGCAACUCCUCAUUCAAUAAUAAACGAGCAAGGGUGCAACUCCUCAUUCAAUAAUAAACGAGCAAGGGUGCAACUCCUCAUUCAAUAAUAAACGAGCAAGGGUGCAAAGGGAAAGCCAGGGUAAACUUCCAUUGUUGGAAGAAAUUCCCAAUCUUGCCUACCGACAAUGCUCUGAGAAUACUUGUAGGGGAAAGCCCAUCAUACAUCUAUACUGAAGUAGACCAAGUAAAGUCAACCCAGAUUUAGAGUCGUAUAAUCCAUCCUAUUCGUUGCGAGUAAACGUUAUCCCACAUUCCCAUAGAAAUGAAUUCUUCUCUUUCUUCCCCGAAACCUUGAACCUCAUCUCCCUCUUGACCAUGAGUUCUUCAUAUUGAAGUUCCGUUGGUUCCUUAGCUUGCUCGUAUUUAGAGUCAAUUAGUUUGUUUUGCGAAAUGUUACUUUGAGGCAUAGUGUACCUUUGAGGAUCGAGUGCCUUUUCUGGUUGCUCCGAGUUCGAUUCGAAAGUCAACUGCAAGCGGGAAGGAGACUAAUAUGAUGCUGCUGACCUGACAAGCGCCUUAACGGCAACAAACACCCCUGAUGAAAUAAUAACCCGCUUAUACUCUAUACUAAACUCUAUCUGCGCCCUUGCCCAAUACUGAAUAUCAAAGUAAGCAAUAACUUAAUCUCCAAGUAAGCAAUAAAAUAAUAAGUAGAAGCUCUGUGGCCUUGGAUGCGGUGCCUCAAUUCCCAUCUUUAUGCUGUACUGCAGAACGUAUCAACAAUCGAACAAGAAAGAAAGGCAAGCAAGGGCGGGGCAAGUAAGGCAAAGAACUAGCUUUCGCGCACCUGUACUGGAUUCUGCCCCAUGAACUAACUUUAAGUCAGAACCGAACCGCUUAACCGCUUUUCUCUGAUUACCAAGAUAAGAUCUAUACUAAACUAUCUUAUCUAAUUAUUAUUCUUAUCCGGAUUAUGAAAAUUGAUGCUUUCGUCGAGCGUAGGAGUUAAUGGUUGAAAGUCAGACAAGUAACUGCUUAGCAACUCGAUUUUCGGAUACCGGCUUGUUGGUGAUAUCGGCUUGGCUUCCCCUUUCUUUUGCUUAAAAACGAAAUACUUCCCUUUGGCCUAUCUAAGACAAACCCUCUGGAGCUUCUUCUCGGAUUGUUAACCCGAUUGAUAGAUCUAGAAUUACUAUUUCUAUAUGAGACCACUAUCACCCCUAUCUUUCUUUCGACUCUUCAAAAGUGAGAGUUGCCGGCAAGAGGCAAAAGAUAUUAGACAUCAAAUGCAUUUUCACUGCGGGUAUGGUCUAAAUAGGGAAUUCCACUAAAUAUGAGUUUCCCAUGGCUUAAACGGCGAAAAGAGGCCUUACUCGGCACAGUCUACUCGGCUUUGUAAGCUUCUUCUCCUUGUAAUUGAUUUCUGCCUUUCAUUAGAAGCUAGAAGACUCUGAGUUUCGGGUAUAUUAGGCAAGAUAUAGUUCUCGGCAGCAGCACGCACUUAUGGAAAUGCAGCUCUAACCUACUGGACUUUCUUUCGCAGGUCUUCCUUCUUAACAGGUUGGCUAACUUCCAUCUCAUCUUUUUAUGGAUACCAUUGCUCACGAUCUUUCCAAUUCUUUCUAUUCUAUUAGGUGGAAGCCAGUCAUAGCGAGACUCAUCUGGCACUGCGAUUGAGAACUUCUGCUCGUGACAUCUAAGUUAACCACUGAUUUGAUCUUUCGACAUCUAAGUUAACCACUGAUUUGAUCUUUCGACAUCUAAGUUAACCACUGAUUUGAUCUUUCCGGGAUAAUAAAGUAAGGACUUGAAGAGGAAGACAAAGGCUAGACCUGGAAAUAAGGAUUCCUUUUAGAAAGGGGACUACUUUUCACUGGGGAAUCCUUCUCUAUAUCAUACUGAACCUAUACUUCACUUUUGGGCGUCAGGAGCUUACACUAGAAUUGCCCCCAUCCAACCCAUCAUCUAAUCUCUAAGAAAGCAUCGUUUCCAUUCGAAUCCAGACCCCCUUCCUCCAAGUGAGUUCGACAGGCAAUAAGCGUUAAGGCGCACCUCUUCUAUCGCAUACUUGUUAUCUUGCCCCAAUCCCUUUAGCCAUCAAGUAAGCCACAAACCCUUUCUUUCCUCUUUAACUACAUAACUCUUGAACUCCUCUCUUACCGCACGCAUAUAGUAAACGAACAAGUAAGAAAGUCAGAAGUAAGCCCAAAACUCAGAAUUAUACAAGAAAGUUGGCAAGUAGGAAAGUGAGAAUUCCACUGCUAAGUAAGCAAAAGGGAAGCCCUAAGUGAGAAGUAAGCCCAAAACGAAAAACCUCAUGGAAAGGAUAAGGGAGCAACUGGUGCGUUGGGAACAGUUCCAUACCUUGGAGAAGCAGUAGAGACCAUUUACUCUAGGGGUGCAACAGCAGAAAGACUGUGAGAACACCCCAUCAAUGGGAACAUAUAGGAAAGGAUACAGCAGUAAAACAUAUAGGAAAGGAUACAGCAGUAAAUCAUAUGAAAAGGCUGCUGGACGAAGAGGUAACAUAUGAUGCCGCCUCGCCCCUUAAAGCUUCUAUUAGUAGCUUCAGGGUGGCUAACAGUAUAAGUCUAUCAUAUACGAAGGAGGGUGGGAGAUUGCAGCCCGCGGAUUGGCUAACCAAACCCGUAAGCGUGGAUUCCUCUGAGGUAGCAGCUACAAAAGUCAGUGAAGAUGUUAUCUUUAAGAGAAAUUGAGGCACUGUGAGCUCCAUGGUGCUUUACUUCUCUGGGAGUGAAAAGUGUAUACGUACCGAGGAAGUUUGGGCCAACGAGGAGCCCUAACAGUAUUAGUUGGAAGAGCCAGAGUGGAAUUAAGAUCUAGUUGCCAGCUGCUUGGCUGUUGUCAGUGGCCAUAGUUAUAGUAGCCUGAGUUAGAUGAGAUGGAAAGGUAGAACACUGGUUAGGAGUUUCAUUCAAUGGUCAGAAUAAGGGAGCUGUCACUAAUACUCAGACAACGAAUAAUAAUAACUAAUACUAAGCAUUGGUCUAAUACUAAUACUAAUAAGAAAAAACGAAUACUAAGCAAAGGUCUAUUGCUGCGUCAUAUGAUCUGGUUGACUUUCCUUGCACAAACAAGGACAUAUCCUUCUGAGGUGAAAGGCUAUUGAUUGGGAUUAGGAAAGCCUUGUUCAAAAGUCUGAGGAAAGAAAGUCCCACUGCAUCCGGUACAAAUAGGUUGCUAUUUAGCCAAACACGAAAUUAGGAUCAUAAAUCAUCAUAUAUCUAAUAAGGACACCCGCAAUCCAUUAAACAUUGAUGUUUCUGCCCCCCAUUGAUUUCUCAAUUAGCAUUGAUAAGGGCCCCGUAAUUGAUUUCUCUUUGAUAAGGGUUUUUCGAUUUCACAAGUGAGAAGGAGUUUUCGAUUUCAAGUAUAGUUCAGUGUCCUUGUGUCUUUGGGUUAAGGGGUAGCCUUGCCUCGCCUGCAAAGGGUCGAGCCUUCACUGCUUGUAUUCUAUUCUUUUCCUCCCAGUGCUAUUACAUACGGAAUAAGAUGUGGGUCGGAAGCUUGAUUCGAGCUCUUCCCCAUUCCUUUCCCCCAAAAAGAGUUAACCAUGGCUCGGUGGUAAAGCAGAAGAAAUCGAUGGGUUGAUUGGUUGGAUGCAUUCUGCCUUUCUCGGUCACACCCAUGCAUAGAACUUCAAGCCUUAGCAGUUCCGGCGGAUCAUCAUUGUUCGCACUCCAGGGAUCCCUAUGAUAUUUAGACAUUAUUCUAUUCCAUAUGAAGAUUUCUCUAUUACCUAUUAUAUAUGUAGACAUUAUUCUAUAUUCUAUAUUUAGACAUUGUAGACAUUAUUCUAUAUUCUAUAUUUAGACAUUAUUCCAUUUAUACAGAAUCCCCAUACGAGCGUGGAAUCCCCAUACGAGCGUGGAACCGGAACUUCCCCAUCUCAUCUGCUGGCAUGAAAUAGAAAUCCGUGGCAAAGCCCGUAAAUCACAAGGAAAUCAAUCUUAGACGCUUGACGUCGGUAGAGAGAGAUGAUUGGCUUCUUACUUGUUUGACCUCUCUUGGGAAAUCAAUCUUCUUACUUGUUUGACCUCUCUUGCUUGGCUUCUGGUUGUUUGUCUCCGGGUCUGAACCCUUACCUUGUCUUGCCCACUCGCCCCCUUCCUUCCCGGCACCAAGCAUUCCUAGAUAUUGCUCCAGUGGUUGACUACUCGCAUUGGUGGUUUACUAUCCUGCUCGCCUAACGAAAUCAAAUCAUCAAUACUAGCUUGGCCCCAACUAUUUCCGUUUAUCCUACAGCAGCUGGCGAGCCACUCUUGAGACGGAGCUUACUCGGCUAGCAACGGGCACUGGCGACGGAGAACAUAACUUCUGACUUUGGUUGUGGACCGGAACGAAUUACUUGCUCUUUCUGCUUUCCUCACCGUUGAGAACCGCAUAACUCAUUCUCAGUCACAACUUCGAAUCCACUUCAAUCAACCCAUUUGAAUAAGAGCGGAUCAAACUAUGCACACCAAAUCCAAUCAAGGAGGGGCAGUGGGUGAUUCUUCCUACCAAGGUCAACCAACACUCAAUCUCAACUCGUAGACUAGUAAACGAAAGCGAAGGGUACGCAAGGCAUUCGAUCUUCAAGCGAAAGGGAAGGGAGGUUCCAUUUGAUUCCGUUGGUAAAGGGACAGGUCAACAAAGUCCGCAGCUCUCGAAGUGAGAAUACACCUCCGCCAUAGGAUGACCCGAAAACGGGACCAAAUAGCUAUAGUAUCGCUACGUGGGGGAUCAGUGCUUUUUUACACCAGCAGUGACUCUAUAUCCAAAAUCAAUCGAUUACCAUGCAUUGCAUUCUUUUUUACACCAGCAGUAACUCUAUAUCCAAAAUCAAUCGAUUAAUUCAUUCCUUCCCGGUCCCCGGUUGUUUUCUCUUUUGUUUCUAUGCAUAGGGGGUCUCCAGUCUAGGAAUCCGGUUUGUUGCAGUUGAGUGACUCGGGUGUUGAUCAGAAGAGUUGCUCAGAGAGGAUCAACGUAGUUAAGAUUGAUGAAUUCGUUUUGACCCGACCGACGAGGUUAACCGUGGGAUCCUUUGCUUUCUGCUGUUUCGUUUGGAACAUUGUGGAUUUGACCUGACCCCUUGAGUACUUUGUAUCAAGAUUCGCAGCUCUUGCUUUUCUCUCUAGUUCAACGUUCACUCCUCCAUGGAAACUUCGAUCUCGGUGGUUCAAUUGAGUUUCAAUCCAUUCGGUGAGUUAUACCCUGUAGUAGCUCCUUCGCCUCUAUCGAAGGUACCUGUAUUCAUAGUAGCAACAGUAGGAGUGAGUUCAAAAAGAGACUAUACUUGCCUAGUAACAGACUUAGGGGGCCAAGCAACAGUGCGUACUAGAGCAAGAAAUAGGGUAUUAGUUUUUUGACUUCCCUUGCCCGAUCAAAGUAAUGACCUGAAUGGACUGAUGGUUAUUGUCCCGCUAUAGCUGGUGGAGUAAGGUAUAUCGGACUACUCCUGAGUUUAUGGUGUAGCCAGUAAGAGAAGAAGCAUACGUUGUGUUGCACUUUCUGAAUCUUAAUAAGAUGCCCGGAGCAGGUAAAGAAGCAGUUUUCAGAGCAGGAUAAGGGGAGAGAGCAGGAUCAAGUUCAGGAUCAGACUCCGGGGAGUAAUAGCCGGUUUAGGAUCAUAAGCUAUAAGAUAUGGUUACGUGGGCUAUCCGAACUCUCUUAACAGAGACCUGAGCCCUGAUUGAUAGUACUUAUUGGUGAAGCCGUGAACCUAGAUUUAGAGUCAAACUACCCAUGUUCUUAGACUCUUACGGCAUUUAUGACAUUUAGGUACCAACUCGAGCUCCCGAAAACUGUCAUUUCACUUGCGUAGAGGUGGGAAUUGGUUCUUCUUAUCCUGUUUAUUAUCUAUAUUCUAUAUUAAGCUUCCUCUCCAGCUGCUGCUUUAACCUCUUCUUCUUUAAUUCGAAGUUUCUAUACUAAAUCAACGAGUCAACCAGGAAUCCUUCUUUAUUGCUCACUUGAAAGAUACUUUACAGCUAUGUGGGCAUGAGAUUAGAGAGUCGACUCCACUUUCAUUUACUUUACAAGCACAAUAACUCUCCUUGAUUACGAAUAUGUAAGGGCCCUACCUUUUCUCUUUCGGGUUAUCCGUAAUACUCCUUUUCAGUCCUCCUACUUGGCUUCUUAGGCUUCUGACUUUUACCUUUUCUUGUUCUGCUGUCUCUCUGGCUGAGUGAGCUUCUCUGCUCUGUGUUGUUCUCAGUGAACUAGGAAGAAAAUAGACAUCAUUGGAUCCCCGCUAUAGACCAAAUGGAACUUAGUUAAUCCCCCACUGGGUUGGAUUCUCUGCAUUGAUAGCUUUAGUCUACCCUCCCUUCCCCACUCGCCCGCCCUUCCGCGUACUACUAUUAGAAUACAACCACUGCUAGUAAGAAUGCAAUUAGCGCCUCUCAUACCAGAACUUGGAACCAGGACUUUGACUCAUAAUAUCAGAAUAGGACUAGCGCUUCUAGCUCUGUAGCUCCUGUCUUCCAUUUUCUAUACACUAGAUAUCAAACUUACAUUCCUUGACGAAAGUCUUUAGUUCGGCAGCUUCGUUCUGUUGAUCCUGUCUGCAAUUCUUUGGCCCUUAUAAUAAUUGCUAGCGCGCCUACUCACAAGACUGCUUUUCCUGUCUUUGGUUCUGAAACUACUAACUAUAGGUCCCACUGCUUCAUCUAAUCCUGAUACUUUGUGGAGGUGUUUCGGCUUCCCUUCCUGGCUUUUAGCCUACCGCUCCGGUAUCUCGUUUUUUAGUUCGCCGCUCCUUUGUAUGCCCCGUUGCUUGCUAGCCCGCCCCUCCUGCAAUUCCGUGUUUCUGUCCUUUCUCUGUCUCUUACAUAUGCUUAUUAGUUUGACCUACUCGUUAGUUACUUGGUGAGUGGAGCUAUUAUGAAUCAAGAAUUGGACCGGCGCUUCUCUUUCCUGUAACUACUAUACACACCUAUAAGCCUGUCUGCACUAACUCCUAUUCUGACUACCCUGCUGAUCAGUCACCGAGCAAGAUAACCUAUCUUCUUUUGUGACUCCGCUCCCAAUGCCUAUGCUCCGUUUGAAGUCUGUUUCCCUUUACUUUGACUUUCGCUCUUCCUCUAUCAACUGUUAGAAUCAAACGAAUACUUAAUAAGCAUAAAAUACAAGAAUGGAGCUACUGGACUUCAAUCUUUCUCUAUUGAUCCCGGGUGUUUAAUGUUAGCCUGCCAUGCCUUUUUCUUACCUGUAUUCUUGUGCUACUGAUUUAGAUCUUUGCUUUAAUGCUAUAGUAGUAACUUGCCUCUUGAACUCCGAUACAUCUACUAGUACAAAUACAUACCUCUUUCUCUUACCUCAUAAAGUGUAAAUUACCCGGCUGAGAAUCGAGACCUCUGUAAACUCAUUCCAUUCCAUUCUUCAUCGGAUUUCGGUAUACCUCUCCUACGGCUCAGCUAACUCAGGCUAAUAAGUAAGUUUCUGGACACCUCGUAUCAAAGCUACCGAAAAAGGACUUAGGCCAAGCAACAUAGUCAGCGGCAGGAGCGGUGAAACUCUGGAACUCUAGGCGGAUUCAGCAGUAGCCAUUCACUCGAUCGACAAAAGGAAAUGCCCGAUGGACUCCUUCUUCUCUUUUUUCUUAGUCAAGUCAACAGUCUCAUCUCCAACUGAAUGAUCGGGCGUACUACGACUAAGAGAAUACGGGAAUGGUCCAAGAUCCGGAUACACUAAACCCUCUCCGACUGCAGACGAAGAUCGAGUUCGAAUAGAAAGUAUCCAAGGCAGGAAGACAUCAACAGAGUAAGCAAUCGAAGACUUCGAAGCUCUAAGAUAGAAGCUGCUUUCCAAGAAUCACCAGUCCCACGCUAUACGACGACAACUGAACCAUAGAAGGAGGCGGACGUAAUGGACCAGACAGACCAGAUGAAAGGCAAGCGGAGUCAUUCGACCCUAAAGGGGGCCUCGAAUGCUUACAAGACUCGCCUGAAUUGGACUACCAUAAACUAGCCCGACAUACUACUUUACGCAAUUUGAUACAUCGAAAGCGCACCAACCACAUAAGGUUCCACACCAAGAUCAAAUGAGGGACCACUAGUGGCAUUUCUCAUAUACGUUGGUUGGACCACUGCCGGAGAGAAAGGCUGACCCUAUCCAAAACCCUUAGCACAAUAAUAGGUGGGGGGUAUGGCGAUCCAACUACUACCCGCGGAACAGAGAUCCUUUCCAGUCAAGCUAUCCUCACUCAACAAGGGGAAUGAUUAGAAUCCAGCGGGGGUUAGUAAAAGACUAGGCCAAUGGUGCUCCACCAGCAACCUCUUACCCUCGUUCAACGAAGAAAGUGCAAUCCGUCCUUUCUUAGGGUUAGCUCUUACACAUUCUCCUUAUCAACAUCCAGGAUAUGAUUUGGACAAAAGAAUCACCAGUCCCCCACCAUAAAAGAAAAACCAAAUAAUGGAAAGAAACCUAAAAGAAGAUGUCCUACAACCGCAUACACAUACCCUCGAUACAAAGCAAGAAAGAAAGCAAACUCAGUCCUCGCCUCAGGUGAGCCAACCUUUCAAGCAAGAAUCUACUUAAACCACAAAGAAGAUAAUCAUUAUAUGAGAAAGAGCUUCAAAGAUAAGUGUAAGAAAUCCGGAUUUCGCUUUUUGAAUACAACUACAUUUCCUACGAGACGGAUUUAGGACUGACGGAGAGUUUGUUACUAGUUGUCAAGCCCUACAUGAAUUAGCACAAGGAUUAGUGCUUUCUCCCGGUUGAGUAGAUUUAUUCGCUUGCCUCGAAGACUGGCAUUAGGCCCCUUACUUAUGAUAGGAUUGAUUCGAAGCAAAGCCUUCUCUGGGAGAUGCUAGAAGAAAAGACUAGAAGCGCCCGGGGGGGCAAUUACACAGGCUAGCAGACAACCUAUAGCUAUUCCCUUGCAACAACCAAAAAUAAGUAAGCCUUCCUUCCAACAAUAGUAGGGUUUGGAAUGCAUACGGAAUGGAAAGCUAGAACGAAAGGGCAAGCAUCAGACAUAGGGACUACGGGAUAUACGUAAUAGCGGGACUAAGAGAUUCUCAAAACUAGUAAAGAAAAGGCCCCUUCGUAGACUAAGAAAGUGGGCAAUGGGGAUAGACCUUAAGCCUUCGCUUUUUCGGAAUACGGGAGGUAGUAAUGGGCGGAAUAAGUGGGCUGGCUGGGUGGAGAUAUAGGGAAAUCUAAGUAAGCGAUCUCAGACAUCUACAGAGGAAAUCCAAAUUCUUCCUGGAGAAAGAUUACAACACAAAUGACUAAAAAAGGGGCAAAGCCAGAAAUCCAAUCUAUUCUUUGCAAGAAAUCCAAUCUAUUCUUGACUUUUCUUAAGUAGGAAAAAGAGAGAAAUCAAGCAAGGAAUCCAAUUCGAGCCUUUGUUACACGCCAGGAACGGAGCACUCGCUAAAGGAUAUUCCCUUCCUUGCAGCACUUCAAAAAGGAGUUUCACAGACUCAAACAAAAGGAACUCGCUUACAGGACCGGCAUAGGGCGUUAGUGCUACGGAUUACUUACUAGAUGGAAUAGGCUUGUCUGACCUCUCCUUCCUUUCAUCUUUGGCAUCUCUCUUCUCUUAUGAUACCUUACCACUUUAGGGACUACCGGAAUCGAAUAAGACUGGUAGGAAGACUUCAAGGGCUUGGAAUGAUUACUUUAACCUAAAGCCGUUACAACCUUCCAUUCACUCACGGAACAAUAAUAAAGCCGUUACAACCACACUUCCAUUCACUCACGGAACAAGAAAAACACUUGAAGCCGCGGUAAACAGAUUUAUGUCAUCUGCACCUUCCAUCAGGAGGAUCAAACUCAUCUUUUCUAUUCCUUCGCAGAAAACAGACCCCAGGAAUGCUUGCUGUUAGCUGGUAAGGGAAAAAGGUUUGGGGACGAAGGGAAUCCGACUAUGGCACUCAAACGACUAAGACGAAUUCCGUCGAUUUGGACACUAUUCCUACUGCUACUGCGAGAGCUACUGCAGUAAGGAAGGAAUGCAUUCGCUUUCCACCAACCUUGUUUGGGGGGUUUUGACCUUGAUUACACGACUUCUGCUUCUCUCCCUCUUUUUCCUGUCCUAGAAAUCCGGUAAAGAAGUAAAGUAAACAAGCAGUGAGACAUCUCCUUAUAUUAUUUAUUAAUCAUUAAGUAGCACUUUAUUGAAAGCCGAGCAGAGCAGAGACUCGCUUUUUUCUUUGUACCGAAAUGAAUCAUAGGGAUACAUUAUUCGCGGAUUAUUCUUCCUUAUGAUUCGAGGCGAGGCUCAUAUGUCGAAGAGGCAAGGAAGAGGAUCCAAUGACGUGAUUACAGGGGCUGAUUCCGCGUGAUACUUAUAGCCAUGUGUUAGAAAAGGUGUCUAAGAGACUUAGUUCUUUGAAGUCUAGCUCUUUCUCUUUGGCAGGUCGAAUUACCUUCAGCCCAGUCUGUUUUAACAGCAUUGCCUACUUCUCCUCUAUUGAUCUGCACGGCAGGGAGUUGGGGCAAGAACAAGUGAAAGGUGCUUCUGAAGCUAAUGUGGUAAAGUCGAAAGUCAGGGGUAUUCGUUCCAAGUCGCAGGUAUUAGAGAUAGAGAUUGGUAACAACCCUAGAGUGAAAGGCUUAACCGAGUAGUAGGAAUCUCUGUCCUGUGCCCUUAAUUAAUGCCAUAAAGAAGGGAACAACCAUCAAGAAGGAACCAUAUAAAGAUGUUAGGAAGAAAUGCAUUCGUUGGACAGUUUCCGAGUAUCAAUGGAAUUAUGGCUAUCAGAGGAGUUUCCCCUGCCUUAUCAGACUCUAAAUAAGGGUUGAUGCAACUCGACUUGAUUGAGGCUUUACCGACCCGCUACUUAUGAGUUCCCCCACUUGAAGUUAAUCUGGAAAUUGGAUCUAUGGGGAGCACCCGUAUAAGUCAUAUUCCCUGCCUCAGAGACUUCUCUUUAUCUUUAUCCAUCCUGUCUACUGCUUGAGUAGACUUAUCAUUUGCUAUUGGAUACGGAACUUGCACUGCAGAUUCUCUAACUACUGCAUUCUGUUGAAACUGCUUCCUCGCCGGAUAUUGCUUAUGAACCCGGUUUUGAUCCUGGUUUUGAUCCUGACUUGCAAACUAGACUUUCUUAUGCUCCGAUACCUCUGUAAACUGCCAAGCUAGUGACCGAUUCCAAUCUUUCGAUAAGUCAAAUGAGUAACAAGUUCUUCUAUACCAUAAGUAGAUGUAGGCUCGGGUGCUUGUGUUGGUGGUGCUGUUCUAAAGUCUGCUCGGGCUGAAACAAGGUAUGACCCAUUUUCUGCAUCUAGUAUAAGGCAAGUAAUUGAACUACAAACUCGGAACCAGGAUUAGAUGAAGCAGUG
RNAcentral lists this long non-coding RNA (110291 nucleotides) under Musa acuminata (dwarf banana). RNAcentral's name for it is "long non-coding RNA (MACU_LNC008397)". Lineage: Eukaryota; Viridiplantae; Streptophyta; Magnoliopsida; Zingiberales; Musaceae. The record is from RNAcentral.